ACAUUAUAUGAAGAAGAAAGAGGUAAAUUUGGGCCACCAGAACCAGGCAUGUGGUUAUUUGACAUCGCAAAAUUUCACUGAAAAUCAUGGGGAAUAGGUGGUCCCUGAGGCAUACUAUGCAUUCCUACUACAGGUCUACUAGUAACCUGUUGCAUAGGUUGAGGAAAUUGGAUUUGAGAAGGUUGUGACAUCGCAACAUUUGCAUGUCCAAGUGGUAAAAAUUGUUGAGAUGACCCAGAACCAUAAGGUUGUGCCUGCUGGGCUAGAAGCAUAGGCUGGAACUGCUAAAGAUGUGGGGAAAAUAGUUAUCAUAAUGUCUCUACAUUCAAAAGUCAUUUAUCCCUCCCCCAAGCCUCCAUAACUUUACCUACAGUGACAUGGAUGGAAUAGCACCAGGAGCAGGACUAGCCAGAGGAGGUAUAGGAGGCUUCUUAACUAAUAUCCAUGCAAGGAAGAACAGACGAAAUCAGAAUAUAGCUACUUUUCAAUCAUAUUUAGUUAAUUUUCCAAUCAAUGUUGAAAGCUUGUAUCCAUGCACAACUCCCUAAAUUAAUUUAAAGGACAAGGCAAGAAUUUUGAAGCUAAACCACAUAGUAACAUGAAGCCCUUUUCUUCAUCUAAUAAAUAGAAAGCUUGAAACGAGAAUAAAGAGAGAUAGGAAAUAGAUGACCUAUCACAACGUUAGACUAGAAUGGACAAAAUGAUAAGCAUCUUUACCUUAUGGCUUGGGUUCAACAGCUACUGAUGGCCUAAGUAUCUUUUCUUCGGGUGUAAAGAAGCACGUCUGUUAAUGCAAAACUAUGAUCAUUGAACUGAAACAUGAGGUAUGAGUAGGUAUUAGGAUAACCAAAAAAUACUGAGACUGGAAUGGGUUGAGCCUCAAUCUUCCCUUCUGAUGUUCUAUGUGAUACUGACAUCACUACUAGAAUCUGAAAGCCUGACUUGGUUAUUCUCUCUAUCAUCUCUCCCUUAGCUUUAAGCCAUCAAAUUAAGUUUGGGAGAUCCCUUACUAGACUCUAAACUAAAGUACACUCACUGUACUCUGGGGUCUGGAAAACUACUAUACACGCAUAUCAUGGCACUUAACCCUAAUGACUACACCUGAAAUUGGAAAACCCACUAUUAAUACUACCUUCUGAGAUACACUUUAUCAUUCUAUAGACCCAGUAGUCAUCAUAUAAUACUUGCAUACUUACUAACUUCGGGUCUUCAUGGGUAUCCCCAUAGUCGAAGUGCACACCCUCUAGUGCUUUAACUCUUAUUUCUAUUAGUUAAGCCUUUAAAAACUCAAACUUAGAAUCUAGCACUCAACAUGGAUAUAACCAAGCCUUCAAUGAAUCAUACCACUUCCUACAUAGCCUACCAAUAUUGCGACUCUAAACUUACAUCUCUCUACUAUAAGAAUCAAGAUCAUAUAAAAGGGCUCAACACUAUUAAUCAAAACUCCUUAAUUUGGCUAUUCAGAACACCAUAUACCAUCUAACUAGUCUUUCUCCACCUAGCAACUCAACGGUACCACUUGUCACACAAAACAUGUAAUAGUCUUAGAAAAUACCGCAACCUCAGAUCACCUUGGGCAUACUUCUACAUUAUAUAUGCAACAUCAUACUUCACUGCGAAUCAAAUAAACUUAAGCUCUUGCAUAUAUCAUUCAAGCCUAUUAGAUUACUUCCAUAAAACUAGUAUCAGUAACCAAGAAAUCAUCACAUCCACCUUCAUGGACAUCAAUUGUUCAAAACUUAAUGUCUAGUGCUAAACAUGAUGUUACAACCCAACCUUACGUAUGAUUCUCACUUGGAUACCAUGAAAUUGACAUCAAGAAACACUAGUACACUAGAACUUCCAAACAACAAAUAAUUGAUCUUGAUCUUACGGUCUUCCUUAUCAUAACUCAUUAGCACGGACUAUUUUAACACAUCAAGCCUACUAAUUUUUUCCCACAAAACAUAGAUCAUUAAUCUCAUGCCACUAUUUUUACCACCACAUUGUACAUUAAAUUCAAGAAUAUAGUCUUGUACCAAUCAUCUAUCACUACUAAAAAAUGCAACAUAACAUGCUAGUUCAUAAAAUUUGGGACAUACUAUACAAGCGCCUCAAAAAUCACUACUUACCUUCUCACAAGUAGUACUAGUUUACAAUAGAAGGUCAAGGGGUAAAGUUACAUAAUAAACAUUAUCAACCUUAAUCUUAUAUUAUAACCCCAUACAAUCUUUUCUACUUAUACGGAUUUCUCUCCGCAUACUUACUUACCCAAACAUACAUUUAGAGUACCUACAAAUUCCACAACAACCAUGAGUCUAUACUUACAACUUACUGGCUAAUAUAGCCAUUUUCAUACUUCAAGCAAUCGAGAAAUCAACCUAACUAACAACUCCCUCUCUAUCUUCUACUAAACUAACACACAAGGACAAAUCACCUUUCUACCAACUCAAUCUUAUGCAAACAGAUUCAGCUAUAUAUAUAUAUAUAUAUAUAUAUAUAUAUAUAUAUAUAUAUAUAUAAAAAAAACAAAAAAAANNNNNNNNNNNNNNNNNNNNNNNNNNNNNNNNNNNNNNNNNNNNNNNNNNNNNNNNNNNNNNNNNNNNNNNNNNNNNNNNNNNNNNNNNNNNNNNNNNNNNNNNNNNNNNNNNNNNNNNNNNNNNNNNNNNNNNNNNNNNNNNNNNNNAAGUCAACUAUGCUAGUGAAUCGAAAGAGCCCCACAGGGCUUCACUAGACUUUAUUUUUUUCAACAACACCUUGAUUACAAGAUUACAUAAGAUAGAAAUUUAAUAUGCAAUAUCCAAUGAACUAGGAAUACACAUCUUUCUCUGUAUAAAUAAAAUUAGAGUCAAACAAUUCCUCCACGGACUACCAUACCUUCCACACAUGCUACUAGUUACCACAUUAGUCUAUCACCAUAAGGGGUAAAUCAUUCUCAAACAUCGUUUAUUCAACUAAAAUAUUCAUUUACAUAAAAGUCACCCUCGCUCUGACUUCUAACUUUGUGACUUCACAUCACCAACUUCUUGGUCUAAUUUCACUACCAAUAGGUCAUGACAACAACACUUUAACGCAUACUACUAUUUAGGUGGAAAUAUAGUUCCAACAUUCUACUACACACCAUCCCACCCCUUAAGCAAGACAUUUGUAACAUAAAUUUGAAGGGGACUAAAUGCAAUUAAUACCUCAAACUGAAAAGCACGAUUCCAUCAGGAUCAAUGUUUACAUCAGAAUCAAUACACAUUGAAGCAAUCAACUAAUUAAUUUCAAUUAAUUAGAAUCAAUUUUAUGAUCAUAAUAUAUAGACUCAAGUUCCUUAAAUUUAAUGUUGUAUGUAAAUUUUAAAAUAUAUUUAUAGCUAAAGUAGUAGUCAAUGUUCGUUGUUUUUUACCAAUAUAUGCAUAUCAAUUACGAAUCUUUCCAUAUAUAUAUUUUUUAUUAAAGUAAUUGUCAGUAUUAACUAAUUUCUAGUUCAAUUUAGUCUAAUUAAUUUGAUAGCAAUAAAAUUAUUAUUAAUAUUAUAUAUUUAUUUACCAUAAAUCUGGCCUAAUUUUAUAGCUUGAUUAUAUUUAAUUAAUCUACAAUUGUAUAAAGGGCUCAAAUACGAAAAUAAUUGAUAUUAAUUACAUGUUUUUAUAGAUUGAUUACAUUAAAUUGAUAUCAAUUACCUUUUUAAUUUUGGAAAGAAUUUUAAAAAGGUAACAAUUAUUUAUUUUUCUAAUUACUAAUUUAGUUUUCAAAUAUUUCUUAUAAAUUUAUAAUUUAAUUAUAGUCAAUUAAUUAUUAUUAUAUUUAUAAUUUGCUAAACACUCAAAUAAGGUAACAAUUUUCUUUUUUCCUAAUUACGGAUUUUCUUAUAUUCAUUCAUUUAUUUGUUUACAAAAAUAGGUCAAACUUAAUUAUUUUGAGGGAUGACACCUUUUUUUAAUAUUUUUUACUCAGAAUGAUUACAAUAUUUUUUUAUAUAAAUUGAUCAGUUACUAUUUAUUAAUUGGUUAUUCUCUUAAAUAAUUUUUUCUUGUAAUAUUUCUUUUAGUCAAUUGUAAUUAAAUCAAUAAUAUUUAUUUUCUUAUAAUACUAUUAUUAAAAACAUUUGAAAUGUAAUUUAUUAAAUAUGAAAUAUGAAAUAAUAUUAAAUAUUUAAAUAAUCAACAAAAUAGUUUUUUGUUAUGAAAUGAUGGUUUUUUGUUGUAAAAAUUCAAAUAGGUAGUUCUCAAUAUGACACUUGUCUUAGUUUUAGGCUAGACUAUCCUCCUUUAUUAUAUAGAUAGAUAAUUUCAACAAAAUUAAUUAGAGUAUUUUCUUAUAAAAUUUUAUAAAAAUAAUAUAAAAUAUGGCAUAUUAAUAAUAUUUGCAUUAAUUAUUCUUCUAUUUUCUUACGCAGUAUUUGAUUCUACGUAUUAAAAAUAACAUUGAAUCAAUGGUGAAAGUGGAGGGACUUCUUUCUUUAUUGGGGUUUUUCUUUUUGGGAAAGCUAACACUUUCUUGACUACCAACCACCCAACACAAAGCUGACACUUCUUGGUAGAUUGGCUAUUUUUUCAUACGGUACUAAUUUAUAUACAUUUUCUUUGAUAUUUGUUAUAUUGUUAGUUUUAUUUUGCAUAUUGUAUUAGUUUAAAUGCAUUUAUCUUUUAUGUUUGGUAUAUUAUUAUGAUCCUAAGCUGGGAGUCUAUCAGAACAUCCUCUCUACUUCACCUGAGUAGUGAUAUGAUCUGCAUACACUAACCUCCCUAGACCUCACUAUGUGGGAAUACACUGGGUGUUGUUGUUGUUGUUGUUCUUUCUUACACAGUAUUUGAUUCAACGUAUUAAAAAUAACAUUUAUUACAUAAUUUUUUUUUUACAUAAUACCCCCACUUUAAGCAUGUUAAUGCAUGCAUUAGAUCCAUUGCAUUACUAAUGUCAUAAAUUUUGAGGUAUUAGUAAUACACACCUCAAUAUACAACAGAGUAUAUAACUAAUUUUUGCAUUAGUUAUACAUAAGAUAAAAAGAUAUAUAUCAAACAAGGGACUACUAAUAGACAUUAAAUUAAUGGAUGCAUUAGUUUUUACGUAAAACAUUCCAUGCUUUAUCACAGAUUUGGUUAUUAUUCCAUGUCUUGAGCUGGGAGUCUAUCAUAAACCACCUUUCUACUUCUCCGGAGGUAGUGAUAUGGACUACGUACAUCUUACCCUCUCCAAACCCCACUAUGUGGAAAUACACUAAAUUUAUUGUUGUUGUUGUUAUUAAUUUUUUAAUACACUCUAUCAAAAGACUCCAUGCUUCUCAUUUAAUAAUACCUUUAGCUCCUCUUUAAUUAUGAUAAUUGCUCUCUGACUCCACCUUGCUUUUUUAAAAUAUACAUAAAUAACAAUGAAUUUAAUUUUGCUCAUUACUCUACUAAUUGUAGUAAUGUUAGGUGAAUUCAUCAACUUAAAAUUAGAGUACAUUCACUUAAGCUACAUGUUAUAGCUAUAGCUCAAAAAAGGAAUUAUACGUUUGACAUAAUACAUAAAUGUGUUUUCAACUUGACAUCAUCAGUAAAUAUUUAUAUAUUUUAAUUUUGAGUGUUGCACAAAUAAAUACUUAGACUAUCAUAUAAAGUUAAAAUAAAGAUAUAUAUGCUAGUCUUGUAUCGCAAUUUGUCAUGCAAAAUGCAUGCAUCUCAUACAAUUUGUCAAGUAAUUAAAGCAUUUGUGUCUAGGAGAGUGCAUCAGUCGGUUCGGUUGGGUAUUACAUAUUAUCGUUAGAUUUAUCGGUUUUCAAUUUUUAAAUAUGUUAAACCAAUAACCAAACUAAUAAAGUAUUUUUUUCGGUUUUUAGUCCUUAACGAUUCGAUUUUUGGUUUAACCGAUAAGAAAAUGCACAUAAAAUAGAAAUAGAAGUAACUAACAUGUAAAAAAUGAAUGUUAGUUGCAAGAAAAAUCCUACAUGAAGUGUUUAAAUUUACAAAAAUCUUCAAGUUUGAACUAAAUAUUGUUAGGAGAAAUUAAGAGUUUAUAUAAUUGAAAUAAUAGGUUUGUUUAUUUGUAGAAAUAAAAGAUAAAUAUAAUAAUAAGUCAUAUAUAUUCUUAUUGGGUUAUCGGUUUACCCAAUAACCCAAUAAGAAAAAAUCGAACCGAAACAAUAACCCAAUAAUUUUUUGUAACACCCCAUACUUUCAGACUUGAACGUAAAUUGUUAUUCUACUUGUACACAUUCCAAAAACCAUAAAUAUAUUGUGAAUAUAGUGUUUUAAUCAACUAUGUGGUGUAUAAAUCUAGUUGAUCAUGAAUUGAGAUCAUAGAGGUCCCCUAACUCAAGGACGAGUUCAAAGCUUUUCCAUCGAUUGAGUUUUAGUAAGUGUCAAAACUUGGGUCAAUUUCAAUCAGUCAUUAAUCUUUGUAUAUAUUGAAUUAGAGUGCCUACUAUAUAUCAAAUAAAAUCCCUUCGAAUUAUCUUUCCAACGAUAUCAAUUUCGCAAAUAUCCAACACUCAAGGAAGAAGUUAUGACUUUGCAAAGUGGAGUAUGUCAUGCAGCAUAAGGUGUGCGACGCACACCCUAACUUAUUCCAUAAGGUGUGCGACGCACAACCUAAUGUGUGAGAUUAAGAGUGCGCUGCACAACCUAUAUUAUGCGAUAAGGUGUUGUCCGCAUACAUUACUACUCAAGUGACUUAAACACUCCAUUUUUGGGGCAAAAUGGUCCUUUUCCCACCCUUAUUUAGCCAUAAACACGAAAUUCAGUCACUAAAUACCCCAAAAUACACCUUCAUUCAUCAAAAUUGCUCAAGAACUCUCCUUAGCAUUUCAAAAUAAAACUCGGGCAACUUAAAAUUCAACCGUGGGUUUUUGAAACUAAUUGCAUAUUUGGAAUCCCUAAAACGUAGGCUUCAAGAAACACCUAUCAUCUUUGCAUAUAGAGGUACGUGGGGUUAUCCUAAAAUCUCAUGGGCCUUUAAAUUCAUGUUUUAAAAUGGGGGUUUUGAAACUACGAAUAUAAUCAUGUUUUGAACUUUUCUAUAAUAUUGAUUUCGUCUUUAGGCCUAUUUCCGAUGUGAUUUGACAUAUUAUAUAUAUAUGCAUGUGUUUUGAAAAGGUGUUAAUUUGAGAGCAUGAAUUAUAUGGAAUCCCUCUCUUGAUGUGAAUUUGUUUUAAAUGUUCAUAUGGUGUAAAUUGUUUGAAAACAUCUUGAAAAGCAUGACAUAAAAUGUUUUGAGAAUUGAUAUGAUUUUGACUUGAAAACGAGAGGGCUAUUUGUGUUGAAACAUGUUGACUAAAAUGGUUGAAUGAGAAGAAUGAUGUGAUAUUGAUGGCUUACAAGUCGGGUAUGACGAUACCCUAUAGAAUAUGAUAUGUGAUUGAAUCAGAUGAAAUUUGAAUGCAUUGAUUUUACAUGAGAUAAGUGGAUGCUCGACGAAGGCAUUUGAGUGUAAGGGCUCAUCAUUGGAAACCGUGUUUGUCGACAUGGGAAUUUGGUAACCUGCUUUGUGAUCUUGCGUACCUGACUUUAUGUCAUUCCCAAGUUGGGAUAUGGUUAGGAGCCCUGCUUUAUGAUCUUGCGCACUACCAUUGGGUCGAGACACCCUGCUGUGUAAUCUUGUGUAUCUUUCCCUCACUUAUACUCUAAUUUCAGCGGCAACCGAGGUUUGACAGUUGGUGUAAAUAUGAUAUGUAGGGUAUUCUACCUAGCUCAACUGUAUUACAUUGUUGUUGAAAACAAUUACAUUACGCCAAUGUGUUUUCAAAUGAUUUGAUAUGAAACUGCUUUAUAAUGGCUCUCAACUAUAUUUUUUUAAAAUGUUAUGUUUUGUUUUGAUAUCUCUGUGUACCAGUACUUUUAUAUUGACCCCCUUCCCUUCCAGGUUUGGAGGCACAGUCUAGCUGUCCAGAAAAUUAGUAGAUUCCUCAGACAGAUUUGUAGAGUCACUUGUGAGCCUUCUAUAUUUCGGAAGGCCUGAUAUCUGGCAGUUUCAUUUAUCAUUUAUUAGUUUUGGAUCUACUGGGGGAAUUGUCCCAGUUUUCAGAGAGAUAUUUAUUUCAACCAUGUAGUAGAGAUUUCGCAGACGUUAUAGAGAUGUCGUGUUGAGAUUGUGGGACAUUAUUCCCAGUUAUUGAUUUCAUAAGAUUCUUGACCAUGUUUUCGUAAUAUUGUUUAUCUUCCGUAUUUCUUUUAUGAUAUGAGUUAUGUGCAUGAUUAUCAGACAAAUAGGGGUGUUUUGGGCCUUCAUGGUUCGGAAUGAUCGUCAUGGCCAGGGCCCCGAUUCGGGUCGCGAAAAACUUUGUAUCAGAGCACGGUUCAUGGUCCCAGGGUGUCUGCAAAAUCAUGUCAGGUAGAGUCUUAUUUAUGGGUGUGUAGCGCGCCACACUUAUAAGCAGGAGGCUACUUAGCGUUUAGGAAUGUCUCUCUUUCUUCAUGUUCCAGUUCGUGCAAUAGAGUCAAAAUGUUCCUCUUUCAUACUGUCAUUCAUGCUAUGGUGUCACCCAUAUGAAGGUAAAUUCAUCCCAAAUUCUUUCCUUACUCAGAUGUUCUCAGACAUGUCCCAUUAUUGGGGUGAUUCAAGUGCAAAAAGCUUAUAAUCUCUAUGAUAUAGUCUUUUUCGAUUAUGUCAUAUAAGAAAAAAAAAUUGUGCAAAGACUCGAGAGGAGUUUGUUGGUGCUUCAAUAUGUGUUGAUUCUGAUGUAAACAUUAAUCCUGAUGGAAUCAUGCUUUCCAGCUUAAGGUAUUAAGUGCAUCUAGUCCCUCCGAAAAAUCUUGAUACAGAUGUGGAUGGUGUAUAGCAGAAUGUUGGAACUGUAUUUCCACCAGAAUAGUAGCAUAAGUUAAAGUGUUGUUGUCAUGACCUAUCGGUAAUGAAAUUAGACCAAGAAGUUAGUGAUGUGAAUUCACAAAGUUAGAAGUCAGAGUGAGGGUGAUUUUUGGUGUAAAUGAAUAUUUCAGUUGAAUAACCGAUAUUUGAGGAUGAUUUACCCCUUUAUAGUGAUAAACUAAUGUGGUAGCUAGUAGCACAUGUGGAUGGUAUGGUAGUCCAUGGGGGAAGUAUUUUACUCAGAUUUUAAUUUAUACAAAGUAAGAUGUGUAUUCUUAGACCAUUAAAUAUUGUGUCAAAUUCCUAUCUCUUGUAAUAUGUAAUCUUCUUAUCAUGGUAUUUUUGAAAAAAAAAAAUUAAAGUAUAGUGAAGCCGUGUGGGGCUCUAUCGAUUCACUAGCAUAGUUGCCUUGUCAUCCAUCUCAUUUUCUUGUUCAAAAUACAAAACCAAAUUCUAGUGAAGCCGUGUGAGGCCUAUUUCGAUUCACUAGCAACUUGUUGUCCAGCUUGUUGUUCUUUUGUUGGUUUAAUAUAUGUAUGGCUGAAUCUGCUUGCAUGAGAUGGAGUUGGUAAAGAGGUAAUUUAUCCUUGUGAGUUAGUUUAGUAUAAGGUAGAGAAGGAGUUGUUAGUCAGGGUGAUUUGUUGGUUGCUUGAAUGUGAAAAAUGGCUAUAUUAGCGAGUAAGUUAUGAUUAUAGACUCAUGGUUGUUUGAGGAAUUUGAAGACAGUCUAAAUGUAUGCUUGAGUAAGUAAGUAUGAGGUGAGAAAUCCUCAUAAGUAGAUAAGAUCGUAUGGGGUUAUAAUAUCAGAUUAAGGUUGAUCAUGUCUAUUAUGUGACCUUACCCCUUGACUUUUUUCUAUGAGAAGGUAUGUAGCAAAUUAUGAGGUAUUUGGAUAGUACUACAUGAUUGGCACAGAUUUUUUGAAGUUUUGCAGGAGUUCUCGAAACUAUUUUCUAAAAAAUUAAGAGAUUUAGCAGCAUACUUCAACAGAACCGUGAAACAAUCACAAAUGCCAGAUAUUAAAAAACUAUAACAAUCGAAACUAACUGCUAGAGCUAUUAAACGCCCAGUGUUGGAACAACUAAUAAUUGACAUCAACCAAUUUCUAGAGGAAUAAGUUCAACAUUAAAAAUCACUUAGAAAAAUGGUAAUUCAUGCUAAUACUAUAAAGAAAUAGCCUACCUAAAUGUUGAGGAAUAUAAAACAACAAAUCAUUCAACACAGCUAUUAUUUUAAGGUACAUUCUAGAACUAUGUGAAUUACUGAGUUUAGAAUAUUGAAAGAGUUGGUCCUUGAAAAUAAUAUCAAUUAUCAUUCUCCAAUGGUCCUUGCAAUCAUGUUACAAAUUCUAGAUCAAUAAAAGCAAAAGAAGCUACUUGCCUAUCUCCGAAGAGAGAUUUGCAGUCCCCCCAUUUCGAUAAUGCAAUAAUUUUCUACAACCACAGCAAACAAAUAGAUUAUGGUUUAAAGGAAAUAUCAUGGGAUCCCAUCCAUUGCAAUGUGAGAGAUUGUAAACUGUUUAAAAUACCUUUGAUGCAUGAAGAAGUUCAUAGAACUCAUCUGCUAGACGUUUACGCUUUUUAGCUUCUUUUUCUUCUUUCUCCCUAGCCCUUUCCAGUAACUCCUCAAAGACAAACUAUGCAGAUGAAAUAUGCACAUUCAAUACUCAAUGACCUGGCAAGCCCUACCGCGUAGAAAUAAUGUUUAGAAAGGAAGUAUGGAAUAAAAUUAAGUAUAAUCCAUGUAUGUCCUCUUACUCCUUCGUUUGGAAGGCAAGGGGAAUAUAAUUUAAGAGUAUUAUUACCAUCUUUUGAAGUAACUCCUCACGUUAUAAUCUUUGAUAAAAUGCUUUACAAAAGUUUUGAGCUAUUGAAAGUAAACUAAAAGCCUUAAGAGACCCAACCAUCUAAGCAUAAUUCUUCGACAAGAUACCCCUUGCAAUUCCCUCUUCCCACAUACAUAGAUUAUACGCCAUGACCAUAAAUAACCUCCAAAAUCCAAAUGAUAUAUGAAGAAUAUCCUCAUUACAAAAAUAGCAAAUGAUUGUUGAUAUCAUCCAGUUAUGCUGUUAAACCAGUUUCGUAGAGUAAAACUCUUAUCCACUAACCGUAAAAAGAGAAAACUACAAGGCAUAGUGCUUUGACUUAAGUAACUUAAGAUAUGUGCGGUAGGUUUAAUAUUAAACACCGUCGUCCAGGAAAUAAAAACUAAGGAAAAUGGUACCAAAACUGAAGAAUUGGAAGCAAAAGCUAACACCAAAUAUUUGAUCAAUGUGGUCCUCGUCUUUAUUCUUGAAGGUUUUAGGCUUACUUGUUAACUGACACACUGCUCUUCUAUUAACUCCAUUACAAGAAGAUCCAAAUUUAAUGUGGGAUAGGUUAUGGUUAAUACUAAAGAAAAAUGCCACUAACCACAGUUGACUACCUAUGAGUUGCCAAUUUAGCAAUCACAAACUGACCAAUUUCCAGUGAAACAUAACAUGGAAGUACUACUAAUGCUUUUGCACUCAAUCCACUCAUCUUAUGCAGGACCUGUCCCAAAGACAAAAAGGGGACAAAUACAUAGAAAUCCAUUUUGUGAAUGGGGUACUUCAAUUUUCACAACAUUCAACUCAACAUUGGUCGAUGUGAAACAGUAUCCAGUGCUUAGCCAUAAUUUGACUUUUAAGUUGGUAUCUGACAUUGGUGGAGAGCUAAUAUACUUGGCGAUUGCAACCUUAAAAUCAUCAAGCGUCCAGGCUGAUGUCAAUCCAAUCUGAAAGUAGAGACGGCUCAGCCAAAAUAUUAGGUACUAAUCGAAGCACAACAGAGGUUAAAAUGGAGAGUGGUGAUUACCUCGGCCAUCCUAACUGAAUCUUUAAUUUGUGACUUGUCAUCAAGAUACUGAAGCAACAUACAAGUAACACAAAUUCAGAAUGCUUAUCAGUAAAAAAAAUAGGAUACCAAAUGGAGCCUUGUCCAUGCAUUUGAGUUCCAUAAAGUCUAUAAAUUACAAGCAGUGUGAUGGGGAUGAAAUUUCUUUCAUGAAUACCAACAUUUCUCCACUUGUUCAAAGUCAUCUACAAUAUCACAAGNNNNNNNNNNNNNNNNNNNNNNNNNNNNNNNNNNNNNNNNNNNNNNNNNNNNNNNNNNNNNNNNNNNNNNNNNNNNNNNNNNNNNNNNNNNNNNAAAAAAGUGAAUAAAUAAAAAUGGAUAGCAUCUCUGUUAACAGCGCUUUCGUUAUAUUUACUUAAUAAGAAUCAUUUAUGCAUACAAACAGUAAUACAAACUUUAAAGAUAGAAGUUGACAUCUUUAUUUUACAAGGGAAAAAGAAAAGAUUUUCAGCAUCGGAGUUUAUGUAUAACUCUCACUAUCCCAUAGCAAGAGCCUAACUCAAGAAAACAUUACCAAAUUCAAUCAUUGAAUAAGAGUACGAACAGGAUCAUUACCAUGCUAGGAUAGCAGGUAAACGCCCUCUUUCAUCAAGAAUGGAGAUAAAUGCUAAUAACAUUUGAUCAUUCAACUUCAAUUCUUUUCAGAAAGGGCAGAGGAUGAAACAAUAUAUCGUUUAGUUAGUCGCAAGUGUGCAUUACGGCGAAAAAAAUCACAGUGAGGGAGAUGCAACUUUAUUUAGAGAAACAAAGAUUCUCUCAGGCACUUUUUCCAAGGCUAAUCUUUUCUAAGCCUUUACUUUCAUUACAUCUCAACUACCUCUUCAGAGGCGAAUUCUGGCACUAAGUUUAUUUAGUCCAAUUUAUAUGGUUGACAACACAAUAUAUUUUGAAUUGGGUUUUAAGUUGCACGAUAUCAUCCGAAGUGAAAUCAAAAUUGGGGUGUGGUACAAAAGGACAAAACAUGGUCGAAACUUGACCAGACAAACUACUUUCAGGUCUCAUUUAUUUGCACUUAUUGGAUUUAUGAACCUGUUCAAACCUCAAACCAUUAAGUGCACUUGUUUUUAUUAGGAUUUUAGCUCUUAAUAGGCCUGAGUAGGUCUUAAUCAUUCAGAUGUGGAACCAAGACUAAAUAUCAUUUACAGAUAUUCUUGGGUAGGAAAAAAUUCACCACCACUCUAUCCACAAUCACCUGUCACCACCACCAACCACUUCCACCAUCACAACCAACAUCACUACCAACUACACUGCUAGCCGCUACCACACCUACCACUUCCAUUAUUCUAAUUAUAUCCACCGCCAACUAGGGGUGUUCACGGUUUGGUUUUUAACCAAACUGAACCGCGAUCCAAACCAAAUUGAUUAAGAAAACCUAUAUUUGGUUAGGUUUGGUUUGGAUUUGAAUUUUAAAAAAUCGAUACUAAUUUGGUUUAGUUUGGUUUGGUUUUACUCUAAAAUAACCAAACCGAACCGAUAUACAUAGAUAUUAUAAUUAUUUAUAUGUUUUUCAUAAAUGUAAUCUAAAUAUUUGUUGCAUUUUAUAUUUUAAUCAUGAUUUAACUUUAGUCGUAACACAUUCAUUCAUAUGUCUUCAUCUAGUUGACAAUACAUUAUGAAAUUCUAAAUGAAUUUCAUAUUUUGAAUGACAAAUGAUACUAAUUGUGAAAAUAAUAUCUUGUUAUAUAUUGAAAUUUACUGCUGAAAUUCAUUAGAUUAUACACAAUCACUAAUUUUAACUUUCUUUUGAACCUUGUUGAGCAAGAAGUUUAUGUGUUCACCUUUUGGGGGUAUAUCAUAUCAUUCUAUUAAAUAUAGUUUUUAAAUAUUUUUCUAAAAGCGUUCAUAUGGUGUUAUCAUGGCUUUGCCGAAGUAUAACACUCAAUUGACAUCAUAGUUUCAAGAUUGAGCUACAACACUCGGUUGACAUCUCAUAUGUUAGAUUGGAUUUGUUUUUUUAAAAUUUUCAACUUUUAUCAUUAACUAAAGUUAUAAACCAAAAAACCCGAAUCAAACCGAACUAAACCAACAAGAACCAAACCGAUGGUUAUUUUUUUUUUUUUGGUUUGGUUUGGUUUUAGAAAUUUAAAAACCAAUUAAGUUGGUUUGGUUAUGGUUUUGACCAAUAACCGACCCAUAUCGACCCAUAAAUACCCCUACCGCCAACGCCGCCACCAUCAACUCCUACCAGUCGACCCCUACUACCAACCAACUCAUCUAUCAGAACUAGCACUACCACUAAUAACCACCAACACAUCAUCAACUUCCACACAUCGCUAACAACCACUAACACAUCAUCAACUUCCACACAUUCUGCGAACACCAUCACCACCACUGUCACCAGCAUCACCACCUCUACCACCACCAUCCGCUACACUCGCUACAGUAUCUAUACUAACAACCAUUCCACCAUCACAGCUAACAGCGUCUCCAACGACCACCAACACAUCAUCAACCAUCAUGCAUACAGUUUUCCGUCACCACGAUCAACACCUCCAACUACUAACAUUAACCAACUUCACAUCACAACCACCACCACCACUACCAAUCGCCAAUAUCAUGAUAGUUACUACAAUGCCAACUAUCUCUACUAUCACAACUAUCAACACCAACGUUGCUAAUCACUAACAUCAAUUAAUUUAUUAGAACAACCACCACCAUUAAAAACCAUCUCCACUAUCACUAACAAACAUAAAUGUUUCUUUUUUUCAUCAAAUAAUAAUAUAAUUGCAUUAAAUUUAAAAAAAUUCUAAUAUAUAAUUAUAUUAUAUUUAGAAAUAAAUAAAUUUUGCACAUUCAGAUAUUGAGAAACACUCAACCUUAAUCAUUUAGUUUUCAGAUCUAGAGACAAUAUCUUAAUCAUUCAGAUGUACAUUCAAAAUUAUUCAAAUAUCUGAAUAUUAAUAAAAACAAAUGCAGUCUUAGCUGAAACACAAUGGUGUGGUUGUGUGAUACUUUAAAGGAGUCCUCGAAAGUCAAAGAAACUACGUGAAAACAUGGAAGUUUGAUGAUCACUUCUCAGAGUUGUUCUGAUCGAGAAACUAUAACAAUUAAGGAAAUAUAACCAUUAACAGCAUUCAAUGGAGGAGAAGUCAAUUACAAUUAUCCGUGAAGUAGAAUUUAAUACAGCUUGACUAUAUUGAAAGAAUCAUCUAUAUCUAUACUACAUUAAAAGCAUGGAACCCCUAACUUAAAAGUUUACGACAAUACCAUUCCUGUCAGCCUAAUUACCUACUAUCUAGUAAAAAAAAAAGAGGAAACUAAUUGGCAUAAAGAGAAACAAUGCAGAUGUUUAAUAGGAACAACCGGUCAUUGUUUUUAUCUGAACAAAAUAUGUGUUAUUUAAAAAAAAAAAAAGCAAGUAGAGGGGUAACUCUCAAAUCUCAAUCUCAUGCUUUUAUCCUACCAAGUAUGUUCUAUUUUUUAAUGCACUACAACAACAACAACAAACCCAGUAUAUUCCCACAUAGUAAUGCACUAACUUCCCUUUUUACCUAAUGAAUUGAACUUUUUAGUGAGAAUCUAAAUGAUUUUCAAACUUUGUUUAACAUCUGAUUCAUUAAGAUGUAUUAACAGGUUGAGUCUUUAAAAAAAACACUUAAUGGGUUGAUAUCUUAACCAUUCAAAUUCAGACCUUCAUUAAGUGAAAGCAAAUGAAAAGGGAUUGUAGUGUAAAGUCUAUAAAUAUGGCUUAGUGUAACAAAUGCAGUUGACACAAUUCAAUACUCCUAUUAGCAACCUAUUUCACCUGUUUCUCCAGCUCAUCCAUAACAUCUGUAAAUAAGUCUUUUGUUGUUGAUCCUGAAGUAUUUGAUGAGACAGCUAGAUAUGCAGCAAAAUCUUUAAUCUACAAACACAAAAUAAAGAAGGAAAUUAUUGGAAAAAAAAUUUAAAAAGACGAAAAGGGAACUCAUGAAGGUAAUCACUUACUGAACACAAGAAAGAAAAACUAACUUUGAUGCAAUAAUCACGCCAGUUAAUUUUUGCAUUAAGUAUUCCCGCAGGAACAUGCUCUUCCAUCAGUUUUUGAAACUCAUCACGAUUUUUACGUUCAGCUUUCCUCAAUUUUUCCUAUAUGAAUCAACAGUGUAUGCCCGGUGAGAAAGAGAUAAAUCAAAGUCUCCAAACAUAAAUUUAAUUUUAACCCCCGAGUCUAACAAGCAAUAUACCAUCCGCCAUUUCCUUUGCUCCUCCUCUUCGCUCUCUAAAUCACGUAUGUAUUCCUAAAACAGAAAAGGUUGCAACAUAACUUUAAAACUGAGGCGUACAAAUGAGAUGUUUGGAGAAAGUUAUUUAUGAUGUAUUAGAAAAAUGAGUAGUACCUGGAAAAUCUCCAAGCGUUCGAUUCUCUCAAGGCGGGAGCAUCUUUCAUCAGUUUCAAAGCAGUCCUGAACUUUCCGCCACUGGCUACUGGCCUGAACAAAAGAAGUCAGCAACAAUAGAACUAUGAAAGUUCUAUCUCCUGGAAAUAGAAAAAAAUAAUCUAGGAACUAAUGCUAAAUCCACUAGAACAAAUACCAUAAUAAAGUCACAAGAUUUUAAAAAUUCUAAGUACUCCACUCUAUUGCACUUCUGCUCCUCUAAUGCCUUCGCAUGCUCCUAAUAAAAUCCAGUACAAAGUAAAAAAAAAAAAAAAUUUCUCUAUAAAGAAGACAAUAUUUAAAAAGUGACUUUGACUACACUUGCAUGAAUGUAUUGAAAAACUUUUUCUAUUUUACGACGGAGGGGGGAGAGGAAGAAGCAUACCAUAGUUUCAAGUUUCAAGAAAAAUUACAUACAAUACAUGGAAGUCUGUUUAAAUUGGAAUUCAAUGGUGAACAAAUUUAAAUGUUAUACCUUUGAGAAGCCAUUAAAAAUGUAUUCAAAGAACACAAGAUUUUAAGUUGAAUAUCUACAACAUUCCUUCUUUCUACUCUUUAAGCAAAACAAAAAAAGGGAACAAACUAAAUGACAUCCUAUAAAGGAAAGGAGUGGAAUGACUGUUGUUAAUCAAGUGGACCAGCGUCUAACUCAACUUUAAAAACUAGGUCAGGUGGUGAAGAUUGUCCAAGAUCAUAUAAGGAAACUACAGUACAUACACCUUACUAGUGUGGGAUUCUCAUACAUUAAUCCCACACCAUGACUAGACAUUUGUAGCAUCAGUUAACCUAGGUUGGCUAACAUCUAAUAGUCUAACAUUAAUAUAGAUCUACCUCUAAUACCAUGUUUAAGAAAUUGGACCUUGUUUCUAUCUCAAAUGAAAGGCUAACUUAAUUUGUGAGGAGCCAAAGACCAUAUAAGGAAACUACAGUCCGCACACUUAGUUUUUAACAUAUAGAAGCUUACAAGAAAGUUCUGCAAAAGGAGCUUCACCUUUUUCUCAAGUUCCUCCACAUAAUCUUCAAAAAGGUCCUCACGGUCUUUAGCUUGCUCAACAGCUUUAAAACGUUCAUCAUGUUCGAAUAUAGAGAUUGCCUUACUGAAUAAUCAAUAGCAAAUAGUUAGUGGAUCAAAUGGAACUUACACAAGUAAUGGAUCAACUUCAAGGUACCAAACACAUACAAACAAUGACCAAGAUUAGAAAACAAGAAGCAGACAACUUAACAUUACAAGUGAAAGACAAACCUCCAUCUUGACGAUGGUGAUAGCUCCUUGCAAUCCUGUAAGAUUGAGAACAACGGACAUUGUUGUGAAAAAUACCACUUAUUCUUUUGAACAGGUCAAAUACCAGUCUCUAACACAUCAUGAAUAUUAUGAUAAUAUCUUUUUAUUUUUGAAACUGGUAAUGUGAAUAUCACGAUAUAUCAAAUGAAAGACACCACAAAAGAAAAUUUCACUUACUUCUAACAUUAUCCUGAAAUCUUCCCAAGCUUUUUUCUGCUUAACACGCCUCUCUUCAGCUUCCAGUGUUUUCUUUUGGCUCAGAUACUGAUACUGGAACAGACACACAACUUCAAAAUGAUCACUAUAGACCUUGGGUGUGUUUGAUAUGAAGGAAAAUGUUUUCCUAGAAAACAAGUUGGUUUCUUACUUGUUUUCUUAUGUUUGGUUGAUGAAAGGAAAACAUUUUUCAGAAAAUGUUUUCUAGUGUUUGGUUGGUGAAUAAAAAAAUAUUUUUCAAAAAAUACAUUUGAGAGUUGUAUAAACAUUUCAACUUAAGAGUGAGAUUGAAAGAGAGUUUUGGAAAAUGUUUUUCCUACUUUUUGAAGGGAAUUAAUUUUCCUUAUAUUUAAGGAAAAUAAGUUGAUUUGGAAAACAUUUUCCAAAAUAUUUAAGUCAACCGAACAUGAAACAAUUGUAUAUCAAACAAAAUCCAUCUUUUUGCAAUACGGUAUGCUGAAACAUUGAAGCAGCAAUUAACCCAUUCCAAUGCCGACAUGGAGAGAUACCUCAUUAAAAGCUUGCUUCCGCUCACAAAGGGAUUUUAGAGCACCAUAUCUCCAGUCAUUAAUUACUGAGCUCAUGCCUUGACAAAUACAAUUCAUGUCAAAUGAUCUCCCUCAAUUGUUUGGUACGCACAAAACAGUCAAGUAAUAAACCUGAUCCCACGUGCAAUCAGACCUAAUAUUUACAGAUUCCGGAAGAGUUUUGAAUGCACUCUUUGCCUCCUAAAUAAAUCAGAUACUUAAAAUAGAAAUAAGAGAAAUUUCGAGAACAUACAUUAAAUGGGACAAAAAGCAAUAAUCAACUAUACCGUUUUGCUCUUAUAAACUAAUGGUCCCAGCUCGACUAUUUUCUCAUCUGAUGGAGUAGCACCUCUAAUUUCAGUUACUGCAGCAUCUUUCUUGACAUUCUGCAUUUUAGGCACAACAUCAAGCGCAAAGGACAAAAGCAAACCUCAUUGGAAUUUCGAGCAUAUUCUUCACCUGUUAGCAGUUGACUAACAACUGCACUACAAAAUUGUUAGAUCAACAUCCAGCAUAACAGCUACGAAAAGCUUUCUUGGUGUUUUAACCAGUAACCAGUAGUAAUUAACUAAUCGCAUAAGUAUUUCAGAAGGACAAAGUACCUCUCCAUUCUUUGAAGAAAAUCCAUCACCAUACACUACUGCAUCUUGAGUUGUAGUAGUCUCAGAACUAUACAAAAAUUGAAUUCCAAAUAAGAAGCAACACAAACCAGAGGAAAAUUUAUAACAUACAAAUCUGAAAACAUACACCGGUGGCGCGACAGAAUUUCCCAAGGUUACUACUAUUCCAAUUUUCUCCGAAUUAGCAACAGCUGGCGAAUCAGGUUCUGAAGAAUUCUUCAUUUCGACAGUUUCAAUCAUUGGAGAAGAAACCUUACCAAAUAAACUUGAUGAUUCUGAAGCCAUAAUAGUUGGUAAGUUAGCAGCUGGUGACACAGCAAUUGGGCUUGAUUUAGCACCGUGUGCCGAGACUAAUGAACCAUCUGCACCCGGGGAUGAUGUUUUAAUAACAGAAAUAGAUCCAAAAUUAGAAGCGUGCGAAAUGGUGUCUUUUCACGAGCCAACUGUGAAUUUAUAAAUAAUUGAACUUUAUGAGAAUAGAGUAUCCAAGAAAACAGAAUAUUGCCCUUUCUUAUCAUGCUAGCAACUGUGAAUGCAUAAAGAUUUUAUGAGAACUAGAGCAUCCAAGAAAACAGAAUAUUUUCCCUUCUUAUCAUGAUAUUUAAAGCACAAAACACGGAAUAUUUUUCCUUCUUAUCAUGCUAUUUAAAGCACAGAACAAUCCCUUCUUAUCAUGCUAUUUAUAGAACGGAACAAACUCAUAUUGGAUAUAAAUAUAACAUCACCUUGACUUCAUCAGGCAUUAACCUUGUUGUAGUAAUACCUACAGAAAACAAACAAAGCAAUCAGCAUUAUGCACAAGUAACACACAAAAGUACCCACUGUAGAAGAACAAUUGGAAAGAGGCCAAGAAAAUAUAUAAGUUACACACUUUCUUCCCUCAGGACUUGUAAAUUCUCUCUAAUGAGUUGAUGCAUUUGUCCUCUGUCCCAAUGAAAAUAGCAUGAAAGUAGGUCAAGUCAAAAAACAGAACAUAAAUAGUACCCUGAGAGUAGAAAUCAGUCACUUCCAGCAGUACAAUACUUGAUGGAAGUGUUAAAAUAUGAAUGAUAUAAUGUCCCACAUGGAAAAGGACUAGAAUGUACUAUGUAGAAUAUAACUACAAGCAGGGUGGAAACAUUGCCAAGCUGCGGCUGAGCUACAGCUAUCCAAGGGUGAUCUUCUGUCGUUUCUGAGUAUUUUUAAUGAACACCCAUGCUACAAAAAACAAGACUGAGUGUGACAGUAAGGGUGUUCAAAUCCUGCACUAAGGUUCUAAGUUCCAUGCUCAACACAGCCCCCCAUAAUUUUUUUUCCAUUUGGACACGUUUGAAACUCAUAAACUACAGUUAUGCUUUUUUUCGAUGAAUCAAUUUCUGAACAUGUGUUUUUUGUCCCAAUUAGCUCUUGCAAAAGAGCUAGUAACUAGCAUGCCAUGUAUAAGAAUUUUGUUUAAAUAAACUUACAGGUAAAUUUAUAAAGUGGUUAUUAUACUAGCUAUCUUGCAUGGGGCAGAGUGUUUGGCUGGUCAAGAGCUCACAUGUUCGAAAGAUAAACGUAGCAGAAAUGAGGAUGUUGAGAUUGGUGUGUGGGCAUACUAGGAGAGAUAGAAUAAGGAACAGAGAUAUGCGAGAAAAAGUGGUAGUGCUCUUUGUGGUGGACAAUUGACAAGAAUACUAGAGGGUUGGGGAUAAAGAACCUAAAAAUUCAACAUAAGGCUCUCAUGAUGAAAUGGUUGUGGAAAUAUGCAAACAAUAACUAGCUGCUAUGGAGGAAAGUGAUUGGGGCUAAACAUCCUGAAGAAGAUAGAUGGAUGACAAAAGAAGUGACCACACCAUAUGGGAUUAGCCUCUAGAGAUCUAUUAGAUCUAUUAGACACUAGUGGAAUGAAGUUAAAAGCAACUCAAAGGUUAAAGUGAUGGAUGGAAACAAGACUAGGUUCUGGAAGGAUAAUUGACAUGAGGAUGGGAAUACGAAAGUGAUUUUUCCAGAUUCUACAACUUGGUAUUGUUUCGAUAGAGGACUAUAGCAGAAUUAUGGACACCACAUGGGUGGAACUUCAAUUUCAGAAGGCAACUUAAUGACCGGGAGGUAAUGAGAGUAGUUGAAUUGUUUAAUACCGUGGACUUAUUCAAUGGACUGCAGACAGUGAAGGACGUACUAUGGUGGAUGGGAAAUGAAAAACGAAUGUUCACUGUCAACAAAGCCUACAAGAUAAUGAACCAAAUAAAUAAAUCACCUGAAUCCAAGAUGGCCAUGGAAGCAAAUAUGGAAAAGUAGGAUACCUCACACAGUGUCGUGCUUUGUCUUUGUCUGGUUACUGACCAAGGAAGUAGUUCUUACACAAGAUAAGGUCAUGAAGAAAGGGAAAACCUUGUGCUCCAGAUGUUUCCCCUGUGGAGAAACUUUAGAGACGGUUAACCAUGUAUUUCUACAUUGUAAGUACACCCAACAACUUUGGAGAAUCGUCUUAAGACUAAAAGGAAUUUCCAUGACAAUGCCUAGGAAAGUAUCCGAGACUUUAAUGUGCUGGGAGAAGUAGGUAUACAUGCGAAGGACAAAAGUAGAUGGAGAAUUAUCCCUGGUGCUACAUGGUGGGCUAUAUGGAAAGAAAGGAAUUCUAGAUGUUUUGAGAGCAUAGAGAAUAGUGUGUAGAAGGUUAAACUCAACUAUAUUUUGCUUUUAUGUUUUUGGUGUAAUCAACUAUACUCUAAUGAUACUGCCUCGAUAAUUGAUGUUCUAGACUAAAUUUAGAUAUAGAACAGUCGAUUUAGGAGUACUCUUGUAUAUAAAGGUUUCAGUACAACCCAUGUACUGUGUGAUAUAAUACAAAGUUACCAAGUUCAAAAAAAAAAAAGAUAAUAAUUUUUAAAGUACUAAAAGUUUAUAAAAUAACAAAUAAAGCAAUUAAAUCUGAGUUCAAAUUGGGUGGGUUGGGUUAUGACCCGCAUUUUAGAGCAUUUCAAUCCAACCCAUUUCAGUCCAAGUAGCUUUAGGGUGGGUUAAUAACCCACCCAUUUAUUAACUCAGACCUCUUUGAUCCAGCCAACCCCGCCCAUUUGACACCUUUAGUUUAAUAGAAGUAAAGUGGAGCAUGCUAGAACACAUACCAGAUCUAUUGAGUUGAAGUAAAGUGGACUAUCAAAGGACACACAACAAUCUGUUGAGCUGUUGGAUUAGAGGGGAUUAGCAAGAGUUAGAAGAAAUGGGGGAGAACAAUCCUUCCUUAUAUUUGGUGGACUGUAUGGAGCAAGAAAAUUUGAAGGUAUUUUGAAGAUAAAUAUAAUUCAAUUCAGAAAGUUAAAUGGAAUAGCAUUGUAGAUUUUUGUUUUUUGUUUAAGGGACAAUGUGUAUAGGAUACCUAACAGGUAGUAGAUCUCUUCAAAUCCUCGCAUUAUUUUCAUUAUUUUUCAUUUCUUUUGGACUGCUAGCAUAACCUUAACGCUAACUUAUACAAAGUAAUAUCUCCAAAAAAAAACUGUUUAUCUCAAAAAGAAAAGAAUAAAAAUGCUCAAACUUCCUUACAACUCCAGUUGUUGGUUCCUUAAUACUUGUCCCUCACAACCAACCAAACUUUCUUUGAUAACCGUCGUGUUUGGGCCAGCUUGCACCUUGACUAGUUACACCAGGUACUGCUACCUCCCACCAGCACAGAUACUGGGUAACUCUGUCGAUCAAGGCUUGGACAGAUGGUAAGAAAUCACCUAGUGUUUUUAUCUCUGUUGGAAAUUAAACCUGAGACCUCAUGGUUCUCAAUCUACUUCAUUAACCAUUAGGUCACACUCUUGGGUGCAAGUGUGCAACUAGCAAAAUUAUUAUUCUAUAAACUAGAAUGAGAAGUGUGGACCACAAUAUUAUAUCAAGUUUCCUCUCUCCAUAUCGCCAUAGAGUUACAAUAACAUUACAUCAAUCAGGAAGUAAAUAAAAUUAUUUAAAAUAGACCAAAUAUAAUCCUUCCGUGUAUGCUUAAACACAUUUUUUCAGAACAAUAGUGUUAAAUAUAAAAUAUUUUAGAACUAUAUUGGAAAUAAAAGGUCAAUGUAAAUCCCAAAUGAAGCCUACAUAGUAUAGUAAGAUCAAGGAAAUCUGCUCGCUAAACAAACAUUCAACAGAAAUCACAUAUACUUAGGAAAGAAAAAGUGGUUCUACGAAGCUUCAUAGAAAAAGAAUUGUGUACUUCUUUUUUCAUUGAUAAGCACAGGAAACUGGAUAAAACUACCCAUAAAAAUCUCGAUGAAACGAGACCUCACCUCCAUUUCUGUCAUCAGCUCUCAAGGUUUCUCCCAGGUAGAGAUUCUUGUUCUUCUAUUAUAAUAGUAUCUAAAAAUCAAUUAAAGAAUUGUAAGAAUGUUAUUAAUUGGUUGGAGUAAUAAAGCCAUAGGAAAUAUGACAACAUUAGCAACCAUAAUUGGCUUACUGUUCAUCAAAAGAUGCUGAAAGUAGCAAUACCUACUAGCAUUUAGCCACAUGUAAAAUAUGUAUGAUGAUAGAUAAAUAGGGUCAAAAUGAAGUUAUCGGUAGAGGUGUAUCAAGUUCUGCCGAUGAACAGUCAGGUAAAAUUUGGUAGCGGUGAACGGCAGCCCAUAUGAUUACUUUGACAAAGAGGACUGAAACAAAGGGGCCUUUUAUCUCCAGUGCUAAUGGAAGCAGAAUGAUGUACAAAGCACUAGAUGUGGAUACUUGAGGGAUUUCUUGGCAGUGAUGGGGGCCAACAUAUCCACCACUUGUUCAUAGACAAGACAUUAAGUGUUUCUGAUGCAGACAUUAAACUAUUCAUAUAAGUAACCUAUGUGAAUAUAAUCCAAAAGAAAGAAUUACGGAAAGCCAAAUCGGCAUGCUCUUUUUUCUGUCUGGAGAACACAAAGUGGUAAAAAGAUUGGAUCUGAAUGAAAAUGAUAUUUUUACAGAGCUUCUUUUCUUGUGUACCGCGGUUUUACACCUUUUUUGUUCACUGGAAUCUUAAUUUUCUUACUAAAAACUAUCAUAGAAUUCAAAUGUUGACUCUCUCAGUCAACACACACCCAUUAACUUAAGCAUGUUACUUGUUGACAAUAUUUAUGCAAAACGGGUACAAUAAAACACAUUGAAUUCUCACCAGAACAACCAAGGGAGCUGCUAAUUCUCCAGUCUUCUGCACAAUUGUCUCAGAAUUCACAUUAUGAUUACUUAUUGGCAUCCAGGGUUGUACCCCUGAUGGAAACCUAUGAUCAUUUAUCUGUGUCUGAUACUGGAAGCUAGAAGAAUCUGCAUUUACCUGCUGUUAAAGACGAUAACAAAAUGUAUUUCAUCAAUAUAUGAAUGGAACAUCGGAAACCAAUUGACAAUAACCACAAAAGAUCUUCCCAAGGCCUUACAUUAUAUGAAGAAGAAAGAGGUAAAUUUGGGUCACCAGAACCAGGCAUGUGGUUAUUUAACAUCGGAAGAUUUCCCUGAAAAUCAUGGGGAGUAGGUGGUCCCUGAGGCAUACUAUGCAUUCCUACUACAGGUCUACCAGUAACCUGUUGCAUAGGUUGAGGAAAUUGGAUUUGAGAAGGUUGAGACAUCGCAACAUUUGCAUGUCCAAGUGGAAAAAAUUGUUGAGAUGACUCGGAACCAUAAGGUUGUGCCUGCUGGGAUGGAAGCAUAGGCUGGAAUUGCUAAAGAUGUGGGGAAAAUAGUUAUCAUAAUGUCUCUGCAUUCAAAAGUCAUUUAUUCCUCCCCCAAGCCUCCACAACUUUACCUGCAGUGACAUGGAUGGAAUUGCACCAGGAGCAGGACCAGCCAGAGGAGGUAUAAGAGGCUUCUCAACCAAUAUCCAUGCAAGGAAGAACAGAUGAAAUCAGAAUAUAGCUACUUUUCAAUCAUAUUUAGAAAGCUUGAAUCCAUGCGCAACUCCCUAAAUUAAUUUGAAGGACAAGGCAGAAUUUUGAAGCCAAACCACAUAGUAACAUGAAACCCUUUUCUUCAUCUAAUAAAUAGAAAGCUUGAAAUGAGAAUAAAGAGAGAUAACAAAUAGAUGACCUAUCACAGCGUUAGACGAGAAUGGACAAAAUGAUAAGCAUCUUUACCUUAUGGCUUGGGUUCAACAGCUACUGAUGGCCUAAGUAUCUUUUCUUCGGGUGUAAAGAAGCACGUCUGUUAAUGCAAAGCUAUGAUCAUGGAACUGAAACGUGAGGUAUGAGUAGGUAUUAGGAUAACCGAAAAAUACUUAGACCGGAAUAGGUUGAGCCUCACUCUUCCCUUCUAAUGUUCUAUGUCAUACUGACAUCACUACUAGAAUCUGAAAGACUGACUUGGUUAUUCUCUCUGUCAUCUCCCCCUUAGCUUCAAGCCAUCAAAUUAAGUUUGGGAGAUCCCUUACUAGACUCUAAACUAAAGUACACUCACUGCACUCUGGGUCUGGAAAACUAUUAUACACACAUAUCAUGGAACUUAACCUGAAUGAAUACACCUGAAAGUGGAAAACCCACUGUUAAUACUACCUUCUGAGAUACACUUUAUCAUUCUAUAGACCCAGUAGUCAUCAUAUAAUACUUGCAUACUUACUAACUUCAGGUCUUCAUGGGUAUCCCCAUAGUCAGAGUGCACAGCCUCUAGUGCUUUAACUCUUAUUUCUAUUAGUUCAACCUUUAAAAACUCAAACUUAGAAUCUAGCACUCAACAUGGAUAUCACCAAGCCUUUAAUGAAUCAUACCACUUCCGACACAGACUACCAAUAUCGCGACUCCAAACUUGCAUCUCUCUACUAUGAGAAUCAAGAUCAUAUAAAAAGGCUUAACACUAUCAAUCAAAUCUCCUUAACUUGGAUAUUUAGAAAACCAUAUACCAUCUAACUAGUCUUUCUCCACCUAGCAACUCAACGGUACCACUCGUCACACAAAACGUGUAAUAGUCUUAGAAAAUACCGCAACCCCUUACGCAUGAUUCUCACUUGGAUACCAUGAAAUAGACAUCAAGAAACACUAGUACACUAGAACUUCCAAACAACAAAUAAUUGAUCUUGACCUUACGGUCUUCCUUAUCAUAACUCAUUAGCACGUACUAUUUUAACACAUCAAGCCUACUAAUUUUUUCCCACAAAAUAUACAUCAUUACUCUCAUGCCACUAUUUUUAUCACCACAUUCUACAUUAAAUUUAAGCAUAUAGUCCUGUACCAAUCAUCUAUCACUAUUGAAAAAUGCAACAUAAUAUGCUAGUCCAUAAAAUUUGGGACAUACUAUACAAGCGCCUCAAAAAUCACUACUUACCUUCUCACAAGUAAUACUAGUUUACAAUUACCGACGAAAAGAAGGUCAAGGGGUAAAGUUGCAUAAUAGACAUGAUCAACCUUAAUCUUAUAUUAUAACCCCAUACAAUCUUUUCUACUUAUACGGAUUUCUCACCUCAUACUUACUUACCCAAACAUACAUUUAGACUACCUUCAAAUUCCACAAACAACCAUGAGUCUAUACUUACAACUUACUGGCUAAUAUAGCCAUUUUCACACUUUAAGCAAUCGAGAAAUCACCCUAACUAACAACUCCUUCUCUACCUUCUACUAAACUAACACACAAGGACAAAUCACCUCUUUCAAUCUCAUGCAAACUGAUUCAGCUAUAUAUAUAUAUAUAUAUAUAUAUAUUAAACUAACACAAGAACAACAAGUUGGACAACAAGUUGCUAGUGAAUCGAAAUAGGCCUCACACGGCUUCACUAGACUUUACUUUUGUAUUUUUAACAAGAAAAUGAGAUGAAUGACAAGUCAACUAUGCUAGUGAAUCGAAAGAUCCCCACAGGGCAAGAUUAAUACGCAAUAUCCAAUGAACUAAGAAUACACAUCUUACUCUGUAUAAAUAAAAUAGAGUCAAACACUUCCUCCACGGACUACCAUACCAUCCACACAUGCUACUAGUUACCAUAUUAGUCUAUCACCAUAAGGGGGUAAAUCAUUCUCGAACAUCGGUUAUUCAACUAAAAUAUUCAUUUACACAAAAGUCACCCUCGCUCUGACUUCUAACUUUGUGACUUCACAUCACCAACUUCUUGGCCAAAUUUCACUACCAAUAGGUCCUGAUAACAACACUUUAACGCAUACUACUAUUCAGGUGGAAAUAUAGUUCCAACAUUCUACUACACAUCAUCCCCCCUUAAUCAAGACAUUUGUAAUAUAAAUUUGAAGGGGACUAAAUGCAAUUAAUACCUCAAGCCGAAAAGCACGAUUCCACCAGGAUCAAUGUUUACAUCGGAAUCAAUACACAUUAAAGUACUAACGAACUCUUCUCAAGUCCUUGCACAGAUUUUAACUCUUAUAUGGUUCAAUUAGAAAGGAACAUACCAUUUAGAUUCUAAACUUCUGCACUUGAAUCACCUCAAUAAUGAGACAUAUCUGAGGACAUUAGAGUAAGGAAAGAAUUUGGGAUGACUUUUUUUUUACUUUCGUAUGGGCGACACCAUAGCACGAAUUAGAGUAUGAAAGAGGAACAUUCUGACUCUAUUGCAUGAAGUAGAACAUGAAGAAAGAGAGACAUUCCUAAACGCCUAGUAUCCUCCUACUUAUGAGUAUGGCGUGCUACACACCCAUAAAUAAGACUCUACCCGAUGCAAUUUCACAGACACCCUAGGCCCAUGAACUGUGCUUUGAUACCAAGUUUGUCAUGACCUGAACUGGGGCUCUGACCGUGACGAGCAUUCCGAACCAUGAAGGCCCGAAACACCCCUAUCUAUCUGGCAAUCAUGCACAUAAUUCAUAUGAUAAUAAGAUAUGUAGAAGAUACACAAUAUUAUGAAAAACAUGGUCAUAAAUCAAAUGAAAUCAACAAAGGGGAAAUGAUGUCCCACAACAUAUAUCGACAUCUGAACAAUCGUCUAUGAAAUCUCUAAAACAUGACUGAAAUAAAUUACUGUCUGAAAACUGGGACAAGGCCCCCAGUAGACCCAAAACUACUAAAUGAUAAAUGAAUUGACAGACAUCAGGCCUUCCAAAAUAUAGAAGUCUCACCACUUGAUUCUGCAAAUCUGUCGGAAGAGAUCUACUGGUUAUUUGGACCCCUAAACUAUGCCUCCAAACCUGGGAGGGAAAGUGUUCAAUACAAAAGUACUAGUACGCAGAGAAACCAAAAACAAAAUAUAAUGUUUUUUCCAAAUAUAGGUGAGAGCUAUUAUAAAGCAGUUCCAUAUCAAAUCAUUUGAAAACACAUGGGCAUAAGUUAGGGUGUGCGUCGCACACCUUAUGGCAUAAGUUAGGGUGUGCGUCGCACACCUUAUGCUGUACGACAUACUCCACUUUGUAAAGCCAUAACUUCUUCCUCGGGUGUCGGAAUUUCGCAAAAUUGGUAUCGUUGGAAAGAUAAUUUGAAUACCUUUCAUUUGAUAUAUAGUAGGCACUGUAAUUCAAUAUAUACAAAGAUUAAUGGUCGAUUGAAGUUAACCUAAGUUUCAACGUUCACUAAAAUUCGAACGAUAGGAAAACUUUCAACUUGUCCUUGAGCUUGGGGACCUUUAUGAUCUCAAUUCAUGCUAAAAUAGGUUUCUACACUACAUAAUUUAUUAACACACUAAACUUGCAUUGGAUUUAUGGCUUUUGGAACCUUUACGUGAAGAAAAUGACGAUUUUCGUUCUCGUCCGAAAUGCGGGGUGUUACAAAAUUUUGUUAGAAAAUGGAAAAUACAACAAUAUGGAGGACAUUUUAGCUGCACCGUACUCCCAAUAUACACCGUCCUCCUAAUACACUAAACUGAACAUUAAAAGUACUAAUGCAUUUCUUACCUGCACCGUACUCCAAAUACACUAAACUGAACAUUAAAAGUACUAAUGCAUUUCUUACCUGUUGGUGUGUAGCAUUCAAAAGUUUUAUUGUCUUUUGUCGGAAGAUAGCCACAACGACGGUUUCAAGAAUGAAGAUUAAACUUAAAAGAUGCCAUGCUCGCUCUGGAGUUCCUGCUACAUGAUACAACAUGACUCUACAAUGUUGAAGCCACUUUCCUAAUCCUUGGAGUCUAAGUUCUUACGAGAAUGAAAUAUGAUUAGGUAACACAUCCUCAACAUUAUUUGAAUUAGUGACAGGAGGGUUACUGUCGCGAUGUUCUCGAUCAGCGUCCAAACUACUUCUCUGCAACAAGGCUAGAAUCUUUGGGUCUAAUCCAUUCUCCUUCAGCAUCACUGCAAAAUUAGGAUCAAGCCCUUUAUCUUGCAAUAAAUUAGCUAAUUCACGAUCAGUGUGUCUUCCUUUCUGCUUUAAUAUAGAUGUAAUCCUGGGAUCACUCAACUUUUCUUGAAAUGCUAGUGCCAAAUUCAAGUCGAGUAUCUGUUGGUUUGCAGAAGUGGAUUUACUAGAAUCACCACCUUGGCUUUCAAGUCCACUGCUAGAACAAACAACCAAUGAAAUAUUAUGCUCUAAAUUUCUAUCAACAUAUGAGGAUCCUACUUCAGGCUCUUGAACAACUGAACGACAGGAACUACUACGUAGAGCUAGACUUGGUCUUCCACUGUCUAUGCUCUUAUCACUAUUAAUCCCCUCAAUGUUAUUCCAGGUACUGCCAUCACCAGUGCAAGGCAUAGUUGCAUUACCAAGAUGACCAGCAUCAGCACUUCUAAUGCGUUUGACACUUGAGCCACACCCCUCAGAAGAGCUUACGGAGCUAUUUUGGUCUUUUCUGCGGAAACCUUCUCUACGGCGGAUAACUAUACUCUGCAAGGCAUCUUGUUAGCUGCUAAUGGGUCUGUAACUGAUAAAUGCUGUGAAACAGCAGCACCCAACAGCACAGAUGCUACAACUACAUAACUGAUACAACAAAAUUGUUGCAAUAAAAGAUUAGAAUAUUUUUUUUUGAUAACAAAAGAUUAGAAGUUUCUAUUCAACAAAUAAUAUUAAAAGGGAUGCAUAUGCCACAAGUAUAAGAAGAUUUGAUUAUGGAAGAAAAUGAAUUAGCAUAGGUUAACAACAAACCAGUAAUGAACUCCAAAACAGACCAGGAACACCCGAGAUGUUCCGACAACAAUAAGUAUGAUGACUCAGCUUUUCAAAAGCUUAAAACCAUACAAGAAAGCUUCCAAGUUCCAAUCUAAUUGAAUGAAAAGAUAGUGAAUUCAUUACUUACCACAAAGAAAUAAGAAAUUAUUUCACAAUACGAGUCAGAAAAGGAGACAGAUAUAUGUAGGAAAUUAACUACCAAGGAUUAUCAUGGCAGCUGAUGUUGUAGCCCCAAGCCAGUUUGAUUCCUUUGUUGUCAGACCAUACAGGAUCGAAUACACAAGAAGUACUACAAGUGAACCAAUAUAUAGAAGUCCAAGAUUGAGAGCCCUGCAGAGCCCAAGUUCAAAGUGAAGAAGAGUAAAUUAUAGACUUCAGAGAAAAUGUUGAAAAGAUAGUGCAGAAAAUAUGAUGAGCAGUAUAAAUGAGAACCCACUGAACACAUAAUAUAACAAGGUGACUUUAUAAUCUAAAGCAGAAUUUAAAUUAAUUUGCUUAGCAGUGAGAUUUUAAGAUCUACUGUUUUUACUGGACUACUGGAGAGUGUGUUUUGUUCUCUCAGAGUUAGUAUUCCUUUUAUUCAAAUAGAUUUGAGUUACACCCAUUGUUUAGCGUUCUUUGGCUCUUAAUUUUAAAAGUCUGUUAGUUGAGAACAUUUUGGCCUAUCUUCAUAUCUUCCAUAUCUUAUAAAAAAAAUUAUGUUCCAUCCAGAAAAAGAGUUGUCAUAUUAGUCAUCCCUGUCCUUUAUAUAGAGCUCUUCCCAUCUUUGUUCAAAUCCCUAGCCAACAAGAAUGAUGUCCCCUUCAAAAAGUAUUACAUCUUACUCUGUCUUUCUAUUGCCUAUAAACAGUCUAGCACAUCAAUGAUGUCUUCUGCUAGAGCUAAUCAUCAUGUUUACACCAAAAAUAAAGAAGUGCUAAACUAUUCAAGUUGAUCUUCUGGACAUCCUCAAAACAACCCUUGUUUCUUUCUGUCCAAACUGUCCACCAUAUACAUGUUGAACAAUUUUCCAUCUCUCCUCCUUUAUUACAUUUACAUCCCCAUUCAUGCUGCUUAGUACUUUUUUAAUGCCACUAGGUUCUACCCACCUGAUCCCCUUCAGGUUGAAAACAUUCUCUACAGUUGCUCUGUCCGUUUCCAAUGUAAGAAAGAUGGUUGAUUAUGUAAAGAAAGGAUCUUGGGCCUAACUCAACCCUAAAAGCUAGCACAUGAGGGGAGGAUUGCUCAAGUCCAUAUAAUAAGACCGACAGUUAACUCCCCAACAAUGUAGGACUUUCACCUACUCUAACACCACCUUCACGCCCAGGCCCAAUAAGAGCGUGGUACGAGAGCUCAAACGUGGAUGGACCUGUUGUUUGAGAAGGAAUAUUAACUGCUGUUUGUAUGCAAGAGAGAAUAGAUAAGAUGUUUUUACUGAAUACAUUGGGUCUAUCAGCACAUACAGGUUCAUGCAUUAUGCCAUUAGGUUUUGCAGCAGUUCCAAUAUUUUCAGCAGCACCACAAGUUGAAUUUUGAUGCACUGCAGUAAGGAAAGAAAACUUAAACAUUAACUUGAGACAACAACACAAGCUUCUCAAAUGCAGGUUCUAGCAAGAACAAAGAUAACAAGCAAAUAGAAGGCAAUGAAGAUAAGGAUAAGUCUAGAUGAGCUUGGGGACAGGCUCCAAACUGAACACAGUGCUCGUUAUUCUUGUUGUAGAUAAGAUCAGACAACUUAUUAUUUUGACGUUAAGAGUUUCUUGUAGAGGAUGCUGAAUCCAUUUUGCAACUUUGGAGGCCUUGUAAAGCACAGAGAGGCUCAUUUUUGUAAAGAAAAUACUGCCCACAUAGUAUCUAUGCUAUCAUUUUUAAAAAAAUAUGGUGCUUGCUGGUUUUACCAAUAUCUUGUAUGCUUGUACCUUCCAAUGCAACCUCCCGGCGAAAAAACUAACCACCAAUAGGCAUCUUUUAGCAUAGAAGAUUCUAAGACUGUCUUACUAGGAAUUAGGUAAGUACAAGUUCUUGAAGGGAAAUUGUUUGCAUCAUUGAAGAUCAGAAAGCCAGGUAUAUAGGAGAUUAGACAUUUUAAAGAAAAAAUAACAGGUUUAAUAUCAGGAAAGACAUCAAAAACUCUUAUUUACAUAUAAAUGAUGGAUCCCAAAUAACUUCAGAAGUUACACACAAAAGGAAAAUGGUACAGAAACCAAUUCCACCUUCAUAAUAACUAUGUCUGCUUGAUGUAAGCAUAAACAUUAUCAAGAAAGACAUCAAAGACUCUCAUUGACAUAUAAAUAAUGGAACACAAAUAACUUCAGAAGUUACACGCAAAAGGAAAAUGGUACAGAAACCAAUUCCACCUUCAUAAUAAUUGUGUCUGCUUGAUAUAAGUAUAAACAUAAAGAACAUACUGACAUACCAAAAAAUUAUCAAAAUGUUCUACAAUGUAGUGCUAAUUUUUUUUGUUUUUUGAAAUUAAACGCAGUGUAUAGUUUAAAAAUGUGCAAACAACAUUUAAUGUGGCACGUGAAGCAUCAGGUACUGGAAGGAAAAUUUAAAACAUGGUGGAGGCAAAUGAAUCAAAUAUACUAAGACAAAGAAGGCAUUUGAUUGCAGAUCAAAUGGAAGAGUCUGCCAACCGACCAGAUUUAGGAGCAGCUCUGGUCCAUGCACCAUUUUGAGGUAAAUUUAUAUGGUUAAAAAUUUGGAUGUUACUUAAUAUAUGCACAAACUGAACAUGAACUGCCCGGUUAGACAAGUGCUUUUUGUAGCUACCCAGUGACAACCUUAGUGAAAGAAUACAUCAAUGAGAAGUUAACUCAGUAAGCUUAAUGAGCUUUCCCCUGUAAGGAAUGAAAGUGUGGAUGACCCGACAUCAAAUAUACGAUUGUUAUUAUACACACAAUCUCUAUACAAUAGCAACAACAUACCCGAUGUAUAUUCGGGCAGAAUAUAUGGAAACCAUACCUCUACCUCAAAGACGAGAAGAAAACGGUAGCACCAAUCCUCACUAAAUACUUCAUAAGAUAAAAAAACAGCCAAUACUUACAAAACCAAAUGAAGCAAAAGAAGUUCAUUUUCUUGAUCACCAGCAAGUAAAAGAAAUGUUUACAAUUGGAGAUUUAAAAAGGUUGCAAAAGAAAGAAGCAAACUUUCUAUUUAACAAGUGUCAAAGUGGGGAAAGAAUAAGAGUAAAACCAAUAAGUAUACGAGAAGUCUGAACACUAUAGUCAAUGAACAAAAUAUGAAUUGUAGUUUGGAAAUUUAGUAUCCAUCACUCCAACAGAGAAUCAGGACUUGCAAGAAGGUUGAAAGGUUUGCCUAUCGAGUUUUUCAAGAUUGUGAUUUGACCCUUUUUCAUAAGAAAGUCUUCAUCGAGGGUGUCUACCUUUCUUUUCAACAUGUUGAUCUCAUAAUUCAACAACAUGUUCAUCUCACUGUAGCUCUUAACUUCCUCCCACAUGAAAUCCCUCUCCUGAAAUACUUUUGGUAGUAUCGCCUUUACAACGCAAAGUUCCUUCAUGCAUUCUUGCAAAUCAUUGGUGAGCUAGUUGAUAUUUUCAUCCCUUUUUAGCACCUGUGAGAAUCAACCGUAAACCAUGAAAAACAAAAAAGACACAAAGAUCACCAAUAACAUUUCAUCAGAAAUUCAAAACAAACUCAUAGCCUAGAAGUUCAACCAAAUCAUGAAUCCUUUUUAACUAUUAAAAUUCAUAGUAGAUAACUCCUGAGCUUGUCCAAGAAUUAAGUAAGAUGAACGAGCAAAGUUACCAAAACCCCUUCGGGUAACUUUACCACAUCAGAGCAUAAUCAGAUCAAUGGAUUUGACGAUAUCACAAAGUUUAUCAUGUUCUUGGUUGGUUCAAGUGAUGACACAUUAAGGCGAUCAGAAAUUUCACAGAAGACUACCACAUGCCAGCAACUCAUGUAUACAAGUUCAUAAAGAAAUCUGUGAACUUUAGAUGGAACAAAGAUGAACCUAAAAUCAAAUAGAAGUAGAAAGCUAAUGCAGAGAGAGUAACAUGCGAACAGGCUAUCAUAUAUGAAGACAGGGUAUCCAAAGUUGAAAAAUAAAAACUAUUCAGUUGCAACGAGAUAUUAACAUUGCCUGCUUACCUGAAGUUUGAGAUAUUUCAACUUGGGUGUGGCAUAAGAAAGAGCAUCCAGUUUAUUUUGCACUUAACAUUGGAGAAUGUCGUUACCUCUAACUGUUAUGGCUAGAUUAGCCUGAAGUUGCUUUAUGUCCAUCUCCUCGGAAUAGAGCUUCUCCCUUAGCACAGUUGUCAGCAAAGUCUCUGAUUUAAGCCCUUUAACCUUUUCCUGGUAGUUUUCUCAGACAUAAUCUCUAUUGUCUUGAGAUACUCGAUAUUCCACUUGUAACUAAGUGAGAUGCUGCCGUAGAUUUUAAUUCUCCUCUGACACUUGCUCUAUUCUCUUAGACAAAUCUUCAAGGUGUUUCUCCGAAAAUGAUAUCUUGAUUCUAUUAUCUACUUCCUUCUCAUUAAAUGAAGAGACUUCCCUUUGUAGAGACACAUUCUGCUCUGCAAGCUCCCUCGCCCUUUCACGGGUCUAUGUUGUUCAAUUUGGUAUUUCUCAAGUUUUAGAGACCAAUUGUUGGAUCUUCUAUCCAACUUCUUUUCCAAUACUGAUUUUAACUCAUUCUUUUCUGUCUCCAAUCUUCGUGUCCGUGAAUCUAGUUCUGCCUGUAAUAUGCUGGCUUCUUGCUUAGCAGAAGCCCUUUCAGCAACUUGAUUCCAUAGCAUGCUUGAAACUUCAGAAGCCAUUUGUACCUUCUCCUUUGUCAAUCUUGUAAUAGUCCGAAUCAAUAAUGGAACGCUAAGGUCUCUGCCAUGAAGAAACAUUUGUUAUUACUUUGGACAAGCAAAUGCAAAUUAAAACAUCAGUUUAAGUGUGAAAAAGGAAGCUAAAGCAAAAUGAUAUGCAUACCGGCUUGAAUCACGACUAGAUUUCUUAGGAUGAACUUUCUUACUGUGACCAUGGGGAGAUUUGCUCAGAUCCAUGAAAUUCUUUUUUCCUAACCCACUGUCAUAGAAGGAUUCGGAUGAUAAUGAAACACUCCUCCAAGAAGAAACUUCCUUGGACUUUAAUGGUGGUGAAGGGGUCUUGUUUUCAUCAUUAGUUGAUGAUCGAAAAAAGAAGAAGUUGUUCUUCAUCAUCUCUAUGUAUGGAGACUGUACAUGAAUCAAACUAGUGUCCAUGAGAUUUCAAAGGGCAAAGCAAAACACUCAUAAAUAGCCACUCACAAAUCAUUAUCCAUUCAUGAAAAUACUGCAAGCUAACUAAAUACUUAUGAGACAAAGCAAAACAUCUCUCUUUCUACAUGCUUCUUCUUCAACAACAACAUACGUAACCCCUACCUUGGCAAGUAGAAAAUUUGUUUCUCAUAAAUCCUCGGCAAGGAAAGCAAAANNNNNNNNNNNNNNNNNNNNNNNNNNNNNNNNNNNNNNNNNNNNNNNNNNNNNNNNNNNNNAUACAACAAGUAGAAAAGAAAAAUAUAUACUAAUACUACUACCAGAAGAGAUAUGACGUGAAACUAUUUACUAAUAGUCUUCUACUGAAAAUUAAUAAAAUACCCCAUAAACAAAUAGCACAAGAACAAUUCAAAGAACUUAUCAAAUCCUUCUGAUAAAACAAAUAAUCAUGGUAAAUAAUCAAAAAAUAAGAGAAAUUACUGAAUCAAAGAGUUGAAAGAGUAAGAGCCGGCAAAAUGUUGUCAUAAUUUGUACGAUUCUUGUCAUUUUUUCUUGAAAUGUAAAAAUAGCAAAAGACUAGAAUUCUGUGUCUUUCAUUCAUCAUCGUACAAUGCAUAUAUACAACUAACAAGGAUCUGUAAAUUUCAAGUAAUAUUUACAAGGAUCUGUAAAAUUCAAGUAAAUAUUUACAAGGAUCUGUAUAUGGCAAGUGAAUAUUUACAAGGAUCCAGAAAUAUGGCAAGUGAAUAUUUAUAUACUCAUAAUGAAAAACUUAAGAAAUACCUAUGAGAGAGAGAAGAAAAGUGUAACAAAUAUUUUGUGUUAUUCAAUAGCUAUAAAUAGCCAUAUGAGAUCAAAUUUUCCAUAUAAUAGAAAUAAAAUUAAAACUAUAAAUUAAAUUUUUCAAAUUAGCACACAAAUUAACUUAAAUUAUGAAAUUUAAGAUAUUUAUUUUUUCAAAAUUUAACUUUUUCAUAUAAACAUCACUGAAUUGAUAUAAACAAUAUUUUGAAAUGUGAUAAAUUAAUUAAAUAACCCAAAAAUAUUGUAAUAUUGUAUUUNNNNNNNNNNNNNNNNNNNNNNNNNNNNNNNNNNNNNNNNNNNNNNNNNNNNNNNNNNNNNNNNNNNNNNNNNNNNNNNNACUUACCAUUUAAAAAUUGUUUCAUUUGAAUUAAUAAGAUCAUAGUAGAUUGUACAAAAUCAGUUAAUAAAUGAUAUAUAUUUCAAUUAAAUAAAUAAAGUACAAUAUAAUUGUAAUAAGAAUACACAAUCAACUAAUUAAUUUCACUUAAUUAGAUUAAAUUUUAUGAUCAUAAUAUAUAGACUAAAGUUCCUUAAAUUUAAUGUUGUAAAUUUCAAAAUAUAUUUAUGGCUNNNNNNNNNNNNNNNNNNNNNNNNNNNNNNNNNNNNNNNNNNNNNNNNNNNNNNNNNNNNNNNNNNNNNNNNNNNNNNNNNNNNNNNNNNNNNNNNNNNNNNNNNNNNNNNNNNNNNNNNNNNNNNNNNNNNNNNNNNNNNNNNNNNNNNNNNNNNNNNNNNNNNNNNNNNNNNNNNNNNNNNNNNNNNNNNNNNNNNNNNNNNNNNNNNNNNNNNNNNNNNNNNNNNNNNNNNNNNNNNNNNNNNNNNNNNNNNNNNNNNNNNNNNNNNNNNNNNNNNNNNNNNNNNNNNNNNNNNNNNNNNNNNNNNNNNNNNNNNNNNNNNNNNNNNNNNNNNNNNNNNNNNNNNNNNNNNNNNNNNNNNNNNNNNNNNNNNNNNNNNNNNNNNNNNNNNNNNNNNNNNNNNNNNNNNNNNNNNNNNNNNNNNNNNNNNNNNNNNNNNNNNNNNNNNNNNNNNNNNNNNNNNNNNNNNNNNNNNNNNNNNNNNNNNNNNNNNNNNNNNNNNNNNNNNNNNNNNNNNNNNNNNNNNNNNNNNNNNNNNNNNNNNNNNNNNNNNNNNNNNNNNNNNNNNNNNNNNNNNNNNNNNNNNNNNNNNNNNNNNNNNNNNNNNNNNNNNNNNNNNNNNNNNNNNNNNNNNNNNNNNNNNNNNNNNNNNNNNNNNNNNNNNNNNNNNNNNNNNNNNNNNNNNNNNNNNNNNNNNNNNNNNNNNNNNNNNNNNNNNNNNNNNNNNNNNNNNNNNNNNNNNNNNNNNNNNNNNNNNNNNNNNNNNNNNNNNNNNNNNNNNNNNNNNNNNNNNNNNNNNNNNNNNNNNNNNNNNNNNNNNNNNNNNNNNNNNNNNNNNNNNNNNNNNNNNNNNNNNNNNNNNNNNNNNNNNNNNNNNNNNNNNNNNNNNNNNNNNNNNNNNNNNNNNNNNNNNNNNNNNNNNNNNNNNNNNNNNNNNNNNNNNNNNNNNNNNNNNNNNNNNNNNNNNNNUAUUUAUUUACCAUAAAUCUGUCCUAAUUUUAUAUCUUGAUUGUAGUUAAUUAAUCUACAAUUACAUAAAGGUCUCAAAUAUGAAAACAAUUGAUAUUAAUUACCUUUAUAAUUUUGGCAAUUCAAUCCCAUGAAUUUCUCAUGUUUUUUAUAGAUUGAUUAUAUUAAAUUUAUUUCAAUUACCUUUUUAAUUUUGGUAAGAAUUUAAAAAAGGUAACGAUUAUUUUUUUUCCUAAUUACUGAUUUAUUUCUCAAAAAGUUCUUAUAAAUUCAUAAUUUGAUUAUAGUCAAUUGAUUAUUUAAUUAUCUUUAUAAUUUGCUAAAAGCUCAAAUAAGGUAACAAUUAUUUUUUUCUAAAUUAUGGAUUUUCUUAUAUUCAAUCUUUUAUUGUUUUACUAUAAUAGUUCAAAUUUAAUUGUUUUGAGGGAUGACAACUUUUUGUGUCUAAAUCUUUUUUAAUACAUAGGAAAUGCUAAAGGCAUACAAUAAUCUCCUUUCUUUUUAUAAUCCAAACUUACCAUUUACAAAUUAUUUCAUUUGAAUUAAUAAGAUCAUAGUAGCUUGUACAAAAUCAAUUAAUUAAUUAUAUGUAUUUUGAUAUAAAAAAAAAUGAUGUACGACAUAAUUGUAAUAAAAUUACACAAUCAACGAAUUAAUUUCAAUUAAUUAGAAUCAAUUUUAUAAUCAUAAUAUAUAGACUCAAGUUCCUUANNNNNNNNNNNNNNNNNNNNNNNNNNNNNNNNNNNNNNNNNNNNNNNNNNNNNNNNNNNNNNNNNNNNNNNNNNNNNNNNNNNNNNNNNNNNNNNNNNNNNNNNNNNNNNNNNNNNNNNNNNNNNNNNNNNNNNNNNNNNNNNNNNNNNNNNNNNNNNNNNNNNNNNNNNNNNNNNNNNNNNNNNNNNNNNNNNNNNNNNNNNNNNNNNNNNNNNNNNNNNNNNNNNNNNNNNNNNNNNNNNNNNNNNNNNNNNNNNNNNNNNNNNNNNNNNNNNNNNNNNNNNNNNNNNNNNNNNNNNNNNNNNNNNNNNNNNNNNNNNNNNNNNNNNNNNNNNNNNNNNNNNNNNNNNNNNNNNNNNNNNNNNNNNNNNNNNNNNNNNNNNNNNNNNNNNNNNNNNNNNNNNNNNNNCAUGAAUUUCACAUAUUCUUAUAGUUUGGUUAUAUCAAAUUUAUAUUAAUUACCUUUAUAAUUUUGGGAAGAAUUUUAAAAAGGUAACAAUUAGUUUUUUUUUCCAAUUACUGAUUUAUUUCUCAAAAAUUUCUUAUCAAUUUACAAUUUGAUCAUUUAAUUAUCUUUACAAUUAGCUAAAAGCUCAAAUAAGGUGACAAUUAUUUCUUUUCUUAGUUACGGAUUUUCUUAUAUUCAAUCUUUCAUUGUUUCACUAAAAUAGUUCAAAUUUAAUUGUUUUGAGGCAUGACAUCUUUUUGUCUAUAAAUCUUUUUUAAUACAUAAGAAAUGCUAAAGUCAUACAAUAAUCACCUUUAUUUUUAUAAUCCAAACUUAUCAUUUAAAAAUCAUUUCAUUUGAAUUAAUAAAAUCAUAGUAUAUUGCACAAAAUCAAUAAAUUAAUUAUAUGUAUUUUUAUUAAAUAAAUUAUAUACGAAAUUGUUGUGAUAAAACUAUACAAUCAAGUAAUUAAUUUCAAUUAAUUAGAAUCAAUUUUAUGAUCAUAAUAUAUAGACUCAAGUUCCUUAAAUUUAAUGUUGUAUGUAAAUUUUAAAAUAUAUUUAUAGCUAAAGUAAUAGUCAACGUUCGUUGUUUUUUUUACCAAUAUAUGCAUAUCAAUUACGAAUCUUUCCAUAUAUUUUAUUAUUAAAGUAGUUGUCAAUAUUAACUAAUUUCUAGUUCAAUUUAAUCUAAUUAAUUUGAUAGCAAUAAAAUUAUUAUUAAUAUUAUAUAUUUAUUUACCAUAAGUCUGUCCUAAUUUUGUAGCUUGAUUAUAUUUAAUUAAUCUACAAUUGUAUAAAGGGCUCAAAUAUGAAAAUAAUUGAUAUUAAUUACCUUCAUAAUUUUGGAAAUUCAAUCCCAUGAAUAUCUCAUUUUUUUAUAGAUUGAUUACAUUAAAUUGAUAUCAAUUACCUUUUCAAUUUUGGAAAGAAUUUUAAAAAGGUAACAAUUAUUUAUUUUCCUAAUUACUAAUUUAUUUUUCAAAUAUUUCUUAUAAAUUUAUAAUUUAAUUAUAGUCAAUUAAUUAUUAUUAUCUUUAUAAUUUGCUAAAAACUCAAAUAAGGUAACAAUUAUUUUUUUCCUAAUUACGGAUUUUCUUAUAUUCAUUCAUUUAUUUGUUUACAAAAAUAGGUCAAACUUAAUUAUUUUGAGGGAUGACACCUUUUUUUAAUAUUUUUUAUUCAAAAUGAUUGCAAUAUUUUCUAUAUAAAUUGAUCCGUUACUAUUUAUUAAUUGGUUAUUCUCUUAAAUAAUUUUUUCUUGUAAUAUUUCUUUUAAUCAAUUGUAAUGAAAUAAUUCAUAUUUAUUUUCUUAUAAUACUAUCAUUAAAAACAUAUGAAAUGUAAUUUAUUAAAUUCUUAGUUUUAGGCUAGACUAUCCUCCUUUAUUAUAUAGAUAGAUAAUUUCAACAAAAUUAAUUAGAGUAUUUUCUUAUAAAAAUAAUAUAAAAUUUUAUUUUAUAAAAAUAAUAUAAAAUAUGGUAUAUUAAUAAUAUUUGCAUUAAUUAUGUUUCUAUUUUCUUACAUAUUAUUUGAUUCUACGCAUUAAAAAUAACAUUGAAUCAAUGGUGAAAGUGGAGGGACUUCUUUCUUUAUUGGGGUUUUUCUUUUUGGGAAAGCUGACACUUUCUUGACUACCAACCACCCAACACAAAGCUGACACUUCUUGGUAGAUUGGCUAUUUUUUCAUACGGUACUAAUUUAUAUGCAUUUUCUUUGAUAUUUGUUAUAUUGUUAGUUUUAUUUUGCGUAUCGUAUUAGUUUAUAUGCAUUUAUUUUUUAUGUUUGGUAUGUUAUUAUGAUCCUAAGCUAGGAGUCUAUCGGAAACAUCCUCUCUACUUCACCUGAGUACUGAUAUGAUCUACAUAUACUAACCUCCCCAGACCCCACUAUCUGGAAAUACACUGAUUUUUGUUAUUGCUGUUGUUGUUUCUUAUACAGUAUUUGAUUCAAAGUAUUAAAAAUAACACGAAUUACAUAAUUUUUUUUUACAUAAUACCCCAACUUUAAGCAUGUUAAUGCAUGCAUUAGAUCCAUUGUAUUACUAAUGUCAUAAAUUUUGAAGUAUUAGUAAUACACGCCUCAAUACACAAUAGAGUAUAUUACUAAUUUUUGCAUUAGUUAUACAUAAGAUAAAAAGAUAUAUAUCAAACAAGGGACUACUAAUACACAUUAAAUUAAUGGAUGCAUUAAUUUUUACGUAAUACAUUCCAUGCUUUAUCACAGAUUUGAUUCCUUGUCUUAAGCUGGGAGUCUAUCGGAAAUAGCCUUUCUACUUCUUCGGAGGUAGUGAUAUGAACUACGUACAUCUUACCCUCUUUAGACCCCACUAUGUGGAAAUACACUGAAUUUAUUGUUGUUGUUGUUAUUAAUUUUUGAAUACACUCUAUCAAAAGACUCUAUGCUUCUCAUUUAAUUAUACCUUUAGCUCCUUUUUAAUUAUGAUAAUUGCUCUCUGACUCCACCUUGCUUUUUAAAAAUAUAAAUAAAUAGCAAUGAAUUUAAUUUUGCUCAUUACUCUACUAAUUGUAGUAAUGUUAGGUGAAUUCAUCAACUUAAAAUUAGAGUACAUUCACUCAAGCUACAUGUUAUAGAUAUAGUUCAAAAAAGGAAUUAUACGUUUGACAUAAUACAUAAAUGUGUUUUCAACUUGACAUCAUUAGCAAAUAUUUAUAUAUUUUAAUUUUGAAUGUUGCACAAAUAAAUACUUCGACUAUCAUAUAAAGUUAAAAUAAAUAUAUAUAUAUGUGAGUCUUGUAUCGCAAUUUGUCAUGCAAAAUGUGUGCAUCUCAUACAAUUUGUCAAGUAAUUAAAGCGUUUGUGUCUAGGGGAGUGCAUCGGUCGGUUCGGUUGGGUUUUACAUAUUAUCAUUAGAUUUAUCGAUUUUCGGUUUUUAAAUAUGCUAAACCAAUAACCAAACCAAUAAAAUAUUUUUUUUUGGUUCUUAGUCCUUAACGAUUUGGUUUUGGGUUUAACCGAUAAGAAAAUACUCAUAAAAUAGAAAUAGUAGUAACUAACAUGUAAAAAAUGAAUCUUAGUUGCAACAAAAAUCCUACAUGAAGUGUUUGAAUUUACAAAAAUCUUCAAGUUUGAACUAAAUGUUGUUAGGAGAAAUUCAGAGUUUAUAUAAUUGAAAUAACAGGUUUGUUAAUUUGUAGAAAUAAAAUAUAAAUAUAUAAUAAUUCAUAUUAUAUAUGUAUAUGCAUAUGUUUUGAAAAGGUGUUAAUUUGAGAGCAUGAAUUAUAUGGAAUCCCUCUCUUGAUGUGAAUUUGUUUUAAAUGUUCAUAUGAUGUAAAUUGUUUGAAAACAUCUUGAAAAGCAUGACAUGAAAUGUUUUGAGAAUUUAUAUGAUUUUGACUUGAAAACUAGAGGGCUAUUUGUGUUGAAACAUGUUGAAUACAAUGGUUGAAUGAGAAGAAUGAUGUGAUAUUGAUGGCUUGGAAGUCGGUUAUGAUGAUACCCUACAGAAUAUGAUUUGUGAUUAAAUCGGAUGAAAUUUGAAUGCAUUGAUUUUACAUGAGAUAGGUGGAUAUCCGAAGAAGGCAUUUGAGUAUAAGGGCUCAUCGCUAGAAAUCGUGUUUGCCGACAUGGGAAUUUGGUACCCUGCUUUGUGAUCUUGCGUACCUGACUUUAUGUCAUUCCCAAUUUGGGACUAUGGUUAGGAGCCCUGCUUUGUGAUCUUGUGCACUACCAUUGGGUCGAGAUAUCCUGUUGUGUGAUCUUGUGUGUCUUCCCCUCACUUAUACUCUAAUCUUGGCGGCAACCGAGGUUUGACAGUUGGUGUAAAUAUGAUAUGUAGGGUAUUCCACCUAGCUCAGCAGGAUUAUAUUGUUGUUGAAAACAAUUAUAUUAUGCCCAUGUGUUUUCAAAUGAUUUGAUAUGAAACUGCUUUAUAAUGGCUCUCAACUAUAUUUUGUAAAACUAUUAUGUUUUGUUUUGAUAUCUCUGCGUACCAGUACUUCUGAAUUGAACCCCUUUCCUCCCGGGUACAAAGGCACAGUCUAGGGGUCCAGAAAAUCAGUAGAUUCCUCAAACAGAUUUACAGAGUCACUUGGUGAGCCUUCUAUUUUUUGGAAGGCCUGAUAUUUGGAUCUACUGGAGGCCUUGUCCCAGUUUUCAAAUAGAUAUUUAUUUCAGUCAUGUAGUAGAGAUUUCACAAACGUUAUAGAGAUGUUGUGUUGAGAUUGUGGGACAUUAUUCCCCGUUAUUGAUUCAUAUGAUUCUUGACCAUGUUUCCAUAAUAUUGUUUGUCUUCCAUAUUUCUUUUAUCAUAUGAGUUAUGUGCAUGAUUAUCAGACAAAUAGGGGUGUUUCGGGCCUUUAUGGUUCGGAAUGCUCGUCACGGACAGGGCCCCAAUUUGGGUCGUGACAAACUUGGUAUCAGAGCAAGGUUCAUGGUCCCAGGGUGUCUACAAAAUCAUAUCGGGUAGAGUCUUAUUUAUGGGUGUGUAGCGUGCCACACUUAUAAGUAGGAGGCUCCUAAGCAUUUAGGAAUGUCUCUCUUUCUUCAUGUUCCAGUUCGUGCAAUAGAGUCAAAAUGUUCCUCUUUCAUACUGUCAUUCAUGCUAUGGUGUCGCUCAUAUGAAGGUAAAGUCAUACCAAAUUCUUUCCUUACUCUGAUGUUCUCAGACAUGUCCCAUUAUUGGGGUGAUUCAAGUGCAAAAAGUUUAGAAUCUACAUGAUAUAGUCUUUUUCGAUUGUGUCAUAUAAGAAAAAAAAUUGUGCAAAGACUCGAGAGGAGUCUGUUGGUGCUUCAAUAUGUGUUGAUUCUGAUAUAAACAUUGAUCCUGAUGGAAUCGUGCUUUCUAGCUUAUGGUAUUAAGUGCAUCUAGUCCCUCCCAAAAUUCUUGAUACAGAUGUGGACGGUGUAUAGCAGAAUGUUGGAACUAUAUUUCCACCCAAAUAGUAGCAUAAGUUAAAGUGUUGUUGUCAUGACCUAUUGGUAAUGAAAUUAGACCAAGAAUUUAGUGAUGUGAAGUCACAAAGUUAGAAGUCAGAGUGAGGGUGAUUUUUGGUGUAAAUGAAUAUUUCAGUUGAAUAACCAAUAUUUGAGGAUGAUUUACCCCUUUAUAGUGAUAAACUAACGUGGUAGCUAGUAGCACGUGUGGAUGGUAUGGUAGUCCAUGGGGAAGUAUUUUACUCAAAUUUUAAUUUAUAAAGAGUAAGAUGUGUAUUCUUAGACCAUUAAAUAUUGUGUCAAUUUCCUAUCUCUUGUAAUAUGUAAUCUUGUUAUCAUGGUAUUUUUGAAAUAAAUUUUAAAGUCUAGUGAAGCCGUGUGGGGCUCUUUCGAUUCACUAGCAUAGUUGCCUUGUCAUCCAUCUCAUUUUCUUGUUCAAAAUACCAAACCAAAGUCUAGUGAAGCCGUGUGAGGCCUAUUUCAAUUCACUAGCAACUUGUUGUCCAACUUGUUGUUCUUUUGUUGGUUUAAUAUAUGUAUGGCUGAAUCUGUUUGCAUGAGAUGGAGUUGGUAAAGAGGUGAUUCAUCCUUGUGAGUUAGUUUAGUAUAAGGUAGAGAAGGAGUUGUUAGUCAGGGUGAUUUGUUGGUUUCUUGAAUGUGAAAAAUGGCUAUAUUAGCGAGUAAGUUAUGAUCAUAGACUCAUGGUUGUUUGAGGAAUUUGAAGGCAGUCUAAAUGUAUGCUUGAGAAAGUAAGUAUGAGGUCAGAAAUCCGCAUAAGUAGAUAAGAUCUUAUGGGGUUAUAAUAUCAGUUAAGGUUGAUCAUGUCUAUUAUGUGACCUUACUCCUUGACUUUUUUCGUUGGUAGUUGUAAACUAGUACUACUUAUGAGAAGGUAUGUAGCAAAUUAUGAGGUAUUUGGAUAGUACUAUAUGACUGGCAGAGACUUUUCAAAGAUUUGCAGGAGUUCUCGAAACUAUUUUCUAAAAAAUUAAGAGUACUUUGAAAAAAAUCUAUAUAAAUCUUUUACUUAGUGAUUGCCUAGACAUCAAUUAGGAUGGGGAGUCAGGGGUGGAAGUCCCAACAUGAUGAAAUACCUAAAAGAUGGCAAGGGCAAAUCAAGGAUCGUAGGAGGUCAACACGGAGUAGUUUCUUUCAAACUAAUCAUUUUUUGUGGCUGCAGGGAUUGAUACACAAAAUGAGCGUUUCUUUCGAAAAAUCCCCAAGCAAGUCGGGAGCCAUGACAGAGCAUAUAAGGCUUAGUAACGGUACCUUUGGUAGCCCAAAAACCGGCUCAACACCCAUUUAUUGACGACCUUUCGAAUUGUCCAUCUCAUUUCUUGAGACCAUGGAGGACAAACAAAGUGUCUUGUCUUUUUUACAAAUAUUGUAUUUAGAAUUUUUCUAAAAAAAAAAAUAGUCGCUAGCAAAAGCGACUUUGUGUCUACUAAUCGUCUACCUUGAGUACGGGUACAUGCAGAAAGCAAGACCCUGACAAAUGAUUUCAGGAGAAACUAUUUUUAAUUUAUCGGAAGAACCAUUGCAUGUCAUUGCCAAGAGGGCCAUUACAUAUCAUCGUCAUUCAAUAUCUGUUGGCGUGCUAGACACAAUGCUAGCAUCGAGGAUAUCAUUAGCAUUCAAUAUAUCCAUUGACAUGCAAGACACAACACUGGCGUCGAGGAUAUCAUCAUCAUAUAAUAUCUAUUAACGCGCUAGACACAACGCAGGCAUUGAGGAUAUCAUCAACAUUCAAUAUAUCUGUUGACACGCAAGACACAAUGCUAGCGUCGAGAAUAUUAUCAUCAUUCAAUAUCUAUUGACGAUCUAGAUACAACGCUGGCGUCGAGGAUAUUAUCAGCAUUCAAUAUAUCUGUUGACACGCAAGACACAAUGCUGGCGUCGAAGAUAUCAUCAUCAUUCAAUAUAUGUUGACGCGCUAGACACAACGCUAGCGUCGAGGAUAUCAUCAUUAAUAUAUAACUAUUGACACGUAAGACACAACACUGGCAUUGAGGAUACCAUCAUGAUGCAAUAGCUGUUGACAUGCAAGACAUAACUCUGGCGUCGAGGCUAUCAUCAUCAUGCAAUAUUUGUUGACGCGGAAGACACAAUGCUAGUGUCGAGGAUAUCAUCAGCAUUCAAUAUAUCUGUUGACACGUAAGACACAACACUGGCAUCGAGGAUAUCAUCAUCAUUCAAUAUAUCUGUUGAUACGUAAGACACAACGUUGGCGUCGAGGAUAUCAUCAUCAUUUUAUUUCUGUUGACAUGCAAGACAUAAACACUAGCGUCGAGGAUAUCUUAUCAUUUUAUGAAUCAGCAUCCGAAUGCAUCAAGAGCACAUGAUUUGAAGGGACGCCUUUAAGUCGCUAUCUAAGGAUGAAUGAUAUAUAAGAUUUCCUAGAAAUUUACAAUUUGAGGGUCAUCUAUAAGUUAUAUUAUUUGAAAUAUGAUAGUGUACAAGAUCACCUAUGAGUUGAUAGCCGGUAGGUCAUCCGUAAGCCACAACAAAAUUCUAACCGGAUAGUGUGCAAGAUCGCCCAAAAAUUGAUAGUUCAAAGGUUAUCCAUAAGUCGCAACUAAAUCCUUACCAGAGAAUAUGCAAGAUUAUCAAAUGGAUACAUCCAAGGGUUCUCUAUAAGCCGUGUCAUAUCCAAGUUCGAUUAUAUGCAGGAUUACCCAAAGACUAACAAUUUGAGGGAUUAUCUAUAAGUCAUAUUAUAUCCUAGGUCGGAUGAUGUGCAGGAACACCUGAAAUCUAGCGAUUGGAGGGAUAUAUGUAAGCCAUCUCUUAUUUAAAGUCGGACAAUGUGCAGGAUUACCUAAAAGCUAGAAAUCAAAAGGAUAUCUGUAAGUCGCCUCGUAUCCAACAUCAAAUAAUGUGUAAGAUUAUCUAAAGAUUGAUAAUUUAAAGGAAAUUUAUAAAUCGAUCAUCGGCUAUAACUGGAGAGGUUAUCAUUCCACAUGCAACAAAUGAUAUAGGUACCCAAAGGGUUGCCACACCAGCACGCCAUUGUCCAAAAGGGCCACCCACUUUGAAGACAUAUUCAACCGACAAAUGUCAUAAUUAUACAACAACCAAGAGGGUUGUUGUGUUUGGUAUUGUCGGUUAUUUCAUUCCAAACAGGUACAUGAAGAGAUGACUCCACUUUUCAGGCCACAACUCACGUGGAGAUAUGGUAAAAGACUGCAUGCCUCUUUCGUGAAUUAUGUUUAGCACUAAAAAUUUUUGCUUGAAGCAUUGUCGAGGGCAUCCGUGAGGAUGAAAAUCUUAAAUCAAAACCACAGGUACGGAUGACUUCAAAUAGGAUGCAAUACCCGAAUCCAACCCGUUUUCUUUUUCCUCGUUAUGAUCACGCACGUUCCACAUGAAUCCAUACGAGAAGAUGCUAAGAAUAUUCUAGAAACACACUUAGGUGUCUCAUCCAACGUUCAAAUCUCAAAAUUCUCGCAUAGAGGUUUACGAAUUCGUACAUAGGUGGAGUAUUUUCAUUGGCUUGUGAAGAUUAUUCCCUUUCCACCAAUUUCUAUUGGCCACUUUUUGGAAUUCCGUUCAAGAAAAUCAAAAUAGAGGUAUAGUUUGUUAGGGUCCAGAUCUUUUUAAUUUAAAAAAUGAACCCUCAAUCCCCUUCUAUAAGUAGCUCUCUUUAGAGCAAGAAAAAGGGAUUUUUUAGGGGAUUUUGGAAUUUUUUUUCACUGGCAACUCCUUUCCUUUGUGGGUUUUCCUCUUCUUUCUCUUUGGAGUUUGAAAUUUUAGAAGCAAAAGGGGUUCAAAAGUUUUUAUUUGAAAAUUUGGGGUUAGAGAAAAUAUUCAAAAAUUCAGAAAUACACAAAAAAAAGAGGGUUAGAAAGGGGGGCUCUCAGAGGGAAAAAAUAUUCUCUUUACGCCCAAGAAACAUACAUUUUUAGGAGGUGCGUCUGAACUGUCGAAGCAGUUGUGAGUUUUUCGGUGGUUGGAAUCCUAUCGUCAGCUCGUUAUACCAUUUUGCUGCCCCGAAAGAGGUAAAUACACCUUUCUUUUUAAUUUUGUUGUGGUUAUCAUUUUCUUCUUCGUGGUUCCACUUCUGUUUGCUGGGAAUGACUGCUGUAGAGGCCUGAAAGGCAUAGGAUUUUCAUUUUUGAUAUAUUGUUCUACUAAAAAACUCAUUCUUGAUCAUGUUUGAUUGGUUGUCGUUCAUUCUUAAUCUCUCUCAUUUUAUUCUGUCUGAAUGUUACUAGUUAGCUUUAAUGCUUCAACUUUAGAAACUAUUUUACUGGUCUCAUAUUUGUUGUUGCUUUGUAGUUCAUAGAGUAGGAGAGUAACAUAUUUACGUAUUUUCGAAAUUCGAAAAAAUGUUCAAAGAAUAGAUAUUAGGCAGCCUGUUUGCAUAUCUUUUUCGCUCAGACGUAGGAAAUUGUUAUAAAUAAGAACUCCAAUGUUAUUUUCUACCGACUUGCCACUCUCGAUGUACGAUAGUCUCAUUUGAUUCUAAAGUUUAUUUUAAAAUAUGAGAGUGGACCAUAGGUCUGAAUUAUGUUUUCUUCAUGGCUAAUUCAAUUUGCUGUAAUUGACUCAUGAGAACAAAUUAAAGUUUGACGGGCUAAUGUUUCUUUCCUUUCUUGCUUUUCUUGUUCGGAUAUAAGCUGUGGCAUCUUGUCUUAUGAUUAAAUUACCUAAAAUUAGGUUUAUGUAGUGUUAGAAUCUCAUUUGUUUGUUAACCCAGUGGUAACGAAGGUAUUAAGAUUUCAGCCUUGCUUUUCUUGAAGUUUCAGCUAUCGUAUUCCUUGCCUAAAGUGAUUAAGUCUUUAAUUUUGUAUGUUUGGCAUUCUGGAAUUUGAAAGUUGCUUGUGAUCUAUCGUUUAUGUAGUAUGAUCUAGGAUUUGUAACUCUUUUUUGUGACAUGCUUAAUUGGGUCCUUUUGUGGCAUUAAAGUGAUAAAUUAUUUUCUUUAUUUUGCUAAAGACCAUAAGAAUUUCUUGUUGAAGCUUUAUUUCCUCCUGUAGUUGAAAUUUCUUUAAUUGAUUAUUAACAUUUUCUUCAAACAUAAUAGACUUUUUAUCCUAUGGCAUUUUUACCUGUGUAUGAGUGUAUUUGAAUGAAGAAGGAAUGCUAUAGCUUAUUAUAUGUUAAAAUCUUGGACGUAUGUUAAUUUCUUCAUUCCUUUCUUUACAUGUUCAUUCCUUUCUUUACAUGCACCCCCUUUGGAGUUCAAAUGGACCCCUUCUCUCUUUGCAUUUCAUAAAUGGGCCAAUGAGGCCUAUCCUUCUGAGUUAAACCCAAAAGAAAAUCCAAGAAUCCAUCACAUGGCGUAUGGAUACAAGGAAUCGAAAUAAGAAUGGGUUAAAGUUCAAUCUUUGAAGCGGCAAAGGGGACUUGAAAAUCUCGUUAUUUCUUAUUUAUUGAUUUAUUUAUCCAUUGUUUUCAUUAUUUAUUUAUUUAUUUACUUAUUUAUAUUUUUUUUUAUUUAGUGACUUAUUUAUUUAUUCAUUCGGGCCUCGAAGCCAAAGUUGUAAAUUUAAAACAGGUGGAGCGAGACUCGAGCUGAAAAGGGCUCAAAAACAUAAAAUUAAGACAGGUGAAAGAUGGGUCAAAAACCUAACUAGAUUAGGACAGGAUCGACUGUUUGGGCUUGAAAGCCUAAAUCACUACUUCCCCCCUUUCCCUUUUUUCUAUUUGCUUACUUGUUUUACGUGUGUUUUGCGAACCUAGUAAAAUCCUUAGUCAAGUCGCUAAAAAAAUUGGUUUUGCAUAAACACCAAAAUAUUCCUAAAAUUGCUUUUCUUUUCAAAAAAUACACUUUUUCAAAGUUAAUCAAAAGAUGAUUUUCAAACAGUCCGGAUAACCGCAAGUUAGCGGACAUUUUAGGUGCCUAAUACCUUCCUAAAACGUUAAUAGGAACCGCUUAUCUUGAAUCUCUAACUUAAAACGAUUUUUUUGUUUUGAAUCGUUUGCAGUAACUCUCUAAAGGUUUCUUAUUUCCUUUUCAAAAUUAAGUGGCGACUCUCAAAAAGUCAAAAUUUCCACAAAAAAAUAUCAACCACAAUCACAUCCACACAUCUACUACCCCCACCCGAAAGUAGUAGAAGAAUAAGGGUUUGUAGUAAUUCAAGUACCUUAUCCUCUUGACGCUUGCACUUCUUCUCUUUUAGUUCAUUAACAAAUUUGUUAAAUAUUUCAAGCAGCAAGCCCUCACCACCCAUUAUUCUGUAAAAUAAUAACAGCAAAGAAAUUCACAUUCAAUGUUACGGCAUAAUGAGAAUCAUGAGAUUAUGAAUAAAAAAGUAAAAAUCCAGAGCAUUUCAUUUUAUAGACAAAGAGGCUAGACAAAUUGAAACUAGAGAUUUAGCAGCAUACUUCAUCAGAACCGUGAAACAAUCACAAAUGCCAGCAAUUAAAAAACUAAAACAAUCACAAAUGUCAGAAAUUUAAAAAACUAACUGCUAGAGCUAUUAAACGCCCAGUGUUGGAACAACUAAUAAUUGACAUCAACCAAUUUCUAGAGGGAUAAGUUCAACAUUAAAAAUCACUUAGCAAAAUGGUAAUUCAUGCUAAUACUAUAAAGAAAUAGCCUACCUAAAUGUUGAGGAAUAUAAAACAACAAAUCAUUCAACACAGCUAUUAUUCUAAGGUACAUUCUAGAACUAUGUGAAUUGCUGAGUUUAGAAUAUUGAAGGAGUUGGUCCUUGAAAAUAAUAUCAAUUAUCAUUCUCCAAUAGUCCUUGCAAUCGUGUUACGAAUUCUAGAUCAAUAAAAGCAAAAGAAGCUACUUGCCUAUCUCUGAAGAGGGAUUUCCAGUCCUCCCAUUUCGACGAUGCAGUAAUUUCCUGCAACCAUAGCAAACAAAUAGAUUAUGGUUUAAAGGAAAUAUCAUGGGAUCCCAUCCAUUGCAAUGUGAGAGAUUGUGAACUGUUUUCUAUAUCUUUGAUGCAUGAAGGAGUUCAUAGAACUCAUCUGCUAGACGUUUACGCUUUUUAGCUUCUUUUUCUUCUUUCUCCCUGGCCCUUUCCAGUAACUCCUCAAAGACAAACUAUGCAGAUGAAAUAUGCACAUUCAAUACUCAAUGACUCGACAAGCCCAAACGCGUAGAACAUAAAGUUUAUAAAGGAAGUAUGGAAUAAGAUUCAGUAUAAUCCAUGUAUGUCCUCUUAUUCCUUCGUUUGAAAGGCAAGGGUGAUAUAAUGUAAGACUAUUAUUACCAUCUUUUGGAGUAACUCCUCGCAUUAUAAUAUUUGAUAAAAUGCUUUAAAAUAGUUUUGAGCUAUUGAAAGUAAACUAAAAGCCUUAAGAGACCCAACCGUCUAAGCAUAAUUCUUCGACAAGAUACCCCUUGCAAUUCCCUCUUCCCACAUACAUAGAUUAUACGCCAUGACCAUAAAUAAACUCCAAAAUUGAAAUGAUAUAUGAAGAAUAUCCUCAUUACAAAAAAAGAAAAUGAUCGUUGAUAUCAUCCAUUUAUGCUGUUUAACCACUUUCGCAGAGUAAAACUCUUAUCCACUAACCGUAAAAAUAGAAAACUACAACGCAAAUUGCUUUGAAUUAAGCAACUUAAGAUAUGUGCGGUAGGUGUAAUAUUAAACACCGCCAUCCAGGAAAUAAAAAGUAAGGAAAAUGGUACCAAAACUAAAGAAUUGGAAGAAAAAGAUAACACCAAAUAUUUGAUCAAUGUGGUCCUCGUCUUUAUUCUUGAAGGUUUCAGGCUUACUUGCUAACCGACACACUACUCUUCUAUUAACUCCAUUACUAGAAGAUCCAGAUUUAAUGUGGGAUAGGUUAUGGUUGAUACUAAAGGAAAAUUCCACUAACCACAGUUGACUACCUACGAUUUGCCAAUUUAGCAAUCACAAACUGACCGACUUCCAGUGAAACAUAACAUGGAAGUACUACUAAUGCUUUUGCACUCAAUCCACUCAUCUUAUGCAGGACCUGUCCCAAAGACAAAAAGGGGACAAAUACAUAAAAAUCCAUUUAACGAAUGGGGUACUUCAAUUUUCACAACAUUCAAUUCAACAUAGGUCGAUGUGAAACAGUAUACAGUGCUUAUCCAUAAUUAGACCUUUAAGUUGGUAUCUGACAUUGGUGGAGAGCUAAUAUACUUGGCGAUUGCAACCUUAAAAUCAUCAAGCAUCCAGGCUAAUGUCAAUCCAAUCUGAAAGUAGACAUGGCUCAGCCAAAAUAUUAGGUACUAACCAAAGCACAACAGAGGUUAAAAUGAAGAGUGGUGAUUACCUCGGCCAUCCUAACUGCAUCUUUAAUUUGUGACUUGUCAUCAAGAUACUGAAGCAACAUACAAGUAACACAAAUUCAGAAUGCUUAUCAGUAACAAAAAUAGGAUACCAAAUGGAGCUUUGUCCAUGCAUUUGAGUUACCAUAAAGUCUAUAAAUUACAAGCAGGGUGAUGGGGAUGAAAUUUCUUUCAUGAAUACCAACAUUUCUCCACUUGUUCAAAGUCAUCUACAAUNNNNNNNNNNNNNNNNNNNNNNNNNNNNNNNNNNNNNNNNNNNNNNNNNNNNNNNNNNNNNNNNNNNNNNNNNAAAAAUGGAUAGCAUCUCUGUUAACAGCGCUUUCAUUAUAUUUACUUAAUAAGAAUCAUUUAUGCACACAAACAGUAAUACAAACUUUAAAGAUAGAAGUUGACAUCAUUAUCUGACAAGGGAAAAAGAAAAAAUAUUCAGCAUCUGAGUUUAUGUAUAACUCUCAACAUCCCAUAGCAAGAGCCUAACUCAAGAAAACAUUUCCAAAUCCAAUCAUUGAAUAAGAGUACGAACAGGAUCAUUAUCAUGCUAGGAUACCAGGUAAACUCCCUCUUUCAUCAAGCAAGGAGAUAAAUGCUAAUAAAAUUUGAUCAUUCAACUUCAAUUCUUUUCAGAAAGGGCAGAGGAUGAAACAAUAUAUCGUUUAGUUAGUCGCAAUGGUGUAUUACGGCCAAAAAAAUCAUAGUGAGGGAGAUGCAACUUUAUUUAGAGAAACAGAGAUGCUCUCAGGCACUUUUUCCGAGGCUAAUCUUUUCUAAGCCUUUACUUUCAUUACAUCUCAACUACCUCUUCAGAGGCGAAUUCUGGCACUAAGUUUUUUUAGUCUAAGCUAUAUGGUUGACAACACAAUAUAUUUUGAAUUGGGUUUUAAGUUGCAUGAUAUCAUCCGAAGUGAAAUCAAAACUGGGGUGUGGUACAAAUGGACAAAACAUGGCCAAAACUUGACCAGACAAACUACUUUCAGGUCUCAUUUGUUUGCACUUAUUGGAUUUAUGAACCUGUUCAGACCUCAAACCAUUAAGUGCAUUUGUUUUUAUUAGGAUUUUAGCUCUUAAUAGGUCUGAGUAGGUCUUAAUCAUUCAUAUGUGGAACCAAGUCUAAAUAUCAUUUACAGAUAUUCUUGUGUAGGAUAAAAUUCACCACCACUUUAUCCACAAUCACCUGGCACCACCACCAACCACUUCCACCAUCACAACCAACAUCACUACCAACUACACUACCAGCCGCUACCACACCUACCACUUCCAUUAUUCUAAUUAUAUCCACCUCCAACUAGGGGUGUUCAAGGUUUGGUUUUUAACACAACUUAACCGCGAUACAAACAAAACCGAUUAAAAAAAACUAUAUUUGGUUAGGUUUGGUUUGGAUUUGAAUUUUAAAAGACCGAUACUAAUUUGAUUUGGUUUGGUUUGGUCUUACUCUAAAAUAACCAACAAAAUAACCAAAACGAACCAAUAUACAUAUAUAUUAUAAUUAUUUAUAUGUUUUUCAUAAAUGUAAUCUAAAUAUUUGUUACAUUUUAUAUUUUAAUCAUGAUUUAACUUUAGUCGUAACACAUUCAGUCAUGUGUCUUCAUCUAGUUGACAAUACAUUAUGAGAUUCUAAAUGAAUUUCAUAUUUUGAAUGACAAAUGAUACUAAUUGUGAAAGUAAUAUCUUGUUAUAUAUUGAAAUUUACAGCUGAAAUUUAUUAGACUAUACACAAUCACUAAUUUUAACUUUCUUUUGAACCUUGUUGAGCAAGAAGUUUAUGUGUUCACCUUUUGGGGGUUUAUCAUAUCAUUCUAUUAAAUAUAGUUUUAAAAUAUUUUUUAAAAGCGUUCAUAUGGUGUUAUCAUGGCUUUGCCGAAGUAUAACACUCAGUUGACAUCAUAGUUUCAAGAUUGAGAUACAACACUUGGUUGACAUCUCAUAUGUUAGAUUUGAUUUGUUUUUUAAAAAUUUCAACAUAUAUCAUUAACUAAAGUUAUAAACUAAAAAACCCGAAUCAAACCAAACUAAACCGACAAGAACCAAACCGAUGGUUAUUUUUUUGUUUGGUUUGGUUUGGUUUUAGAAAUUUAAAAACCAAUUAAUUUGGUUUGGUUAUGGUUUUGACCACUAACCGACCCAUAUUGACCCAUGAACACCCCUACCGCCAACGUCGCCACCAUCAACUGCUACCAGUUGAUCCCUGCUACCGACCAACUCAUCUAUCAGAACUACCACUACCACUAAUAACCACCUACACAUCAUCAACUUCCACACAUCACUAACAACCACUAACACAUCAUCAACUUCCACACAUUCUUCGGACACCAUCACCACCACUGUCACCGGCGUCACCACCUCUACCACCAGCAUCCGCUACACUCGCUACAGUAUCUGUACUAACAACCAUUCAACCAUCACAGCUAACAGUGUCUCCAACAACCACCAACACAUCGUCAACCAUCAUGCAUACAGUUUUUCAUCACCACGAUCAACACCUUCAACUACUAACAUUAACCAACUUCACAUCACAACCACCACCACCACUACCAAUCGCCAAUAUUAUGACAGUAACUACAAUUCCAACUAUCUCUACUAUCACAACUAUUAUCACCAACAUUGCUAAUCACUAACAUCAAUUAAUUUAUUACAACCACCACCACCAUUACAAACCAUCUCCACUAUCACUAAUAAACAUAAAUGUUUCCUUUUUUAAUCAAAUAAUAAUUUUAUUGCAUUAAAUUAAAAAAAUUUCUAAUAAAUAAUUAAAUUAUAUUUAGAAAUAAAUAAAUUUUGCAUAUUCAGAUAUUGAGAAACACCCAACCUUAAUCAUUUAGUUUUCAGAUCUAGAGACAAUAUCUUAACCAUUCAGAUGUGCAUUCAAAAUGAUUCAAAUGUCUAAAUAUUAAUAAAAACAAAUGCAGUCUUAGCUGAAACACAAUAGUGUGGUUGUGUGAUACUUUAAAGGAAUCCUCGAAAGUCAAAGAAACUACAUGAAAACAUGGAAGUUUGAUGAUCACUUCUCAGAGUUGUUCUGCUCGAGAAACUAUAACAAUUAAGGUAACAUAACCAUUAACAGCAUUCAACGGAGGAGAAGUCAAUUACAUAUGUCUGUGAAGUAGUAUUUAAUAUAGCUUGGCUAGAUUGAAAGAAUCAUCUAUAUCUAUACUACAUUAAAAGCAUGGAACCCCUAACUUAAAAGUUUACGACAAUAUGAUUCCUAUCAGCAUAAAUACGUACUAUCUAGUAAAAAAAAAGAGGAAACUAAUUGGCAUAAAGAGAAACAACACAGAUGUUUAAUAGGAACAACCGAUCAUUGUUCUUAUCUCAACAAAAUAUGUGUUAUUUAAAAAAAAAAAAAGCAAGCAGAGGGGUAACUCUCAAAUCUCAAUCUCAUGCUUUUAUCCUACCAAGUAUGUUCUAUUCUUUAAUGCACAACAACAACAACAACAACAACAACAAACCCAGUAUAUUCCCACAUAGUAAUGCACUAACUUACUUUUUUACCCAAUGAAUUGAACUUUUUAGUGAGGAUCUAAAUGAUUUUCAGACUUUGUUUAACAUCUGAUUCAUUAAGAUAUAUUAACAGGUUGAAUCUUUUUUUAAAAAAAGCACUUAAUAGGCUGAUAUCUGAACCAUUCAGAUCCAAACCUUCAUUAAGUGAAAGCAAAUGAAAAGGGAUUGUAGUGUAAAGUCUAUAAAUAUGGGUUAGUGUAACAAAUGUAGUUGACACAAUUCAAUACUCCUAUUAGCAACCUAUUUCACCUGUUUCUCCAGCUCAUCCAUAACAUCUGUAAAUAAGUAGUACCUGGAAAAUCUCCAAGCGAUUGAUUUUCUCAAGGCAGGAGCAUCUUUCAUCAGUUUCCAAGCGGUCCUGAACUUUCCACCACUGGCUACUAGCCUGAACAAAAGAAGUCAGCAACAAUGGAACUAUGGAAGUUCUAUCUUCUUGAAAUAGAAAAACAUAAUCUAGGAACUGAUGCUAAGACCACUAGAACAAAUACCUUAAUAAAGUCAAAGGAUUUUAAAAAUUCUAAGUACUCCACUCUAUUGCGCUUCUGCUCCUCCAAUGCCUUCGCAUGCUUCUGGUAAAAUCCAGUACAAAGUAAAAAAAAUAAAAUUUCUCUUUAAAGAAAACAAUAUGGACAAAGAGACUGUAACUACACUUUCAUGAAAGUAACGAAAAACUCUUCCUGUUUUACGAUGGAGAGGGGAGAGGAAGAAGCAUAUCAUAGUUUCAAGUUUCAAGAAAAAUUACAUACAAUACAUGGAAGUCUAUUUAUAUUAGAAUUCAAUGGUGAACAAAUUUAAAUCUUGUACCCUUGAGAAGCCAUUAAAAAUGUAUUCAAAGAACACAAGAUUUUAAGUUGAAUAUCUACAACAUUCCUUCUUUCUACUCUUUAAGCAAAACAAAAAAAGGGAACAAACUAAAAGACAUCCUGCAAAGGAAAGGAAUGGAAUGACUGUUGUUAAUCAAGUGGACCAGUGCCAAACUCAACUUCAAAGUCUAGGUCAGGUGGUGAAGAAUGUCCAAGAUCAUAUAAGGAAACUACAGCACAUACACCUUACUAGUGUGGGAUUCUCAUACAUUAAUCGAACACCAAGACUAGACAUUUGUAGCAUCAGUUAACCUAGGUUGGCUAACAUCUAAUAGUCUAACAUCAAGAUAGAUCUGCCUCUAAUACCAUGUUUAAGAAAUUGGACCUUGUUUCUAUCUCAAAUGAAAGGCUAACUUAAUUUGUGAGGAGCCAAAGACCAUAUAAGGAAACUACAAUCCGCACACUUUGUUUUUAACAUAUAGAAGCUUACAAGAAAGUUCUGCAAAAGAAGCAUCAACUUUUUAUCUUAUUCCUCCACAUAAUCUUCAAAAAGGUCCCCACAGUCUUUAGCUCGCUCAACAGCUUUAAAAUGUUCAUCAUGUUCAAAUAUGGAGAUUGCCUUACUGAAUAAUCAAUAGCAAAUAGUUGGUGGAUCAAAUGGAACUUACAUAAGUAAUGGAUCAACUUCAAGGUACCAAAACACAUACAAACAAUGACCAAUAUUAGAAAACAAGCAACAGACAACUUAACAUUACAAGUGAAAGACAAACCUCCAUCUUGAUGAUGGUGACAGCUCCUUGCAAUCCUGUAAGAUUGAGAACAACGGACAUUGUUAUGAAAAAUACCACUUAUUCUUUUGAACAAGUCAAAUACCAGUCACUAACACAUCAUGAAUAUUAUGAUAAUAUCUUUUUAUUUUUGAAACUGGUAAUGUGAAUAUCAUGAUAUAUCAAAUAUAAGACACCCACAAAAGAAAAUUUCACUUACUUUUAAAAUUACCCUGAAAUCUUCCCGAGCUUUUUUCUGUUUAACACGCCUCUCUUCAGCUUCUAGUUUUCUCUUUUGGCUCAAAUACUGGAACAGACACACGACUUCAAAAUGAUCACUAUAGACCUUAGGUGUGUUUGGUAUGAAGGAAAAUGUUUUCCUAGAAAACAAGUUGGUUUCUUACUUGAUUUCUUAUGUUUAGUUGAUGAAAGGAAAAUAUUUUUUAGAAAAUUUUUUCUAGUGUUUGGUUGGUGAAUAAAAAAAUAUUUUUCAGAAAAUACAUUUGAGAGUUGUAUAAAAAUUUCAACUUAAGAGUGAGAUUGAAAGAGAGUUUUGGAAAAUGUUUUUCCUACUUUUGGAAGGGAAUUCAUUUUCCUUAAAUUUAAGAAAAAUAAGUUGAUUUGGAAAACAUUUUCCAAAAUAUUUAAGUCAACCAAACAUGAAACAAUUCAAUAUCAAACACAAUCUAUCUUUUUGCAAUAUGGUAUGCUGAAACAUUGAGGCAACAAUUAACCAUUCCAAUGCCGACUUGGAGAGAUACCUCAUUAAAAGCUUGCUUCUGCUCACAAAGGGAUUUUACAGCACCAUAUCUCCGGUCAUUAAUUACUGCUCUCAUGGCCUGACUAAUACAAUUCAUGUCAAAUGAUCUCCCUCAAUUGUUUGGUACGCACAAAACACUCAAGUAAUAAACCUGAUUCCACAUGCAAUCAGACCCAAUAUUUGCAGAUUCCAAAAGAGUUUUGAAUGUACUCUUUUCCUCCUAAAUAAAAUCAGAUACUUAAAAUAGAAAUAAGAGAAAUUUCGAGAACAUACAUUAAACGAGACAAAAAGCAAUAAUCAACUAUACCGCUUUGCUCUCAUAAACUAAUGGUCCCAGCUCGACUAUUUUCUCAUCUGAUGGAGUAGUACCUCCGAUUUCAGUUAUUACAACAUCUUUCUUGACAUUCUGCAUGUUAGGCACAACAUCAAUCACAAAGGACAAAAGCAAACCUCAUUGGAAUUUGUAGCAUAUUCUUCACCUGUUAGCAGUUGACUAACAACUACACUACAAAAUUGUUGGAUCAACAUCCAGCAUAACAGCUAUGAAAAGCUUUCUUGGUGUUUUAACCAGUAACCAGUAGUAAUUAACUAAUUGCAUAAGUAUUUCAGAAGGACAAAGUACCUCUCUAUUCUUCGAAGAAAAUCCAUCACCAUACACUACUGUAACUUGAGUUGUAGUAGUCUCAAAACUACAGAAAAAUUGAAUUCCAAAUAAGAAGCAACAUAAACCAGAGGCAAAUUUAUAACAUAUAAAUCUGAAAACAUGCACCGGUGGCGCGACAGAAUUUCCCAAGGUUACUGCUAUUCCAAUUUUCUCUGAAUUAGCAACAGCUGGCAAAGCAGGUUCUGAAGAAUUCUUCAUUUCAACUGUUCCAAUCAUCGGAGAAGAAACAUUACCAGAUAAACUUGAUGAUUCUAAAGCCACAAUAGUUGGUAAGUUAGCAGCUGGUGACACAGCAAUUGGGCUUGAUUUAGCAUCGUGUGCCGAGACUAAUAAACCAUCUGCACCCGGGGAUGAUGUUUUAACAACAGAAAUGGAUCCAAAAUCAGAAGCGUGCAAAUUCUCUCCAGGACUUGUAAAUUCUCUCCAGUAAGUUGAUGCGUCUGCCUUCUGUCCCAAUGAAAACUGAAUAAAAGUAGGUUAAGUCAAAAAAUAGAACAUAAACAGUACCCUGAGAGUAGAAAUCAAUAACUUCCAGCAGUACAAUACUGGAUGGAAGUGUUAGAAUAUGAAUGAUAUAAUGUCCCACAUAAAAAAGGACUAGCAUGUACUGUGUAGAAUAUAACUACAAGCAGGGUGGAAACAUUGCCAAGCUGCGGCUGAGCUACAACUAUCCAAGGGUGAUCAACUCAACAACAUUCGCUUGAUAAUCGUAUUUUGUAUAUAUAUAUAUAUAUAUAUAUAGGUCAAAUUCUGUCGUUUCUAAGUAUUUUUUAAUGAACACCCUCGCCACAAAAAACAAGACGGAGUGUGACAGUAAGGGUGUUCAAAUCUUGCAAUGAGGUUCUAAGUUCCAUACUCAACACAGCCCCCCCAUAAUUUUUUUUUUCAUUUGGACACGUUUGAAACUCAUAAACUACAGUUAUGCUUUUUUUGAUGAAUCAAUUUCUGAACAUGUGUUUUUUGUCCCAAUUAGCUCUUACAAAAGAGCUAGUAACUAGCAUGCCAGGUAUCAGAAUUUUGUUAAAAUAAACUUAAAGGUAAAUUUAUAAAGUGGUUGUUAUACUAGCUAUCUUGCAUGGGGCAGAGUGUUUGGCUGGUCAAGAGCUCGCAUGUUCGAAAGAUAAACGUAGAAGAAAUGAGGAUGUUGAGAUUGGUGUGUGGGCAUACUAGGAGAGAUAGAAUAAGGAACAAAGAUAUGCGAGAAAAAGUGGUAGUGCUCUCUGUGGUGGACAAUUAACAAGAAGACUAGAGGGUUGGGGAUAAAGAACCUAAAAAUUCAAAGUAAGGCUCUCGUGAUGUAAUGGUUUUGGAAAUAUGCAAACAAUAACCAGCUGCUAUGGAGGAAAGUGAUUGGGACUAAAUAUCCUGAAGAAGAUAGAUGGAUAAAUAAAGAAUUGACCACACCAUACGGGAUUAUCCUCUAGAGAUCUAUUAGACAAUAGUGGAAUGAAGUUAAAAGAAACUCAAAGGUUAAAGUGAUGGAUGGAAACAAGACUAGGUUCUGGAAGGAUAAUUGACAUGAGGAUGGGAAUAUGGAAGUUAUUUUUCCUGAUAUCUACAACUUGGUAUUGCUUCAAUAGAGGACUAUAGCAGAAUUAUGGACACCACAUGGGUGGAACUUCAAUUUCAGAAGGCAACUUAAUGAACGGGAGGUAAUGAGAGUAGUUGAAUUUUUUAAUACCAUGGACUUAUUCAAUGGACUGCAAACAGUGAAGGAUGUACUAUGGUGGAUGGGAAAUGAAAAAGGAAUGUUCAGUGUCAACAAAGCCUACAAGAUAAUGAACCAAAUAAAUCACCCAGAUCCAAGAUGGCCAUGGAAGAAAAUAUGGAAAAGUAGGAUACCUCACACAGUGUCGUGCUUUGUCUUUGUCUGGUUACUAACCAAGGAAGUAGUUCUUACACAAGAUAAUGUCAUGAAGAAAGGAAAAACCUUGUGCUCCAUAUGUUUCCUCUGUGGAGAAACUUAGUGAUGGUUAACCAUGUAUUUCUACAUUGUAAGUACACCCAACAACUUUGGAGAAUCGUCUCAAGACUAAAAGGCAUUUCCAGGACAAUGCCUAGGAAAGUAUCCAAGACUUUAAUAUGCUGGGAGAACCAGGUGUACAUGCGAAGAACAGAGGUAGAUGGAGAAUUAUCCCUGGUGCUAUAUGGUGGGCUAUAUGGAAAGAAAGGAAUUCUAGAUGUUUUGAAAGCAUAGAGAAUAGUGUGCAGAAGGUUAAACUCAAUUGCAAUUUUGCUUUUAUGUUUUUAGUGUAAUCAACUAUACUCUAAUGAUAUUACCUCGAUAAUUGAUGUUCUAGACUAAAUUUAGAGAUAGAACAGUUGAUUUUGGAGUACUCUUGUAUAUAAAGGUUUCAGUACAACCCAUGUACUGUGUGAUAUAAUACAAAGUUGCCAAGUUCAAAAAAAAAGAUAAUAAUUUUUCAAGUACUAAAAGUUUAUAAAAUAACAAAUAAAGCAAUUAAAUCUGAGUUCAAAUUAGGUGGGUUGGGUUAUGACCCGAAUUUUAGAGCAUUUCAACCCAACUCGUUUCAGCCCAAGUAGCUUUAGGGCGGGUUAAUAACCCGCCCAUUUAUUAACUCAGACCUCUUUGAUCCGCCCAAAUCCAGCCAACCCCGCCCAUUCGACACCUUUAUUUUAAAAGAAGUAAAGUGGACCAUGCCAGAACACAUACCAGAUCUAUUGAGUUGAAGUAAAGUGGACUAUCAAAGGACACACAACAAUCUGUUGAGUUGUUGGAUUAGUGGGGAUUAAAAAGAGUGAGAAGAAACGGGGGAGAACAAUCCUUCCUUGUAUUUGGUGGACUGUAUGGAGCGAGAAAAUUUGAAGGUAUUUUGAAGAUAAAUAUAAUUCCAUUCAGAAAGUUAAAUGAAAUAACAUUGUAGAUUUUUGUUUAUUGUUUAAGGGCCAAUGUGUACAGGAUGCAUAACAGGUAGUAGAUCUCUUCGAAUCCUAGCAUUAUUUUCAUUAUUUUUCAUUUCUUUUGGACUGUUAGCAUAAUCUUAACGCUGACGAAUACAAAGUAAUAUCUCUGAAAAAAAACUGUUUAUCUGAAAAAAAAAAGGAAUAAAAAUGUUCAAACUUCCUUACAGCUCCAGUUGUUGGUCCCUUAAUACUUGUCCCUCACAACCAGCCAAACUUUCUUUGAUAACCGUCAUGUUUGGGCCAGCUUGCACCUUGACUAGUUACACCAGGUACUGCUACCUCCCACCAGCACAGAUACUAGGUAACUCUGUCCAUCAAGGCUUGGACAGACGGUAAGAAAUCACCUAGUGUUUUUAUCUCUGUUGGAAAUUAAACCUGAGACCUCAUGGUUCUCAAUCUACUUCAUUGACCACUAUGUCACACUUUUGGGUGCAAGUGUGCAACCAGCCAAACUAUUAUUCUGUAAACCAGAAUGAGAAGUGUCAACCACAAUAUUAUAUCAAGUUUCCUCUCUCCAUAUCAUCAUUGAGUUACAAUAACAUUACAUUAAUCAGAAAGUAAAUAAAAUUGUUUAAAAUAGACCAAAUAUAAUCCUGUCGUGUAUGCUUAAACACAUUUUUUAGAACAAUAGUGUUAAAUAUAAAAUCUUUUAGAACUAUAUUAGAAAUAAAAGGUCAAUGCAAAUCCCAAAUGAAGCCUACAUAGUAUAGUAAGAUCGAGGAAAUUUGCUCGCUAAACAAAUUUUCAACAGAAAUCACAUAUACUUAGGAAAGAAAAAGAGUUUCUGCGAAGCUUCAUAGAAAAAGAAUCAUGUACUUCUUUUUCAUUGAUAAGCACAGGAAACUGGAUAAAACUACCCAUAAAAAUCUCGAUGACAUGAGACCUCACCUCCAUUUCUGUCAUUAUCUCUCGAGGUUUCUCCCAGGUAGAGAUUCUUGUCCUUCUAUUAUAAUAGUAUCUAAAAAUCAAUUCAAGAAUUGUAAGAAUGUUACUAAUUGGUUGGAGUAAUAAAGCCAUAGGAAAUAUGACAACAUUAGCAACCAUAACUGGCCUACUGAUCAUCAAAAGAUGCUGAAAAUAGCAAUACCUACUAGCAUUUAGACACAUGUAAAUAUGUAUGAUAAUAGAGAAAUGGGGUCAAAAUGAAGUUAUCGGUAGUGGUGUAUCAAGUUCUGCUGAUCAACAGUCAGGUAGAAUUUGGUAGCGGUGAACGGCAGCCCAUAUGAUAACUUUGACAAAGAGGACUGAAACAAAUGGGCCUAUUAUCUCCAGUGCUAAUGGAAGCAGAAUGAUGUACAAAGCACUAGAUGUGGAUACUUGAGGAUUUCUUGGCAGUGAUGGGGGCCAACAUAUCCACCACUUGUUCAUAGACAAGAAAUUAAGUGUUUGUCCAAAUCGGCAUGCUCUUUUUUCUGGAGAACACAAAGUGGUAAAAAGAUUGGAUCUAAAUGAAAAUGAUUGCAGAGCUCCUUUUCUUGUAUACUGUGGUUUUACACCUUUCUUGUUCACUGGAAUCUUAAUUUGCUUACAAAAAACUAUCAUAGAAUUCAAAUGUUGACACUCUCAGUCAACACACACCCAUUAACCCAUUAACUUAAGUAUGUUACUUGUUGACAACAUUUAUGCAAAACGGGUACAAUAAAACACAUUGAAUUCUUACUGGAAUAACCAAGGGAGUUGUUAAUUCUCCAGUCUUCUACAUAGUUGUCGCAGAAUUCACAUUAUGAUUAAUUAGUGGCAUCCAGGGUUAUACCCCUGAUGGAAACGUAUGAUUAUUUAUCUGUGUCUGAUACUGGGAGCCAGAAGAAUCAACAUUUACCUGCUGUUAAAGACGAUAACAAAAUGUAUUUCAUCAAUAUAUGAAUGGAACAUCGGAAACUUAUUGACAAUAACCAAAAAAGAUCUUCCCAAGGCCUUACAUUAUAUGAAGAAGAAACAGGUAAAUUUGGGGCACCAGAACCAGGCAUGUGGUUAUUUGACAUCGGAAGAUUUCGCUGAAAAUCAUGGGGAAUAGGUGGUCCCUAAGGAAUACUAUGCUUUCCUACUACAGGUCUACCAGUAACCUAUUGCAUAGGUUGAGGAAAUUGGAUUUGAGAAGGUUGAGACAUCGCAACAUUUGAAUGUCCAAGUGGCAGAAAUUAUUAAGAUGACCCGGAACCAUAAGGUUGUGCCUGUGGGCUGGAAGCAUAGGCUGAAACUGCUAAAGAUGUGGGGAAAAUAGUUAUCAUAAUGUCUCUACAUUCAAAAGUCAUUUAUACCUCCCCCGAGCCUCCACAACUUUACCUGCAAUGACAUGGAUGGAAUAGCACCAGGAGCAGGACCAGCCAGAGGAGGUAUAGGAGGCUUCUCAACCAAUAUCCAUGCAAGGAAGAACAAAUGAAAUCAGAAUUUAGCUACUUUUCAAUCAUAUUUAGUUAAUUUUCUAAUCAAUGUCGAAAGAUUGUAUCCAUGCGCAACUCCCUAAAUUAAUUUGAAAGACAAGGAAAGAAUUUUGAAGCCAAACCACAUAGUAACAUGAAACCAUUUUCUUCAUCUAAUAAAUAGAAAGCUUGAAACGAGAAUAAAGAGAGAUAGGAAAUAGAUGACCUAUCAUAGCGUUAGAAGAGAAUGGACAAAAUGAUAAGCAUCUUUACCUUAUGGCUUGGGUUCAACAUCUACUGAUGGUCUAAGUAUCUUUUCUUCGGGUGUAAAGAAGCACGUCUGUUAAUGCAAAACUAUGAUCAUGGAACUGAAACAUGAGGUAUGAGUAGGUAUUAGAAUAACUGAAAAAUACUGAGACCAGAAUGGGUUGAGCCUCACUCUUCCCUUCUGAUGUUCUAUGUCAUACUGACAUCACUACUAGAAUCUGAAAGCCUGACUUAGUUAUUCGCUCUAUCAUCUCCCCCUUAGCUUCAAGUCAUCAUAUUAAGUUUAGGAGAUCCCUUACUAGACUCUAAACUGAAGUACACUCACUGCAAUCUGGGGUUUGAAAAACUACUAUACACGCAUAUCAUGGCACUUAACCCAAAUGACUACACCUAAAAGUUGAAAACCCACUGUUAAUACUACCUUCUGAGAUACACUUUAUCAUUCUAUAGACCCAGUAGUCAUCAUAUAAUACUUGCAUACUUCUAACUUUGGGUCUUCAUAGGUAUCCCCAUAGUCGGAGUGCACACCCUCUAGUGCUUUAACUCUUAUUUCUAUUAGUUCAACCUUCAAAAACUCAAACUUAGAAUCUAGCUCUCAACAUGGAUAUCACUAAGACUUCAAUGAAUCAUACUACUUCCGACAUAGCCUACCAAUAUCGCGACUCCAAACUUACAUCUCUCUACUAUGAGAACUAAGAUCAUAUAAAAAGUCUCAACACUAUCAAUCAAACUCCUUAACUUGGCUAUUUAGAACGCCAUAUACCAUCUAACUAGUCUUUCUCCACCUAGCAACUCAACGGUACCACUCAUCACACAAAACGUGUAAUAGUCUUAGAAAAUACCGCAACCCCAGAUCACCUUGGGUAUACUUCUACAUUAUAUAUGCAACAUCAUACUUCACUACGAAUCAAAUAAACUUAAGCUCUUGCAUAUAUCUUUCAAUCCUAUUAGAUUACUUUCAUAAAACUAGUAUCAUUAACCAAGAAAUCAUCACAUCCACCUUCAUGGACAUCAAUUGUUCAAAACUUAAUGUCUAGUGCUAAACAUGAUUUUACAACCCAACCUUACACAUGAUUCUCACUUGGAUACCAUGAAAUAGACAUCAAGAAACACUAGUACACUAGAACUUCCAAACAAAAAAUAAUUGAUCUUGACCUUAUGGUGUUCCUUAUCAUAACUCAUUAGCACGUACUAUUUUAACACAUCAAGCCUAAUAAUUUUUUUCCCACAAAACAUACAUCAUUAAUCUCAUACCACUAUUUUUACCACCACAUUCUACAUUAAAUUCAAGCAUAUAGUCCUGUACCAAUCAUCUAUCACUACUGAAAAAUGCAACAUAAUAUGCUAGUCCAUAAAAUUUGGGACAUACUAUACAAGCGCCUAAAAAAUCACUACAUACCUUCUCACAAGUAGUACUAGUUUACAAUUACCAACGAAAACAAGGUCAAGGGGUAAAGUUACAUAAUAGACAUGAUCAACCUUAAUCUUAUAUUAUAACCCCAUACAAUCUUUUCUACUUAUACGGAUUUCUCACCUCAUACUUACAUACCCAAACAUACAUUUAGACUACUUUCAAAUUCCACAAACAACCAUGAGUCUAUACUUACAACUUACUGGCUAAUAUAGCCAUUUUCACACUUCAAGCAAUCGAGAAAUCACCCUAACUAAAAACUCCUUCUCUACCUUCUACUAAACUAACACACAAGGACAAAUCACCUCUUUACCAACUCAAUCUCAUGCAAACAGAUUCAGCUAUAUAUAUAUAUAUAUUAAACUAACACAAGAACAACAAGUUGGACAACAAGUUGCUAGUGAAUCGAAAUAGGCCUCACACAGCUUCACUAGACUUCGAUUUCGUAUUUUGAACAAGAAAAUGAGAUGAAUGACAAGUCAACUAUGCUAGUGAAUCAAAAGAUCCCCACAGAGCUUCACUAGACUUUAUUUUUUUCAACAACACCUUGAUGACAAGAUUACAUGAGAUACAAAUUUAAUAUGCAAUAUCCAAUGAACUAAGAAUACACAUCUUACUUUGUAUAAAUAAAAUCGGAGUCAAACACUUCCUCCACGAACUACCAUACCAUCAACACAUGCAACUAGUUACCACAUUAGUCUAUCACCAUAAGGAGGUAAAUCAUUCUCGAACAUCGGUUAUUAUACUAAAAUAUUCAUUUACACAAAAGUCACCCUCGCUCUGACUUCUAACUUUGUGACUUCACAUCACCAACUUCUUGGUCUAAUUUCACUACCAAUAGGUCAUGACAACAACACUUUAGCACAUACUACUAUUCGGGUAGAAAUAUAGUUCUAACAUUCUACUACACAUCAUCCCCCCUAAAGCAAAACAUUUGUAACAUAAAUUUGAAGGGGACUAAAUGCAAUUAAUACCUCAAGAUGAAAAUCACGAUUCCAUCAGGAUCAAUGUUUACAUCGGAAUCAAUACACAUUGAAGCACUAAUGGACUCUUCUCAAGUUCUUGCACAAAUUUUAACUCUUAUAUGGUUCAAUCAGAAAGGACCAUACCAUUUAGAUUCUAAACUUCUUCACUUGAAUCACCACAAUAAUGAGACAUAUCUGAGGACAUUAGAGUAAGGAAAGAAUUUGGGAUGUCUUUUUUUUUUUACUUCCGUAUGGGCGACACCAUAGCACGAAUUAGAGUAUGAAAGAGGAACAUUCUGACUCUAUUGCAUGAACUAGAACAUGAAGAAAGAGAGACAUUCCUAAACGCCUAGUAGCCUCCUACUUAUAAGUGUGGCGCGCUACACACCCAUAAACAAGACUCUACCCGACGCGAUUUCACAGACACCCUGGGACCAUGAACCGUGCUUUGAUACAAAGUUUGUCACGACCCGAACCGGGGCCCUGGCCGUGACGAGCAUUCUGAACAAUGACUAAAACAACCAUGUCCCACAAUAUAUAUCGACAUCUGAACAACCGUCAGCGAAAUCUCUAAUAUAUGACUGAAACAAAUUACUGUCUGAAAACUGGUCCCCAGUAGACCCAAAAAUACUAAAUGAUAAAUGAACUGACACAGAACUUCCGAAAUAUAGAAGGCUCACCACUUGAUUCUGCAAAUCUGUCGAAAGAGAUUUACUGGUUAUCUGAACCCCUAAACUAUGCCUCCAAACCUGGGAGAGAAGGGGGUCAAUAUAAAAGUACUAGUACGCAGAGAAACCAAAAACAAAAUAUAAUAUUUUUUUCCAAAUAUAGGUGAGAGCCAUUAUAAAGCAGUUCUAUAUCAAAUUAUUUGAAAACACAUGGGCACAAUGUAAUAGUUUUCAACAAUAAUGUAAUACAGCUGAGCUAGGUGGAAUACCCUGCAUAUAACAUUUACACCAACUGUCAAAUCUCGGUUGCCGCUGAGAUUAGAGUAUAAGUGAGAGGAAGACAUACAAGAUCACAUAGCAGGGUGUCUCGACCCAAUAAAGUAUAGUACUGCCCAAGAUCACUUAUCCUGGGCGCCUAACCAUAGUCCCAAUUUGGGAAUGACAUAAAGUCAAGUACACAAGAUCACUUAGCCAAGUACCAAAUCCCCAUAUCGGCAAACAUGGUUUCCAGCGAUGAGCCCUUACACUCAAACGCCUUCUUCGGGCAUCCACCUAUCUCAUGUAAAAUCAAUGCAUCAAACUCCAUUUAAUUCAAUCACAUAUCUUAUUCUGUAGGGUAUGGUCAUACCCGACUUACAAGCCAUCAAUAUCACAUCAUUCUUUCAUGCAACUAUUAUAUUCAUCAUAUUUCAACAUAACAACACUCUUAUUGUAAGUCAAAACCAUGACCAUUUUAAAAAUAUUUCAUGUCACGCUUGUCAAGAUGAUUUCAAACAUUUCAUAUCAUAUGAGAAUUUAAAACGAGAUCAUAUAAAAAGAGGGAUUUCAUAUAAUUCAUGCUCUCAAGUUAACAUCUUUUCGGAAUACAUGCAUAUACAUAUAUCAUAUAUCAAACCACUUCGGGAAUAGGCCUAAAGACCAAAUCAAUAUCAUAAAAUGUUUAAAAUGGGAUUAUAUUCAUAAUUUCAAAACCCCCAUUUUUAAAACAUAAAUUUUUAAGCCCAUGAGAUUUUUUAGAUAACCCCGCGUACCUCUAUAUGCGAAGAUGAUAGGUGCUUCUUGAAACCUACGUUCUAGGGAUUCCAACUAUGCAAUUCGUUUCAAAAACCCACGGUUGAAUCUUGAGUUGCUUAGGUUUUUAUUUUGAAACCCUCAGGAGAGUUCUUGAGAAAUUUUGAUGAAUGAAGGUGUAUUUUGGGGUAUUUUGGGAACUGAAUUUCGUGUUUAUGGCUAAAUAAGGGUGGAAAAAGGACCAUUUUGGCCCAAAAAUGGAGUGUUUAAGUCACUUGAGUAAUAAUAUAUGCGGCACAAACCUUAUCACAUAAUUUAGGUUGUGCGUCACACUCUUUAUCGCACACAUUAGAUUGUGCGUCGCACACCUUAUGGCAUAAGUUAGGGUGUGCGUCGUACACCUUAUGGCAUAAGUUAGGGUGUGCAUCGCACACCUUAUGCUGUACGAUACACUACACUUUGCAAAGCUAUAACUUCUUCCUCGGGUGUCAAAAUUUUGUUAAAUUGGUAUCGUUGGAAAGAUAAUUCGAAUAUCUUUCAUUUGAUAUAUAUUAGGAACUCUAAUUCAAUAUAUACAAAGAGUAAUGGUCGAUUGAAGUUGACCUAAGUCUCAACGCUCACUAAAAUUCGAAUGAUAGGAAAACUUUCAACUUGUCCUUGAGCUUGGGGACCUCUAUGAUCUCAAUUCAUGCUCAAAUAGGUUUCCACACUACAUAAUUUAUUAACACACUAAAUUUGCAUUGGAUUAUGGAUUUUGGAACCUUUAUGUGAAGAAAAUGACAAUUUUCGUUCUCGUCCGAAAUGCGGGGUGUUACAAAAUUUUGUUAGAAAAUGGAGUACAUUUUAGCUGCAUCGUACUCCAAAUACACUAAACUGAACUUUAAAAGUAAUAAUGCAUUUCUUACCUGUUGGUGUGUAGCAUUCAAAAGUUUUAUUGUCUUUGGUCGGAAGAUAGCCACAACGACGGUUUCAAGCAUGAAGAUUAAACUAAAAAGAAGCCAUGCUCGCUCUGGAGUUCCUGCUACAUGAUGCAAUAUUACUCUACAAUGUUGAAGCCACUUUCCUAAUCCUUGGAGUCUAAGUUCUUUCGAGAAUGAAAUAUGAUUAGGUAACACAUCCUAAACAUCAUUUGAAUCGGUGACAGGAGGUUUACUAUCGCGAUGUUCUCCAUCAGCAUCCAAACUACUUCUCUACAAUAAGGCUAGAAUCAUUGGGUCCAAUCCAUUCUCCUUCAGCAUCACUGCAAAAUUAGGAUCAAGCCCUUUAUCUUGCAAUAAAUUAGCUAAUUCAUGAUCAGUGUGUCUUCCUUUCCGCUUUAACAUAGAUGUAAUCCUCGGAUCACUCAACUUUUCUUGAAAUGCAAGUGCGAAAUUCAAGUCCAGUAUCUGUUGGUUUGCAGAAGUGGAUGUACUAGAAUCACAGCCUUGGCUUUCAAGGCCACUGCUAGAACAAAAAAACAAUGAACUAUUGUGCUCUAAUUUUCUGUCAACAUAUGAUGAUCCUACUUCAGUCUCUUGAACAACUGAACGAUAGGAACUACUACGUAGAGCUAGACUUAGUCUUUCACUGUCUAUGCUCUUAUCACUAUUAAUCCCCUCAAUAUUAUUCCAGGUACUGCCAUCACUAGUGCAAGGAACAAUUGCAUUAUCAAUAUGACCAGCAUCAGCACUACUACUACAUUUGAUACUUGAGCCACAACCCUCAGAAGAGCUUGCGGAGCUAUUUUGGUCAUUUCUGUGGAAACCUUCUCUAAGGCGGAUAACUGUGCUCUACAAGGCAUCUCGUCUAGCUGCUGAUGGGUCUGUAACUGAUAAAUGCCGUGAAACAGCAGCACCCAACAACACAGAUGUUACAAUUUCAUAACUGAUACAAUGUCCAAAGUACCUGAAACAAAAUUAUUGCAGUAAAAGAUUAGAAGAUUUUUUUUGAUAACAAAAGAUUAGAAGUUUCUAUUCAACAAAUAAUAUUAAAAGGGAUGCAUAUGCCACAAGUAUAAGAAGACUUAAUUAUGGAAGAAAAUGAAUUAGCAUGGGUUAAAAACAAACCAAUAAUGAACUCCAAAAUAGAUCAGGAACACUCGAGAUGUACCGGCAACAAAAAGUAUGAUGACUCGACUUUUCAGAAGCUUAAAGCCAUACAAGCAAACUCCUAAGUUCCAAUCUGAUUGAAUGAAAAGAUAGUGAAUUCAUUACUUACCACAAAGAUAUAAGAAAUUAUUUCACAAUACGAGUCAGAAAAGGAGACAGAUAUAUGUAGAAAAUGAACUACCAAGGAUUAUCACGGCAGCUGAUGUUGUAGCCCCAAGCCAGUUUGAUUUCUUUUCUGUCAGACCAUACAGGAUAGAAUACACAAGAAGUACUACAAGUGAACCAACAUAUAGAAGUCCAAGAUGCAGAGCCCUGCAGAGCCCAAGUUCAAAGUGAAGAAGGGUAAAUUAUAGACUUCAGAGAAAAUAUUGAAAAGAUAGUGCAGAAAAUAUGAUGAGCAGUAUAAAUGAGAACCCACUGAACACAUAAUAUAAUAAGGUACUUUCUAAUCUAAAGCAGCAUUUAAAUUAAUUUUCUUAGCAGUGGGAUUUUAAGAUCUACUAUUUUUACUGGACUACUGGAGAGUGUGUUUUGUUCUCUCAGAGUUUGUAUUCCUUUUACUCAAAUAGGUUUGAGUUACACCCAUUGUUUAGCGUUCUUUGGCUCUUAAUUUUAAAAGUCCAUUAGAAUGAUUAGAGGGCAGGGUGGAACUCCCUCAUAGCAAGUCAAAUGAAGUUUAAAACUAUAUAAAGAAGAUGAAACUAGAGGCUUCUGUAUGUGUCUCACAUACUUGGCAUAAACCAUGUGUGAAUGAGCACAACAGAAUCAAAUGUACUGAGACAAAGCAAGCAUUUGAUUGCAGAUCAAAUGGAAGAGUCUGCCAACCAACCAAAUUUAAGAGCAGCUCUGGUCCAUGCACCAUUUUGAGGUAAAGUUAUAUGGUUAAAAAUUUGGACGUUACUUAAUAUAUGCACAAACUGAAAAUGAACUGCCCAGUUAGACAAGUGCUUUUUGUAUCUACCCAGUGACAACCUUAGUGAAAGAAUACAUCAAUGAGAAGUUAACUCAGUAAGCUUAAUGAGCUUUCUCCUGCAAGGAAUGAAAGUGUGGAUGACCCAACAUCAAAUAUACGAUUAUUAUUAUACACACAAUCUCCAUACAACAGCAACAACAUACCCGAUGUAUAUUCGGGCCGAAUAUAUGCAAACUAUACCUCUACCUCAGAGACGAGAAAAAAAUGGUAGCACCAAUCCUCACUAAAUACUUCAUAACACAAAAAACAGCCAAUACUUACAAAACCAAAUAAAGCAAAAGAAGUUCAUUGUCUUGAUCACCAGCAAGUAAAACAAAUGUUUACAAUUGGAGAUUCAAAAAGGUUGCAAAAGAAAGAAGCAAACUUUCUAUUUAACAAGUAUCAAAGGGGGGAAAAUAAGAGUAAAACCAGUAAGUAUACGAGAAGUAUGAACACUAUAGUCAAUGAACAAAAUAUGAAUUGUAGUUUAGCCAUUUAGCAUCCAUCACUCCAACAGAGAAUUAGGUCUUGUAAGAAGGUCGAAAGAUUUGCCUAUCGAGUCUUUCAAGAUUAUGAUUUGACCCUCUUUCAUAAGAAAGUCUUCGUUGAGGGUAUCUACCUUCCUUUUCAACAUAUUGAUUCAUAAUUCAACGGCAUGUUCAUCUCACUGUAGCACUUAACUUCCUCCCACAUGAAAUCCCUCUCCUGAAACACUUUUGGUAGUAUCUCCUUCACAAUGCCAAGUUCCUUCAUGCAUUCUUGCAAAUCAUUAGUAAGCUGGUUGAUAUUUUCAUCCUUUUUUAGCAGCUGCCAGAAUCAACCGUAAACCAUGAAAAACAAGAAAGACACAAAGAUCACCAAUAACAUUUCAUCAAAAAUUCAAAACAAAACCAUAGCCUAGAAGUUCAACCAAAUCAUGAAUCCUUUUUAACUGUUAAAAUUCACAGUAGAUAACUCGUGAACUUGUCCAAGAAUUAAGUCAGAUGAACGAGCAAACUUACCGAAACCCCUUCGGGUAACUUUACCACAUCAGAGCAAAAUCAGAUCAAUGGGUUUGAGGAUAUCACAAAGUGUAUCAUGUUCUUGGUUGGUUCAACUUAUUACACAUUAAGGCGAUCAGACAUUUCAUAGAAGACUACCACAUGCCAGCAACUCAUGUAUACAAGUUCAUAAAGAAAAUCGUGAACUUCAGAUGGAACAAAGAUGAACCUAAAAUCAAACAGAAGUAGAAAGCUAAUGCAGAGAGAGUAAGAUAUGAACAGACUAUCAUAUAUGAAGACGAGGUAUCCAAAGUUGAAAAAUAAAAACUAUUUCGUUGCAAUGAGAUCUUAACAUUUCAUGCUUACCUGAAGCUCGAGAUAUUUCAACUUAGGUAUGGCAUAAGAAAGAGUGUCCAACGCAUUUCGCACUUCAUAUUUGAGAAUGUCGUUACCUCUAACUAUUGCGACUAGAUCAGCCUGAAGCUGCUUUAUGUCCAUCUCCUCGGAAUAGAGCUUCUCCCUUAGCAUAGUUGUUAGCAAAGUCUCUGAUUUAAGAUCUUUAACCUUUUCCUGGUAGUUUUCUCAGACAUAAUCUCUAUUGUCUUGAGCUACUCGAUAUUCCGUUUGUAACUGAGUGAGCUGCAACCUUAGAUUUUGAUUCUCCUCUGACACUUGCUCUAUUCUCUUAGACAAAUCUCCAAGGUAUUUCUCCGAAAAUGACAUAUUGAUUCUAUUAUCUACUUCCUUCUCAUUAAAUAAAGAGACUUCCCUUGGUAAAGAGACAUUCUACUCUACAAGCUCCCUCACCCUUUCAUAGAGUCUAUGUUGUUCAAUUUGGUAUUUCUCAAGUUUUAAAGACCAAUCACUGGAUCUUCUAUCCAACUACUUUUCCAUUAUUGAUUGUAACUCAUUCUUUUCUGUCUCCAAUCUUCGUGUCCAUGAAUCUAUUUCUGCCUGUAAUAUGCUAGCUUCUUCCUUAGCAGAAGCCCUUUCAGCAACUUGAUUCCAUAGCAUGCUUAAAACUUCAGAAGCCAUUUGUACCUUCUCCUUUGUCAAUCUUCUAAUAGUCUAAAUCAACACUGGAAUGCUAAGGUCUCUGCCAUAAGAAAUAUUUGUCAUUACUUUGGACAAGCAAAUGCAAAUUAAAACAUCAGUUUAAGUGUGAAAAAGAAAGCUAUAGCAAAAUGAUAUGCAUACCGGCUUGAAUCACGACCAGAUUUCUUAGGAUGAACUUUCUUACUAUGACCAUGGAGAGAUUUGCUCAGAUUCGUGAAAUUCUUUUUUCCUAACCCACUGUCAUAAAAGAAUCCAGAUGACAAUGAAACACUUCUCCUAGAAGAAACUUCCUUGGACUUUAAUGGUGGUGAAGGGGUCUUGUUUGCAUCAUUAGUUGAUGAUCAAAAAAAGAAGAAGUUGUUCUUCAUCAUCUCUAUGUAUGGAUACUGUACAUGAAUCAAAACUAGUGUCCAUGAGAUUUCAAAGGAUAAAGCAAAACACUCAUAAACAGCCACUCACAAAUCAUUAUCCAUUCAUGAAAAUACUGCAAGCUAACUAAAUACUUAUGAUACAAAGAAAAACAUCUCUCUUUCUACAUGCUUCUUCUUCAACAACAACAUACGUAACCCCUACCUUGGCAAGUAGAAAAUUUAUUUCCCAUAAAUCCUCGGCAAGGAAAGCAAAAACACGAGGAUAUUAACAACAGUAGCAAGUAUGAAAAUAGAGGUAUACGAUACAAAAAGUAGAAAAAAAAAUAUGUACUAAUACUACUACCAGAAGAGACAUGACGCGAAACUAUUUAGUACUAGUCUUCUACUGAAAAUAAAUAAAAUACCCCACAAACAAAUAGCCCAAGAACAAUUCAAAGAACUUAUCAAAUCCUUCUGAUAAAACAAAUAAUCAUGGUAAAUAAUUAAAAAAAAAAAAAGAGAAAUUACUGAAUCAAAGAGUUGAAAGAGUAAGAGCCGGCAAAAGGUUGUCAGAAUCUGUAGGAUUCUUGUCAUUUUUUCUUGAAAUGUAAAAAUAGCAAAGGACUAGAAUGGAGAAAACUUUAUUUCUGUGUCUUUCAUUCAUCAUCGUACAAUGCAUAUAUACAACUAACAAGGAUCUGUAAAUUGCAAGUAAAUAUUUACAAGGAUCUGUAUAUGGCAAGUAAAUAUUUACAAGGAUCCAUAAAUAUGACAAGUGAAUAUUUACAUACACAUAAUGAAAAACUUGAGAAAUACCCAUGAGAGAGAGAGAGAAGAAAAGUGUAACAAAUAUUUUGUGUUAUUCAAUGGCUAUAAAUAGCCAUAUGAGGUCAAAUUUUCCAUAUAAUAGAAAUAAGAUGUAAACUAUAAAUUAACUUUUUCAAAUUAGCACACAAAUUAACUUAAAUUAUGAAAUUAAAGAUAUUUAUUUUUUCAAAAUUUAACUUUUCCAUAUAAACAUCACUGAAUUGAUAUAAGCAAUAUUUUGAAACGUGAUAAAUUAAUUAAAUAACACAAAAAUAUUGUAAUAUUGUAUUUCUUUUAUCUCUAGAUCUUUUUUAAUACAUAAGAAAUACUAAAGUCAUACAAUAAUCUCCUUUCUUUUUAUAGUCCAAACUUACCAUUUAAAAAUCGUUUCAUUUGAAUUAAUAAGAUCAUAGUAGAUUGUACAAAAUCAGUUAAUAAAUGAUAUAUAUUUCCAUUAAAUAAAUAAAGUACGAUAUAAUUGUAAUAAGACUACACAAUCAACUAAUUAAUUUCACUUAAUUAGAUUAAAUUUUAUGAUCAUAAUAUAUAGACUAAAGUUCCUUAAAUUUAAUGUUGUAAAUUUCAAAAUACAUUUAUGGCUAAAGUAGUAGUCAAUGUUCGUUAUUUUUUUUAAUCAAUAUAUGUAUAUCAAUUAUAGAACUUUGCAUAUAUUCUUUAUUAAAAUAAUUGUCAAUAUUAAUUGAAUUUUACCAUAAUUUAAUCUAAUUAGUUUGAUAACAGUACAAUUAUUAUUAAUAUUAUAUAUUUUUUAACCAUAAAUUUGUCCUAAUUUUAUAGAUUAUUCUAUUUAGUUAAUCUACAAUUACAUAAAGGACUCAAAUAUGGAAACAAUUGAUAUUAAUUACCUUUAUAAUUUCAAAAAUUUAAUCCCAUGAAUUUCUCAUACUCUUAUAGUUUGAUUAUAGCAAAUUGAUAUUAAUUACCUUUAUAAUUUUGGGAAGAAUUUUUAAAAGUUAACGAUUAUUUUUUUCCUAAUUGUUGAUUUAUUUCUCAAAAAUUUCUUAUAAAUUUAUAAUUUGAUUGUAGUUAAUUGAUUAAUUAAUUAUCUUUUUAAUUUGCUAAAAACUCAAAUAAGGUACAAUUAUUUUUUCUCAAUUACAGAUUUUCUUAAAUUCAAUCUUUUAUUGUUUUACUAAAAUAGUUCAAAUUUAAUUGUUUUGAGGCAUGACAUCUUUUUGUCUAUAAAUCUUUUUUAAUACAUAAGAAAUGCUAAAGUNNNNNNNNNNNNNNNNNNNNNNNNNNNNNNNNNNNNNNNNNNNNNNNNNNNNNNNNNNNNNNNNNNNNNNNNNNNNNNNNNNNNNNNNNNNNNNNNNNNNNNNNNNNNNNNNNNNNNNNNNNNNNNNNNNNNNNNNNNNNNNNNNNNNNNNNNNNNNNNNNNNNNNNNNNNNNNNNNNNNNNNNNNNNNNNNNNNNNNNNNNNNNNNNNNNNNNNNNNNNNNNNNNNNNNNNNNNNNNNNNNNNNNNNNNNNNNNNNNNNNNNNNNNNNNNNNNNNNNNNNNNNNNNNNNNNNNNNNNNNNNNNNNNNNNNNNNNNNNNNNNNNNNNNNNNNNNNNNNNNNNNNNNNNNNNNNNNNNNNNNNNNNNNNNNNNNNNNNNNNNNNAUUUCAUUUGAAUUAAUAAGAUCAUAGUAGAUUGCACAAAAUCAAUCAAUUAAUUAUAUAUAUUUUUAUUAAAUAAAUGAUGUACGAAAUUGUUGUAAUAAAACUAUACAAUCAACUAAUUAAUUUCAAUUAAUUAGAAUCAAUUUUAUGAUCAUAAUAUAUAGACUCAAGAUCUUUAAAUUUAAUGUUUUAAAUUUUAAAAUAUAUUUAUGGCUAAAGUAGAAGUCAGUGUUCGUUGUUUUUGUAACCAAUAUAUGUAUAUCAAUUACGAAAAUUUGCAUAUAUUUUUUAUUAAAAUAAUUGUCAAUAUUAACUAAUUUUUAACUCAAUUUAAUGUAAUUAAUUUGAUAACAAUAAAAUUAUUAUUAAUAUUAUAUAUUUAUUUACCAUAAAUCAGUCCUAAUUUUAUAGCUUGAUUAUAGUUAAUUAAUCUAUAAUUACAUAAAGGGCUCAAAUAUGAAAACAAUUGAUAUUAAUUACCUUUAUAAUUUCGGCAAUUCAAUCCCAUGAAUUUCUCAUGUUUUUAAUAGAUUGAUUAUAUUAAAUUGAUAUCAAUUACCUUUUUAGUUUUGGGAAGAAUUUAAAAAAGGUAACGAUUAUUUUUUUUCCUAAUUACUGAUUUAUUUCUCAGAAAAUUCUUAUAUAUUCACAAUUAGAUUAUAGUUAAUUGAUUAUUUAAUUAUCUUUAUAAUUUUCUAAAAGCUCAAAUAAGGUAACAAUUAUUUUUUUCUAAAUUAAGGAUUUUCUUAUAUUCAAUCUUUUAUUGUUUUACUAAAAUAUUUCAAAUUUAAUUGUUUUGAGGGAUGACAACUUUUUGUAUCUAAAUCUUUUUUUAAUACAUAAGAAAUGCUAAAGGCAUACAAUAAUCUCCUUUCUUUUUAUAAUCCAAACUUACCAUUUACAAAUUAUUUCAUUUGAAUUAAUAAGAUCAUAGUAGCUUGCACAAAAUUAAUUUAUUAAUUAUAUGUAUUUUUUUAUAAAAAAUAAUGUACGACAUAAUUGUAAUAAAAUUACACAAUCAACUAAUUAAUUUCAAUUAAUUAGAAUCAAUUUUAUGAUCAUAAUAUAUAGACUCAAAUUCCUUAAAUUUAAUGUUGUAAAUUUUAAAAUAUAUUCAUGGCUAAAUUAAUAGUCAGUGUUCGUUGUUUUUUACCAAUAUAUGUAUAUCAAUUACGAAAAUUUGCAUAUAUUUUUUAUUAAAAUAAUUUCAAUAUUAACUGAUUUCUUUCUCAAUUUUGAUCUAAUUAAUUUUAUAACAAUAAAAUUAUUAUUAAUAUUAUAUAUUUAUUUACCAUAAAUCUAUCCUAAUUUUAUAGCUUAAUUAUAUUUAAUUAAUCUACAAUUACAUAAAGGACUCAAAUAUUGAAACAAUUGAUAUUAAUUACUUUUAUAAUUUUAAAAAUUUAAUCCCAUGAAUUUCACAUAUUCUUAUAGUUUGGUUAUAUCAAAUUUAUAGUAAUUACCUUUAUAAUUUUGGGAAGAAUUUAAAAAGGUAACGAUUAUUUCAUUUCCUAAUUACUGAUUUAUUUCUCAAAAAUUUCUUAUCAAUUCACAAUUUGAUUAAUUAAUUAUCUUUACAAUUUGCUAAAAACUCAAAUAAGGUGACAAUUAUUUCUUUUAUUAAUUAUGGAUUUUCUUAUAUUCAAUCUUUCAUUGUUUCACUAAAAUAGUUCAAAUUUAAUUGUUUUGAGGGAUGACAUAUUUUUGUCUAUAAAUCUUUUUUAAUACAUAAGAAAUGCUAAAGUCAUACAAUAACCACCUUUAUUUUUAUAAUCCAAACUAAUUGCAUAUUUGGAAUCCCCAGAACGCAGGCUUCAAGAAACACCUAUCAUCUUCGCAUUUAGAGGUACGUGGGGUUAUCCUAAAAUCUCAUAGGCCUUUAAAUUCAUGUUUUACAAUGGGGGUUUUAAAACUACGAUCAUGUUUUGAAUGUUUCUAUAAUAUUGAUUUGGCCUUUAGGCCUAUUUCCGCAGUGAUUUGACAUAUUAUAUAUGUAUAUGCAUGUGUUUUGAAAAGGUGUUAAUUUGAGAGCAUGAAUUAUAUGGAAUCCCUGUCUUGAUGUGAACUUGUUUUAUAUUUUCAUACGAUUUAAAUUGUUUGAAAACGUCUUGAAAAGCAUGAGAUGAAAUGUGUUGAGAAUUGAUAUGAUUUUGACUUGAAAACGAGAAGGCUAUUUGCGUUGAAACAUGUUGAAUACAAUGGUUGAAUGAGAAGAAUGAUGUGAUAUUGAUGGUAUGCAAGUCGGGUAUGACGAUACCCUACAGAAUAUGAUAUGUGAUUGAAUCAGAUGAAAUUUGAAUGCAUUGAUUUUACAUGAGAUAGGUGGAUGCCCGAAGAAGGCGUUUGAGUGUAAGGGAUCAUCACUGGAAACUGUGUUUGCCGACAUAGGAAUUUGGUACCCUGCUUUGUGAUCUUGCAUACCUGACUUUAUGUCAUUCCCAAGUUGGGACUAUAGUUAGGAGCCCUACUUUGUGAUCUUGUGCACAACCAUUAGGCCGAGACACCCUGUUGUGUAAUCUUGUGUGUCUUCCCCUCACUUAUACUCUAAUCUCGGUGGAAACCAAGGUUCAACAGUUGGUGUAAAUGUGAUAUGUAAGGUAUUCCACCUAGCUCAGCUGCAUUAAAUUGUUGUUGAAAACAAUUACAUUACGCCCAUGUGUUUUCAAAUGAUUUGAUGUGAAACUGCUUUAUAAUGGCUCUCAACUAUAUUUUGUAAAAAUAUUAUGUUUUGUUUUGAUAUCUCUGCGUACCGGUACUUUUGUAUUGACCCUCUUCCCUUCCAGGUUCGGAGGCACAGUCUAGGGGUCCAAAAAAUCAGUAGAUUCCUCAGACAGAUUUGCAGAGUCACUUGGUGAGCCUUCUAUAUUUCGGAAGGCCUGAUCUCUGGCAGUUUCAUUUAUCAUUUAUUAGUUUUGGAUCUACUGGGGGCCUUGUCCUAGUUUUCAGAUAGAUAUUUAUUUCAGUCAUAUAGUAGAGAUUUUGCAAACAUUAAUAGAGAUAUUGACUUGAGAUUAUGGGACAUUAUUCCCCGUUAUUGAUUUCAUAUGUUUCUUGACCAUGUUUCCGUAAUAUUAUUUAUCUUCCGUAUUUCUUUUAUCAUAUGAGUUAUGUACAUGAUUAUCAGACAAAUAAGGGUAUUUUGGGCCUUCAUGGUUCGGAAUGCUCGUCACAGCUAGGGCCCCAGUUUGGGUUGUGACAAACUUGGUAUCAGAGCACGGUUCAUGGUCCUAGGAUUUUUACAAAAUCACAUCGGGUAGAGUCUUAUUUAUGGGUGUGUAGCGCGCCACACUUAUAAGCAGGAGGAUACUAGGCGUUUAGGAAUGUCUCUCUUUCUUCAUGUUCCAAUUUGUGGAAUAGAGUCAAAAUGUUGCUAUUUCAUACUGUCAUUCGUGCUAUAGUGUCGCCCAUAUGAAGGUAAAGACAUCCCAAAUUCUUUCCUUACUCUGUUUUUCUUAGACAUGUCCCAUUAUUGGGGUGAUUCAAGUGCAAAAAGUUUAGAAUCUACAUGAUAUAGUCUUUUUCGAUUGUGUCAUAUAAGAAAAAAAAUUAUGCAAAGACUCGAGAGGAGUCUGUUGGUGCUUCAAUAUGUGUUGAUUCUGAUGUAAACAUUGAUCCUGAUGGAAUUGUGCUUUCCAGCUUAAGGUAUUAAGUGCAUCUAGUCCCUCCCAAAAAUCUUGAUACAGAUAUGGAUGGUGUAUAGCAGAAUGUUGGAACUGUAUUUCCACCCAAAUAGUAGCAUAAGUUAAAUUGUUGUUGUCAUGACCUAUCGGUAAUGAAAUUAGACCAAGAAGUUAGUGAUGUGAAGUCACAAAUUUAGAAGUCAGAGUGAGGGUUAUUUUUUGUGUAAAUGAAUAUUUCAGUUGAAUAACCGAUAUUUGAGGAUGAUUUACCCCUUUAUAGUGAUAAACUACUGUGGUAGCUAGUAGCACAUGUGGAUGGUAUGGUACUCCAUGGGGGAAGUAUUUUACUCUGAUUUUUAUUUAUACAGAGUAAGAUAGGUAUUAUUAGACCAUUAAAUAUUAUGUGUCAAUUUCCUAUCUCUUGUACUAUGUAAUAUUGUUAUCAUGGUGUUUUUGAAAAAAAAAAAAAUUUAAGUCUAGUGAAGCCAUGUGGGGAUCUUUCGAUUCACUAGCAUAGCUGUCUCAUGUAAUAUGUAAUCUUGUUAUCACGAUGUUUUUGGAAAAAAAAAUGUAAAAACUUUUUAAAGUCUAGUGAAGCCGUGUGGGCUCUUUCGAUUCACUAACAUAGUUGCCUUGUUAUUCAUCUCAUUUUUUGGUUCAAAAAUAUAAAAUUAGAGUCUAGUGAAGCCGUGUGAGGCCUAUUUUGAUUCACUAGCAACUUGUUGUUCUUUUGUUGGUUUAAUAUACGUAUGGCUGAAUCUGUUUGCAUAAGAUGGAGUUGGUAAAGGGGUGAUUCGUCCUUGUGAGUUAUUUUAGUAUAAUUUGAGGAAUUUGAAGGCAGUCUAAAUGUAUGCUUGAGUAAGUAAGUAUGAGGUGAGAAAUCCGCAUAAGUAGAUAAGAUCGUAUAGGGUUAUAAUAUCAGAUUAAGGUUGAUCAUGUCUAUUAUGUGACCUUACCACUUGACUUUUUUCGUUGGUAUUUGUAAACUAGUACUACUUAUGAGAAGGUAUGUAGCAAAUUAUGAGGUAUUUGGAUAGUACUAAAUGACUGGCAGAGAUUUUUCAAAGUUUUACAGGAGUUCUUGAAACUAUUUUCUAAAAAAUUAAGAGUACUUUGAAAAAAAUCUAUAUAAAUCUUUUACUUACUGAUUUCCUAGACAUCAAUUAGGACGGGGAGUCAGGGGUGGAAGUCCCAACAUGAUGAAAUACCUAAAAGAUGGCGAGGGCAAAUCAAGGAUAGUAGGAGGUCAACACGGAGUAGUUUCUUUCAAACUAAUCAUUUUUUGUGGAUGCAGGGAUCGAUACACAAAAUGAGCGUUUCUUUCGAAAAAUCCCCAAGCAAGUCGGGAGCCAUGAUAGAGCAUAUAAUGCUUAAUAACGGUACUUUUGGUAGCCUAAAAAUCGGCUCAACACCCAUUUAUUGACGACCUUUUGAAUUGUCCAUCUCAUUUCUUGAGAUCAUGGAGGACAAACAAAAGUGUCUUGUCUUCUUUACAAAUAUUGUAUUUAGAAUUUUUCUAAAAAAAAUAAUCGCUAGCAAAAGCAACUUUGUGUCUACUAAUCUUCUACCUUGAGUAUAGGUACAUGCAGAAAGCAAGACCUUGACAAAUGAUUUCAGGAGAAACUAUUUUUAAUUUACCGAAAGAACCAUUGCAUGUUAUUGCCAAGAGGUCCAUUGCAUAUCAUCGUUAUUCAAUAUCUGUUCACGCGCUAGAUACAACGCUGGCAUCGAGGAUAUCAUUAGCAUUUAAUAUAUCCAUUGACACAAAAGACACAAUGCUGGCGUCAAGGAUAUCAUCAUCAUUCAAUAUCUAUUGACGCGCUAGACACAACACUGGCGUCGAGGAUAUCAUCAGCAUUCAAUAUAUCUGUUGACACGCAAGACACAACACUCGCGUUAAGGAUAUUAUCAUCUUUCAAUAUUUUUUGAUGCGCUAGACAAUGCUGGCAUCGAGGAUAUCAUCAGCAUUCAAUAUAUCUGUUAACACACAAGACACAACGCUGGCAUCGAGGAUAUCAUCAUCAUUCAAUAUUUGUUGACGCACUAGACACAACGCUGGCAUCGAAGAUAUCAUCAUUAUUAUAUAUCUGUUAACACACAAGACACAAUGCUGGCAUCGAGGAUAUCAUCAUUAUGCAAUAUCUGUUGACAUGGAAGACACAAUGCUGGCAUCGAGGAUAUCAUCAUCAUGCAAUAUCUGUUGACAUGCAAGACACAAUGCUCGCGUCGAGGAUAUCAUCAUCAUGUAAUAUCUGUUGAUGCGUAAGACAUAACACUGUCAUCAAGGAUAUCAUCAUCAUUUUAUAUUUGUUGACACGCAAGAUAUAAAUGCUGGCAUCGAGGACAUCUUAUCAUUUUAUAAAUCAGUAUAUGAAUGCAUCGAGAGCAUACGAUUUGAAGGGACACCUUUAAGUCGCUAUCUAAGGAUGAAUGUAUAUAAGAUUUCUUGGAAAUUAACAAUUUGAGGGUCAUAUAUAAGUCAUAUUAUUUGAAAUAGGAUAGUGUGCAAGAUCACCUAUAAUUUGAUAGCCGGUAGGUCAUCCGUAAGCCACAACAACCUCCUAAUCGGAUAGUGUGCAAGAUCACCCAAAAAUCGAUAGUUCAAAUCCAUAAGUCGAAACUAAAUCCUUACCGGAGAAUAUGGAAGAUUAUCAAAUUGAUACGUCCAAGGAUUCUCUAUAAGCCGUGUCAUAUCUAAGAUCGAUUAUGUGCAGGAUUACCCAAAGACUAAUAAUUUGAGGGAUUAUCUAUAAGUCAUAUUUUAUCCAAGGUCGGAUGAUGUGCAGGAACACCUGAAAGAUAGCGAUUGGAGGGAUAUCUGUAAGCCAUCUCUUAUUCAAAGUAUGAUAAUGUGCAGGAUUACCUAAAAGCUAGAAAUCAAAAGGAUAUCUGUAAUUCACCUCGUAUCCAACAUCAAAUAAUGCGUAAGAUUAUCCAAAGAUUGAUAAUUUAAAGGAAAUUUAUAAAUUGAUCAUCGGCUAUAAAUGGUGAGAUUAUCCAAAGGGUUGCCACACCAGCACAAGACUACACGGUUGUAGAGACUGUUCUGCAUAAAGUAUCACUGGUGUCCAAAAUGGGCACCCACUUUGAAGACAUAUUCAACCGACAAAUGUCAUAAUUAUACAACAACCAAGAGGGUUGUUGUGUUUGGUCUUGUGGUUUAUUUCAUUCCAAACAGGUACAUGAAGAGAUGACUCCGCUUUUCAAGCCACAACUCAUGUGCAGAUAUGGUAAAAGACUGCAUACCUCUUUAGUGAAUUAUGUUUAGCACUAACACUUUUUGCUUGAAGCAUUGUCAAGAGUAUCCGAGAGGAUGAAUAUCUCAAAUGAACACCACAGGUGCAUAUGACUUCAAAUAAGAUGCAACACCCGAAUCCAACCCGUUUUCUUUUUCCUCUUUAUGAUCACGCAUGUUCCAUGAGAAUCCAUACGAGAAGAUGUCGAGAAUCUUCUAGAAACACACUUAGGUGUCUCAUCCAACGUUCAAAUCCCAAAAUUCUCGGAUAGAGGUUUACGAAUUCGUACAUAGAUGGAGUAUUUUCAUUGGCUUGUGAAGAUUAUUCCCUUUCCACCAAUUUCUAUUGGCGACUUUUUGGAAUUUCGUUCAAGAAAAUCAAAAUAGAGGUACAGUUCGUUAGGGUCCGGAUCUUUUGAAUUUCAAAAAUGAACCCUCAAUUUCCUUCUAUAAGUAGCUCUCUUUAGAGAAAGAAAAAGGGAUUUUUUUGGGGAUUUUGGAAUUUUUUUCACUGGCCUCUCCUUUCCUUUAUGGGUUCUCCUCUUCUUUCUCUUUGGAGUUCAAAAUUUUAGAGGCAAAGAGUGUUCAAAAGUUUUGGGUUGAAAAUUUAGGGUUAGAGAAAAUCUUCAAAAAUUCAGAAAUACACAAAAAAAAAAAGGGUUAGAAAGGGGGCUCUCAGAGGGAAAAAAUAUUCUCUUUACGCCUAAGAAACAUACAUUCUUAGGAGGUGCAUCUGAACUGUCGAAGCAGUUGUGAGUUUUUCAGUGGUCGGAAUCCUAUAAUCAGCUUGUUAUCCCAUUUUGCUGCCCCAAAAGAGGUAAAUACACCUUUCUUUUUAAUUUUGUUGUGGUUAUCAUUUUCUUCUUCGUGGUUCCACUUCUGUUUGCUGGGAAUGACUGCUGUAGAGGCCUGGAAGGCAUAGGAUUUUCAUGUUUGAUAUAUUGUUCUACUAAAAAACUCAUUAUUGCCCGUGUUUGAUUGGUUGUCGUUCAUGCUUGAUCUCUCUUAUUUUAUUUUGUUUGAAUGUUACAGUUAGCUUUAAUGCUUCGACUUUAGAAACUAUUUUGCUGGUCUCAUAUUCGAUGUUUCUUUGUAGUUCAUAGAGUAGGAGAAUAAAAUCUUUACGUAUUUUCUAAAUUCAAAAAAAUGUUCAAAGAAUAGAUAUUAGGCAGCCUGUUCGCAUAUCUUUUUCACUCAAACGCAGGAAAUUGUUAUAAAUAAGAACUAGAAUGUUAUUUUCUUUCGACUUGCCACUUUAGAUGUACAAUAGUCUUAUUUUAUUCUAAAGUUUAUUUUAAAAUAUGAGAGUGGACCAUAGGGAUGAAUUAUGUUUUCUUCAUGGCUAAUUCAAUUUGCCGUAAUUGACUCAUGAGAACAAAUUAAAGUUUGACGGGNNNNNNNNNNNNNNNNNNNNNNNNNNNNNNNNNNNNNNNNNNNNNNNNNNNNNNNNNNNNNNNNNNNNNNNNNNNNNNNNNNNNNNNNNNNNNNNNNNNNNNNNNNNNNNNNNNNNNNNNNNNNNNNNNNNNNNNNNNNNNNNNNNNNNNNNNNNNNNNNNNNNNNNNNNNNNNNNNNNNNNNNNNNNNNNNNNNNNNNNNNNNNNNNNNNNNNNNNNNNNNNNNNNNNNNNNNNNNNNNNNNNNNNNNNNNNNNNNNNNNNNNNNNNNNNNNNNNNNNNNNNNNNNNNNNNNNNNNNNNNNNNNNNNNNNNNNNNNNNNNNNNNNNNNNNNNNNNNNNNNNNNNNNNNNNNNNNNNNNNNNNNNNNNNNNNNNNNNNNNNNNNNNNNNNNNNNNNNNNNNNNNNNNNNNNNNNNNNNNNNNNNNNNNNNNNNNNNNNNNNNNNNNNNNNNNNNNNNNNNNNNNNNNNAAUGCUAUGGCUUAUUAAUUGUUAAAAUCUUGGACGUAUGUUAAUUUCUUCAUUCCUUUCUUUUCAUUCACCCCCUUGAAGUUCAAAUGGGCCCCUUCUCUCUUGUCAUUUCAUAAAUGGGCCAAUGAGGCCUAUCCUUCCGAGUUAAUCCCAAAAGAAAAUCCAAGAAUCCAUCACAUGGUGUAUGAAUACGAGGAAUCGAAAGAAGAAUGGGUUAAAGUUCCAUCUUUGAAGCGGCAAAGGGGACUUGAAAAUCUCGUUAUUUCUUCUUUAUUAAUUUAUUUAUCCAUUGUUUCCAUUAUUUAUUUAUUUACUUAUUUAUAUUUUUGUUUAUUUAGUGAAUUAUUUAUUUAUUCAUUUGGGCCUCGAAGCCAAAGUUGUAAAUUUAAAAUAGGUGGAACGAGACUUGAGCUAUUUGCUUACUUGUUUUACGUGUGUUUUACGAACCUAGUAAAAUCCUUAGUCAAGUCGCUAAAAAACUGGUUUUGUAUAAACACCAAAAUAUUUCUAAAAUUGCUUUUCUUUUCAAAAAAUAAACUUUUUCAAAGUUAAUCAAAAGACGAUUUUCAAACAAUCCGGAUAACCAUAAGUUAGCGAACAUUUUAGAUGCCUAAUACCUUCCUAAAACGUUAAUAGGAACUGCUUAUCUAGAAUCUCUAACUUAAAACGAUUUUUCUAUUUUGAAUCGUUUGCAGUAACUCUCUAACGGUUUCUUAAUUCCUUUUCAAAAUUAAGUGGCGACUCUCAAAAAGUCAAAAAUUCCGCAAAACAAUAUCAACCACAAUCACAUCCCCACAUCUACUACCCCCACCCGAAAGUAGCAGAAGAAUAAAGGUUUGUAGUAAUUCAAUCCUCUUGACGCUUGCGCUCCUUCUCUUUUAGUUCAUUAACAAAUUUGUUAAAUAUUUCAAGCAGCAAGCCCUUAUCACCCAUUAUUCUGUAAAAUAAUAACAGCAAAGAAAUUCACAUUCAAUAGAUUACGACAUAAUGAGAAUCAUGAGAUUAUGAAUAAAAAAGUAAAAAUCCAGAGCAUUUCAUUUUAUAGCCAAAGAGGCUAGACAAAUUAAAACUAGAGAUUUAGCAGCAUACUUCAUCAGAACCGUGAAACAAUCACAAAUGCCAGAAAUUAAAAAACUAAAACAAUCACAAAUGUCAUAAAUUUAAAAACUAACUGCUAGACCUAUUAACUGCUAGAUAUCAAAACAAGAUAACCCUUGCAAUUCUCUCUUCCCACAUACAUAGAUUAUACGCCAUGACCAUAAAUAACCUCCAAAAUCCAAAUGAUAUAUGAAGAAUAUCCUCAUUACAAAAUAGAAAAUGAUCGUUGAUAUCAUCCAGUUAUGUUGUUUAACCAGUUUCGUAGAGUAAAACUCUUAUCCACUAACUGUAAAAACAGAAAACUACAAGGCAAAUUUCUUUGAAUUAAGCAACUUAAUAUAUGUACGGUAGGUGUAAUAUUAAACACCGCCGUCCAGGAAAUAAAAACUAAGGAAAAUGGUACCAAAACUGAAGAAUUGGAAGCAAAAGCUAACAUCAAAUAUUUGAUCAAUGUGGUCCUCGUCUUUAUUCUUGAAGGUUUCAGGCUUACUUGCUAACCGACACACUACUAUUCUAUUAACUCUAUUACAAGAAGAUCCAAAUUUAAUGUGGGAUAGGUUAUGGUUGAUACUAAAUAAAAAUGCCACUAACCACAGUUGACUACCUACGAGUUGCCAAUUUAGCAAUCACAAACUGACCGAAUUCCAGUGAAACAUAACAUGGAAGUACUACUAAUGCUUUUGCACUCAAUCCACUCAUCUUAUGCAGGACCUGUCCCAAAGACAAAAAGGGGACAAAUACAUAGAAAUCCAUUUAGUGACUGGGGUACUUCAAUUUUCACAACAUUUAAUUCAACAUGGGUCGAUGUGAAACAGUAUACAGUGCUUAGCCAUAAUUAGACCUUUAAGUUGGUAUCUGUCAUUAGUGGAGAGCUAAUAUACUUGUCGAUUGCAACCUUAAAAUCAUCAAGCGUCCAGGCUGAUGUCAAUCCAAUCUGAAAGUAGAGACGGCUCAGCCAAAAUAUUAGGUACUAACUGAAGCACAACAAAGGUUAAAAUGAAGAGUGGUGAUUACCUCGACCAUCCUAAUUGCAUCUUUAAUUUGUGACUUGUGAUCAAGAUACUGAAGCAACAUACAAGUAACACAAAUUCAGAAUGCUUAUAAGUAACAAAAAUAGGAUACCAAAUGGAGCUUUGUCCAUGCAUUUGAGUUACCAUAAAGUUUAUAAAUUACAAGCAGGGUGAUGGGGAUGAAAUUUCUUUCAUGAAUACCAACAUUUCUCCACUUGUUCAAAGUCAUCUACAAUAUCACAAGACACUUGACACAUAAACUUAAUUGCACUGAUCAGGUUAAAUUGAAGGAAAAAUCAAGCACCCCUGUUUGGAUAAUAGAAAAAAAGUGAAUAAAUAAAAAUGGAUAGCAUCUCUGUUAACAGCGCUUUCGUUAUAUUUACUUAAUAAGAAUCAUUUAUGCACACAAACAGUAAUACAAACUUUAAAGAUAGAAGUUGACAUCUUUAUCUUACAAGGGAAAAAGAAAAGAUUUUCCGCAUCUGAGUUUAUGUAUAACUCUCACCAUCCCAUAGCAAGAGCCUAACUCAAGAAAACAUUACCAAAUUCAAUCACUGAAUAAGAGUACGAACAAGAUCAUUACCAUGCUAGGAUACCAGGUAAACUCCCUCUUUCAUCAAGCAAGGAGAUAAAUGCUAAUAACAUUUGAUCAUUCAACUUCAAUUCUUUUCGGAAAGGGCAGAGGAUGAAACAAUAUAUCGUUUAGUUAGGCGCAAGUGUGUAUUACGGCAAAAAAAAAUCAUAGUGAGGGAGAUGCAACUUUAUUUAGAGAAACAGAGAUGCUCUCAGGUUCUUUUUCCGAGGCUAAUCUUUUCUAAGCCUUUACUUUCAUUACAUCUCAACUACCUCUUCAGAGGCGAAUUCUGGCACUAAGUUUAUUUAGUCCAAUUUAUAUGGUUGAUAACACAAUAUUUUGAAUUAGGUUUUAAGUUGCACGAUAUCAUCCGAAGUUAAAUCAAAACUGGGGUGUGGUACAAAUGGACAAAACAUGGUCGAAACUUGACCAGACAAACUACUUUCAGGUCUCAUUUGUUUGCACUUAUUGGAUUUAUGAACCUGUUCAGACCUCAAACCAUUAAGUGCAUUUAUUUUUUUAGGAUUUUAGCUCUUAAUAGGUCUGAGUAGGUCUUAAUCAUUCAGAUGUGGAACCAAGUCUAAAUAUCAUUUACAGAUAUUCUUGUGUAGGAUAAAAUUCACCACUACUCUAUCCACAAUCACUUGCCACCACCACCAACCACUUUCACCAUCAAAACCAACAUCACUACCACCUACACUGCCAGCCGCUACCACACCUACAACUUCCAUUAUUCUAAUUAUAUCCACCGCCAACUAGGGGUGUUCACGGUUUAGUUUUUAACCAAACUGAACCGCGAUCCAAACCACACCGAUUAAAAAAACCUAUAUUUGGUUAGGUUUGGUUUGGAUUUGAAUUUUAAAAAACCGAUACUAAUUUUGUUUGGUUUGGUUUUCCUCUAAAAUAACCGACAAAAUAACCAAACCGAACCAAUAUACAUAUAUAUAUUAUAAUUAUUUAUAUGUUUUUCAUAAAUAUAAUCUAAAUAUUUGUUACAUUUUCUAUUUUAAUCAUGAUUUAACUUUAGUCGUAACACAUUCAGUCAUAUGUCUUCAUCUAGUUGACAAUACAUUAUGAGAUUUUAAAUGAAUUUCAUAUUUUGAAUGACAAAUGAUACUAAUUGUGAAAAUAAUAUCUUGUUAUAUAUUGAAAUUUACAGCUGAAAUUCUUUAGACUAUACACAAUCACUAAUUUUAACUUUCUUUUGAACCUUGUUGGGCAAGAAGUUUAUGUGUUUACCUUUUGGGGUUUAUCAUAUCAUUCUAUUAAAUAUAGUUUUUAAAAUUUUUUUUAAAAGCGUUCAUAUGGUGUUAUCAUGGGUUUGCCGAAGUAUAACACUCAGUUGAGAUCAUAUUUUCAAGAUUGAGAUACAACACUCAGUUGACAUCUCAUAUGUUAGAUUGGAUUUGUUUUUUAAAAUUCUCAAAUUUUAUCAUUAACUAAAGUUAUAAACCAAAAAACCCGAAUCAAACCGAACUAAACCGAUAAGAACCAAACAGAUGGUUAUUGUUUUUUUUGGUUAGGUUUGGUUUUAGAAAUUUAAAAACCGAUUAAGUUGGUUUGGUUAUGGUUUUGACCAAUAACCAAUCCAUAUCGACCCAUGAACACCCCUACUGCCAACGCCGCCACCAUCAACUGCUACCGGUCGAUCCCUACUACAAACCAACUCAUCUAUCAGAACUAGCAUUACCACUAAUAACCACCAACACAUCAUCAACUUCCACACAUCGCUAACAACCACUAACAGAUCAUCAACUUCCACACAUUCUUCGGACACCAUCACCACCACUGUCACCGGCGUCACCACCUCUACCACUACCAUCACAGCUAACAGCGUCUCCAAUGACCACUAACACAUCGUUAACCAUCAUGCAUAUAGUUUUCCUUCACCACAAUCAACACCUCCAACUACUAACAUUAACCAACUUCACAUCACAACCACCACUACCACUACUAAUCGCCAAUAUCAUGACAGUUACUACAAUGCCAUCUAUCUCUACUAUCACAACUAUCAUCACCAACAUUGCUAAUCACUAACAUCAAUUAAUUUAUUACAACCACCACCACCAUUACAAACCAUCUCCACUAUCACUAACAAACAUAAAUGUUUCUUUUUUUAAUCAAAUAAUAAUUUAAUUGCAUUAAAUUAAAAAACUUUCUAAUAUAUAAUUAUAUUAUAUUUAGAAAUAAAUAAAUUUUACACAUUCAGAUAUUGAGAAACACCCAACCUUAAUCAUUUAGUUUUCAGAUCUAGAGAUAAUAUCUUAACCGUUCAGAUGUGCAUUCAAAAUGAUUCAAAUAUAUGAAUAUUAAUAAAAACAAAUGCAGUCUUAGCUGAAACACAAUGGUAUGGUUGUGUGAUACUUUAAAGGAGUCCUCGAAAGCCAAAGAAACUACGUGAAAACAUGGAAGUUUGAUCAUCACUUCUCAGAGUUGUUCUACUCGAGAAACUAUAACAAUUAAGGUAAUAUAACCAUUAACAGCAUUCAACGGAGGAGAAGUCAAUUACAAUUGUCCGUGAAGUAGCAUUUAAUACAGCUUUGCUAGAUUGAAAGAAUCAUCUAUAUCUAUACUAAAUUAAAAGCAUGGAACCCCUAACUUAAAAGUUUGCGACAAUACCAUUCCUAUCAGCCUAAAUACCUACUAUCUAGUAAAAAAAGAGGAAACUAAUUGGCAUAAAGAGAAACAAUACAGAUGUUAAUAGGAACAACCAGUCAUUGUUCUUAUCUCAACAAAAUAUAUGUUAUUUAAAAAAAGCAAGCAGAGGGGUAACUCUCAAAUGUCAAUCUCAUGCUUUUAUCCUACCAAGUAUGUUCUAUUCUUUAAUGCACAACAACAAUAACAACAACAAAUCCAGUAUAUUUCCACAUACUAAUGCACUAACUUUCUUUUUUACCUAAUUAAUUGAACUUUUUAGUGAGGAUCUAAAUGAUUUUCAGACUUUGUUUAACAUCUGAUUCAUUAAGAUGUAUUAGUAAUAGGUUGAAUCUUUUGAAAAAAAACACUUAAUGGGCUGAUAUCUUAACCAUUAAGAUUCAGACCUUCAUUAAGUGAAAGCAAAUGAAAAGGGAUUGUAGUGUAAAGUCUAUAAAUAUGGCUUAGAAUAACAAAUGUAGUUGACACAAUUCAAUACUCCUAUUAUCAACCUAUUUCACCUGUUUCUCCAGCUCAUCCAUAACAUCUGUAAAUAAGUCUUUUGCUAUUGAUUCUAAAGUAUUUGAUGAGACAGCUACAUAUGCAGCAAAAUCUUUAAUCUGCAAGAACAAAAUAAAGAAGGAAAUUAUUGGAUGAAAAAAUCAAAAAGACAAAAAGGGAACUCAUGAAGGUAAUCACUCACUGAACACAAGAAAGAAAAACUAACUUUGAUGCAAUAAUCACGCCAGUUAGUUUUUGCAUUAAGUAUUCCCGCAGGAACAUGCUCUUCCAUCAGUUUUCGAAACUCAUCAAAAUUUUUACGUUCAGCUUUCCUCAAUUCUUCCUAUUUGAAUCAAUGGUGUAUGCCCAGUGAGAAAGAGAUAAAUCAAAGUCUCCAAACAUAAAUUUAAUUUUAACCCCCGAGUCUAAUAAGCAAUAUACCAUCCGUAGUUUCCUUUGCUCCUCCUCUUUGCUCUCUAAAUCACAUAUAUAUUCCUAAAACAGAAAAGGUUGCAACAUAACUUUAAAACAGAGGUGUACAAAUGAGAUGUUUGGAAAAAGUUAUUUAUGAUGUAUUAGAAAAAUGAGUUGUACCUGGAAAAUCUCCAAACGAUCAAUUUUGUCAAGGCGGGAGCAUCUUUCAUCAUUUUCCAAGCGGUCCUGAACUUUCCGCCACUGGCUACUGGCCUGAACAAAAGAACUCAGCAACAGUGGAACUAUAGAAGUUCUAUCUCCUGGAAAUAGAAAAACAUAAUCUAGGAACUGAUGCUAAUUCCACUAGAACAAAUACCUUAAUAAAGUCACAGGAUUUUAAAAAUUCUAAGUACUCCACUCUAUUGCGCUUCUGCUCCUCCAAUGCCUUCUCAUGCUCCUAAUAAAAUCCAGUACAAAGUAAAAAAAAUAAAAUUUCUCUAUAAAGAAGACAAUAUUUACAAAGAGACUUUAACUACACUUGCAUGAAAGUAUUGAAAAACUUUUUCUAUUUUACGACGGAGGGGGAGAGGAAGAAGCAUAUCAUAGUUUCAAGUUUCAAGAAAAAUUACAUACAAUACAUGGAAGUCUAUUUAUAUUAGAAUUCAAUGGUGAACAAAUUUAAAUCUUGUACCCUUGAGAAGCCAUUAAAAAUGUAUUCAAAGAACACAAGAUUUUAAGUUGAAUAUCUACAACAUUCCUUCUUUCUACUCUUUAAGCAAAAUAAAAAAAGGGAACAAACUAAAAGACAUCCUGCAAAGGAAAGGAAUGGAAUGACUGUUGUUAAUCAAGUGGACCAGUGCCUAACUCAACUUCGAAAACUAGGUCAGGUGGUGAAGAUUGUCCUUGAUCAUAUAAGGAAACUACAGCACAUACACCUUACUAGUGUGGGAUUCUCAUACACUAAUCGCACACCAAGACUAGACAUUUGUAGCAUCAGUUAACCUUGGUUGGCCAACAUCUAAUAGUCUAACAUCAAGAUAGAUCUGCCUCUAAUACCAUGUUUAAGAAAUUGGACCUUGUUUCUAGCUCAAAUGAAAGUCUAACUCAAUUUGUGAGGAGCCAAAGACCAUAUAAGGAAACUACAGUCCGAACACUUAGUUUUUAACAUAUAGAAACUUACAAGAAGGUUCUGCAAAAGGAGCUUCACCUUUUUCUCAAGUUCCUCCACAUAAUCUUCAAAAAGGUCCUCACAGUCUUUAGCUCGCUCAACAGCUUUAAAACGCUCAUCAUGUUCGAAUAUGUUCGAAUAUGGAGAUUUCCUUACUGAAUAAUCAAUAGCAAAUAGUCAGUGGAUCAAAUGGAACUUACACAAGUAAUGGAUCAACUUCAAGGUACCAAAACACAUACAAACAAUGACCAAGAUUAGAAAACAAGCAGCAGACAACUUAACAUUACAAGUGAAAGACAAACCUCCAUCUUGACGAUGGUGACAGCUCCUUGCAAUCCUGUAAGAUUGAGAACAACGGACAUUGUUGUGAAAAAUACCACUUAUUCUUUUGAACAAGUCAAAUACCAGUCUCUAACACAUCAUGAAUAUUAUGAUAAUAUCUUUUUAUUUUUGAAACUGGUAAUGUGAAUAUCAUGAUUUAUCAAAUGGAAGACAACCACAAAAGAAAAUUUCACUUACUUCUAACAUUAUCCUGAAAUCUUCCCGAGCUUUUUUCUGUUUAACACACCUCUCUUCAGCUUCCAGUUUUUUCUUUUGGCUCAGAUACUAGAACAGACACACAACUUCAAAAUGAUCAUUAUAGACCUUGGGUGUGUUUGGUAUGAAGGAAAAUGUUUUCCUAGAAAACAAGUUGGUUUCUUACUUGUUUUCUUAUGUUUGGUUGAUGAAAGGAAAACAUUUUUCAAAAAAUGUUUUCUAGUGUUUGGUUGGUGAAUAAAAAAAUAUUUUUCAGAAAAUACAUUUGAGAGUUGUACAAACAUUUCAACUUAAGAGUGAGAUUGAAAGAGAGUUUUGGAAAAUGUUUUUCCUACAUUUUGAAGGGAAUUCAUUUUCCUUAAAUUUAAGGAGAAUAAGUUGAUUUGGAAAAUAUUUUCCAAAAUUUUUAAGUCAACCAAACAUGGAACAAUUGGAUAUCAAACACAAUCUAUCUUUUUGCAAUACAGUAUGCUGAAAUAUUGAAGCAGCAAUUAACCCAUUCCAAUGCCGACUUGGAGAGAUACCUCAUUAAAAGCUUGCUUCCACUCACAAAGGGAUUUUAGAGCUCCAUAUCUCCGGUCAUUAAUUACUGCUCUCAUGGCCUGACAAAUACAAUUCAUGUCAAAUGAUCUCCCUCAAUUGUUUGGUACGCACAAAAUAGUCAAGUAAUAAACCUGAUCCUACGUGCAAUCAGACCCAAUAUUUGCAGAUUCCAAAAGAGUUUUGAAUGCAUUCUUUGCCUCCUAAAUAAAAUCAGAUACUUAAAAUAGAAAUAAGAGAAAUUUCGAGAACAUACAUUAAACAAGGGAAAAAGCAAUAAUCAACUAUACCGCUUUGCUCUCAUAAACUAAUGGUCCCAGCUCGACUGUUUUCUCAUCUGAUGGAGUAGCACCUCUGAUUUCAGUUAUUGCAGCAUCUUACUUGACAUUCUACAUUUUAGGCACAACAUCAAGCACAAAGGGAAAAAUCAAACCUCAUUGGAAUUUGUAGCAUAUUCUUUACCUGUUAGCAGUUGACUAACAACUGCACUACAAAAUUGUUGGAUCAACAUCUAGCAUAACAGCUACGAAAAGCUUUCUUGGUGUUUUAACCAGUAACCAGUAGUAAUUAACUAAUCUCAUAAGUAUUUGAGAAGGACAAAGUACCUUUCUAUUCUCCGAAGAAAAUCCAUCACCAUACACUACUGCAUCUUAAGUUGUAGUAGUCUCAGAACUACAGAAAAAUUGAAUUCCAAAUAAGAAGCAACACAAACCAGAGGCAAAUUUAUAACAUAUAAAUUUGAAAACAUACACCGGUGGCGCGACAAAAUUUCCCAAGGUUACUGCAAUUCCAAUUUUCUCCGAAUUAGCAACAGCUGGCGAAGUAAGUUCUGAAGAAUUCUUCAUUUUGACUGUUUCAAUCAUCGGAAUAGAAACCUUACCAGAUAAACUUGAUGAUUCUGAAGCCACAAUAGUUGGUAAGUUAGCAGCUGGUGACAUAGCAAUUGGGCUUGAUUUAGUACCGUGUGCCAAGACUAAUAAACCAUCUGCACCCGGGAUGAUGUUUUAACAACAGAAAUGGAUCCAAAAUCAGAAGCGUGCGAAAUGGUGUCCUUUUUACGUGCCAACUGUGAAUUUAUAAAUAAUUGAACUUUAUAAGAAUAGAGUUUCCAAGAAAACAGAAUAUUGCCCCUUCUUAUCAUGCUAGCAACUGUGAAUGCAUAAAGAUUUUAUGAGAACUAGAGCAUCCGAGAAAACAGAAUAUUAUCCCUUCUUAUCAUGCUAUUUAAAGCAUAUAACAAUCCCUUCUUAUCAUGCUAUUUAAAGCACGAAAUAAACCCAUAUUGGAUUUAAAUAUAACAUCACCUUGACUUCAUCAGGCAUUCUCCAUUUGGACGUUCUAGUAACCUUCUUGUAGUAAUACCUACAGAAAACAAACAAAGAAAUCAGCAUUAUGCACAAGUAACACACAAAAGUACCCACUGUAGAAGAACAAUUGGAAAGAGGCCAAAAAAAUAUAUAAGUUACACAUUUUCUUCCCUCAGGACUUGUAAAUUUUCUCCGGUCAGUUAAUGUGUCUGCCCUCUGUCCCAAUGAAAACAACAUAAAAGCAGGUCAAGUCAAAAAAUAGAACAUAAACAGUACCCUGAGAGUAGAAUUCAGUAACUUCCAGCAGUACAAUACUGGAUGGAAGUGUUAGAAUAUGAAUGAUAUAAUGUCCCACAUGGAAAAGGACUAGAAUUUACUGUGUAGAAUAUAACUACAAGCAAGGUGGAAACAUUGCCAAGCUGCGUUCGAGCUACAGCUAUCCAAGGGUGAUCAACUGAAUAACAUUCGCCUGAUAAUCACAUUUUGUAUAUAUAUAUAUAGGUUAAAUUCUGUCAUUUCUAAGUAUUUUUUUAUAAACAACCUUGCCACAAAAAAUAAGACUGAGUAUGAUAGUAAGGGUGUUCAAAUCCUACACUGAGGUUCUAUGUUCCAUACCCAACACAGCCCUUCCAUAAUUGUUUCUCCAUUUGGACACGUUUGAAAAUCAUAAACUACAGUUAUGCUUUUUUUCGAUGAAUAAAUUUCUGAACAUGCGUUUUUUGUCCCAAUUAGCUCUUGCAAAAGAGCUAGCAACUAGCAUGCCAUGUAUAAGAAUUUUGUUAAAAUAAACAUAAAGGUAAAUUUAUAAAAUGGUUGUUAUACUAGCUAUCUUGCAUGGGGCAGAGUGUUUAGCUGGUCAAGAGCUCGCAUGUUCGAAAGAUAAACGUAGCAGAAAUGAGGAUGUUGAGAUUGGUGUGUGAGCAUAGGAGAGAUAGAAUAAGGAACAAAGAUAUGCGAGAAAAAGUGGUAGUGCUCUCUAUGGUGGACAAUUUACAAGAAGAAUAGAGGGUUGGGGAUAAAGAACCUAAAAAUUCAAAGUAAGGCUCUCAUGUUGAAAUGGUUGUGGAAAUAUGAAAACAAUAACCAGCUGCUAUGGAGGAAAGUGAUUAGGGCUAAAUAUCCUGAAGAAGAUAGAUGGAUAACUAAAGAAGUGACCACACCAUACGGAGUUAGCCUCUAGAGAUCUAUUAGAUCUAUUAGACACUAGUGGAAUGAAGUUAAAAGCAACUCAAAGGUUAAAGUGAUGGAUGGAAACAAGACUAGGUUCUGGAAGGAUAAUUGACAUGAGGAUGGGAAUAUGGAAGUGACUUUUCCAGAUAUCUACAACUUGGUAUUGUUUCAAUAGAGGACUAUAGCAGAAUUAUGGACACCACAUAGGUGGAACUUCAAUUUCAGAAGGCAACUUAAUGACCGGGAGGUAAUGAGAGUAGUUGAAUUUUUUAAUACCGUAGGCUUAUUCAAUGGACUGCAGACUGUGAAGGACAUACUAUGGUGGAUGGGAAAUGAAAAAGGAAUGUCCAGUGUCAACAAAGCCUACAAGAUGAUGAACCAAAUAAAUCACCCGAAUCCAAGAUGGACAUGGAAGAAAAUAUAGAAAAGUAGGUUACCUCACACAGUGUCGUGCUUUGUCUUUGUGUGGUUACUAACCAAGGAAGUAGUUCUUACACAAGAUAAUGUCAUGAAGAAAGGGAAAACCUUGUGCUCCAGAUGUUUCCUCUGUGGAUAAACUUUAGAGACGUUUAACCAUGUAUGUCUACAUUGUAAGUACACCCAACAACUUUGGAGAAUAGUCUUAAGACUAAAAGUCAUUUCCAGGACAAUGCCUAGGAAAGUAUCUGAGACUUUAAUGUGCUGGGAGAAGUAGGUGUACAUGCGAAGGACAGAGGUAGAUGGAGACUUAUCCCUGGUGCUAUAUGGUGGGCUAUUUGGAAAGAAAGGAAUUCUAGAUAUUUUGAGAGCAUAGAGAAUAGUGUGCAGAAGGUUAAACUCAACUGUAUUUUGCUUUUAUGUUUUUGGUGUAAUCAACUAUACUCUAAUGAUACUGCCUCGAUAAUUGAUGUUCUAGACUAAAUUUAGAUAUAGAACAGUCGAUUUAGGAGUACUCUUGUAUAUAAAGGUUUCAGUACAACCCAUGUGCUGUUUGAUAUAAUACAAAGUUACAAAGUUAAAAAAAAAGAUAAUAAUUUUUCAAGAACUAAAAGUUUAUAAAAUAACAAAUAAAGCAAUUAAAUCUGAGUUCAAAUUGGGUGGGUUGGGCUAUGACCCGCAUUUUAGAGCAUUUCAACCCAACCCAUUUCAGCCCAAGUAGCUUUAGGGCGGGUGGAUAACCCGCCCAUUUAUUAACUCAGACCUCUUUGAUCAGCCCAAAUCUAGCCAGCCCCGCCCAUGUGACACCUUUAGUUUAAUAGAAGUAAAGUGGACCAUGCCAAAACAGAUCUAUUGAGUUGAAGUAAAGUGGACUAUCAAAGGACACACAACAAUCUGUUGAGCUGUUGGAUUAAAGGGGAUUAGCAAAAGUUAGAAGAAAUGGGGGAGAACAAUCCUUCCUUGUAUUUGGUGGACUGUAUGGAGCGAGAAAAGUUGAAGGAAUUUUGAAGAUAAAUAUAAUUCCAUUCAGAAAGUUAAAUGGAAUAGCAUUGUAGAUUUUUGUUUAUUGUUUAAGGGCCAAUGUGUACAGAAUGCAUAACAGGUAGUAGAUCUCUUCAAAUCCUCGUAUUAUUUUCAUUAUUUUUCAUUUUUUUUUUUGGACUGCUAGCAUAACCUUAACUCUGACGAAUGCAAAGUAAUAUCUCCAAAAAAAAAAUUGUUUAUCUCGAAAAGAAAAGAAUAAAAAUGUUCAAACUUCCUUACAGCUCUAGUUGUUGGUCCCUUAAUACUUGUCCCUCACAACCAGCCAAACUUUCUUUGAUAACCGUCGUGUUUGGGCCAGCUUGCACCUUGACUAGUUACACCAGGUACUGCUACCUCCCACCAGCAUAGAUACUGGGUAACUCUAUCCAUCAAGGCUUGGACAGACGGUAAGAAAUCACCUAGUGCUUUUAUCUCUGUUGGAAAUUAAACCUGAGACCUCAUGGUUCUCAAUCUACUUCAUUGACAACUAGGUCACACUCUUGGGUGCAAGUAUGCAACCAGCCAAACUAUUAUUCUGUAAACCAGAAUGAGAAGUGUGAACCGCAAUAUUAUAUCAAGUUUACUCUCUCCAUAUCGCCAUAGAGUUACAAUAACAUUACAUUAAUCAGAAAGUAAAUAAAAUUGUUUAAAAUAGACCAAAUAUAAUCCUGCCGUGUAUACUUAAACACAUUUUUUAGAACAAUAGUGUUAAAUAUAAAAUCUUUUAGAACUAUAUUGGAAAUAAAAAGCCAAUACAAAUCCUAAAUGAAGCCUACAUAGUAUAGUAAGAUCGAGGAAAUCUGCUCGCUAAACAAACUUUCAACAGAAAUCACAUAUACUUAGGAAAGAAAAAGUGGUUCUACGAAGCUUCAUAGAAAAAGAAUUGUGUACUUCUUUUUUCAUUGAUACGCACAGGAAACUGGAUAAAACUACCCAUGAAAAUCUCGAUGACACGAGACCUCACCUCCAUUUCUGUCAUCAGCUCUCGAGGUUUCUCCCAGGUAGAGAUUCUUGUCCUUCUAUUAUAAUAGUAUCUAAAAAUCAAUUCAAGAAUUGUGAAUGUUAUUUUAAUUGGUUGGAGUAAUAAAGCAAUAGGAGUCAGGUAGAAUUUGGUAGCGGUGAACGGCAGCCCAUAUGAUAACUUUGACAAAGAGGACUGAAACAAAGGGGCCUAUUAUCUCCAGUGCUAAUGGAAGCAAAAUGAUGUACAAAGCACUAGAUGUGGAUACUUGAGGGAUUUAUUGGCAGUGAUGGGGGCCAACAUAUCCACCACUUGUUCAUAGACAUGACAUUAAGUGUUUGUGAUGUAGACAUUAACCUAUUCAUACGAGUAACCUAUGUGAAUAUAAUCCAAAAGCAAGAAUUCUGGAAAGCCAAAUCGGCAUGCUCUUUCUUCUGUCUGGAGAACACAAAGUGGUAAAAAGAUUGGAUCUGAAUGAAGAUGAUAUUUUUGCAGAGCUCCUUUUCUUGUAUACCGUGGUUUUACACCUUUUUUGUUCACUGGAAUCUUAAUUUUCUUACAAAAAACUAUCAUAGAAUUCAAAUGUUGACUCUCUCAGUCAACACAGACCCAUUAACCCAUUAACUUAAGCAUACUUGUUGACAAUAUUUAUGCAAAAUGGGUACAAUAAAACACAUUGAAUUCUCACCAGAACAACCAAGGGAGCUGCUAAUUCUCCAGUCUUCUGCAUAGUUGUCGCAAAAUUCACAUUAUGAUUACUUAUUGGCAUCCAGGGUUGUACCCCUGAUGGAAACCUAUGAUUAUUUAUCUGUGUCUGAUACUGGGAGCCAGAAGAAUCUGCAUUUACCUGCUGUUAAAGACGAUAACAAAAUGUAUUUCAUCAAUAUAUGAAUGAAACAUCGAAAACUGAUUGACUAUAACCACAAAAGAUCUUCCCAAGGUCUUACAUUAUAUGAUGAAGAAAGAGGUAAAUUUGGCCCACCAGAACCAAGCAUGUGGUUAUUUGACAUCGGAAGAUUUUGCUGAAAAUCAUGGGGAAUAGGUGGUCCCUGAGGCAUACUAUACAUUCCUACUACAGGGAUACCAGUAACCUGUUGCAUAGGUUGAGGAAAUUGGAUUUGAGAAGGUUGAGACAUCGCAACAUUUGCAUGUCCAAGUGGCAGAAAUUGUUGAGAUGGCCCGGAACCAUAAGGUUGUGCCUGCUGGACUGGAAGCAUAGGCUGGAACUGCUAAAGAUGUGGGGAAAAUAGUUAUCAUAAUGUCUCUACAUUCAAAAGUCAUUUAUCCCUCCCCCAAGCCUCCACAACUUUACCUGCAGUGACAUGGAUGG
RNAcentral lists this long non-coding RNA (98690 nucleotides) under Capsicum annuum. RNAcentral's name for it is "long non-coding RNA (CANN_LNC013018)". Lineage: Eukaryota; Viridiplantae; Streptophyta; Magnoliopsida; Solanales; Solanaceae. The record is from RNAcentral.